Molecule: long non-coding RNA, 104699 nt
Filed under: Malus domestica (apple)
Lineage: Eukaryota; Viridiplantae; Streptophyta; Magnoliopsida; Rosales; Rosaceae
Description: long non-coding RNA (MDOM_LNC011489)
Source: RNAcentral
AUGCUUCACAUAAUCAUACACAUAUGUAUGUCAUGCCAAGAUAUAACAGAGUAAGCAAUUUAGGUAAGAAUAAUUUCAUAGAAAUAAUACAUGUGAGCCGGAACCCCUAUGGUAGUCUGUACGGCUAAAUUCAUAGCUCAAAAGUGACUCUAAGUGACUCUAGCCGGAGUCACUACUAUGACCUAUACGGCAAUAUACUGCAUAAGAGUCGGAACCAAACAAAAAGGUCUAUACGACAAUAAUGGGUGUAAUAUAAUCAUGCUCAAUACUACUCUCACAUAAUAGCUGGGCGAUAAAUCGCUAGUCACCUACGAGUCGGAACCAUAAAUAAGGUAUGUACGACAAGACUAUGCACCUAAAUUGGAUCCAAUAUGAGCAUAUGGUGCGGGAGGUGACAUAAUAAACAGGCUUGUAUCAUAUCUCUGGCUAAAUCAGAAUCACCCUAAGUGCAGUUUUAUGAGCUCAACAUUAUUCAAUCACAUAUCACAUCAUCAAUGAUUCAUAUAACCAAACAUGACUUACCUGGGCUUACCUGAGUGUCAGCACCACAAUUAUAUAUAUAACGUAUCGCAUACCAAAUCAUACUUGAAUUAUAAUUUAUAUGCAUGGCAUUUAUGGCAUACUAUCAUUUAAACACAUAUUUCUGGGAAAAUAUCAACUAUAUAAUAUAUACUGAAAACCAAAAGCCCACUCACUGGUAAGUCGAAGGGUUGUAGCCCCCGAGUCGCCCUUGGAUACGCUCGUCCUCAAGAUAAGUCUCACCUAUAUGCGAAUUAACUAUAAAAAAAGUUAUUUUAAAGCACAUAGGCAAAACUAGCUAAUAACUUCUCAUACAUAGCUCAAAAUGGGUAUAUGAAUAUACCACAGUGACCUACACAACCUCAAGAUCAUCCCCAAAUUUUUAGAAAUUUUUUUUGGACCCCUCACGCGCCGGCGAGUGCACGGCAAGACGCACGGCCACGCGCAGGGAAUCCUGACAGAUUCCCUAACUGCCGUUAGGAAUAUUUCUUGGAAUAUUCCGUUAAACCCAACGGUAACCGUCCAAACUAACUGACGGCGUCAGAAUAUUCCGUCCAAACUGAUGGAAUAUUCUAUCUUCGUCUUCGGCGAGUCGCCGGUCGUCGGAAAACUGGGUAAAACUUCAAAACGUCUAUUCUCACUCAUUUUUCAACCAUUUUCUUCGAAAUUUGAACCAAAUGAAAGCUUAGAGUGAGAAGUGGCGUUAUACCUAUUUCAAGCUUCAAAUCUCACGAAAUCGUGUCGGGGAAGCUUUGAAAUUCCAACCAAACCUGCAACUCGUCGUUUCUCGCAAUCCCGACGUCCAAAUUCCUCAAACGAACUACCCCCGAGACUCGUGAGGACCUCAUUAAGCUUCCUAUGAGCUUAGAUUUCCCUAAAACACAAGGUUUUACGUGAGUAUGGACAGUGCAUGAAAAUUGGGUUACGGGUUCACGAGUUUUCAAAGGAUUCCUUACCUGAAACUGGUACCAAACGAUUCAUAGCACCACGAGGAACACAAUGGUGCACUCAAAACCUUCGAUCUGCGAAGUUUGGGGUGUUCUUGCUCUUGUCCGUACGUAUAGUAAGGAGAGAGAGAGUGAUAGGAACAUAUUUAUGGGACUUAGUUGGCUUGUUUUUUGUGCAUUUAUGUCGUGUUUCCUUAGUUAUUUUAAUGUUUAAAGUCAUUUUCGUGUGUUUUCAGACUCUAAGUACAAAGUAUGCAAGAAGAUGCAUUUUGGAGGCCUUUGAAGCAUGUUUCGGGCUUGGAAUGGAUAGCAAAUGCAUGGGCCAAGUGGAUGGACGAAUUUGAGAACUAAAGAGGCCAAGAAUAUGAAGAAUUAUGGUCCAAAAGAUGAAGAAAACAGCCCAAAAAUCUGUCACCCCAACUUGCAUUCCUUGCCAUGCAAACCACAUAGAAUUCCCUUUGGAUUCCAUGCCAUGCUUGAUCACUCUUGUCCCCUACAUAAUUUCUAAUUUCAUGCUUCAAUUCAUUUAAUUAUUACACUCAAUUGCUUGAUACCUCUUGUUCCCUUCACUCAUUAGAUUUUAGACAACAUUUACAUCCAUUACAUGCACCAAUUGAUGCUCCAUCAUUCACAUUUGGAAUCCCAUGCCUUGUGUACCACAUGUUGCUGCACCUUUGACCCAUUUAUUGACACAUUUUCACCUCCCUUUCCAUCUCUAUGCAAUGCACACAAUCAUUCAUGCCCCCUAACUACAAGACCACUCCAUUUUACCCUUCACACUUUGCAUCAUCACUUCAUUUUCACCCUUGGACCAUUGCACACCACACACACAAAUUGCCAUGCAUUUCAUCCUUAACCUAACUUGAUUUUCUAAGGUUUUUGGGGCCUAUAAAUACAUGUUUACACCCCUUGGCCAAAGAAUAAUCCCCCAUAUUCAUCAUUUUAUCACAGAAAUUCGUCCAUACACACCCUAGGAAGCAAAACACCCCAAAAACACCAUUCUAGUGCCUAGAAAAACAUAACAGCCACUCCACCUUCUUCCACCCUCUUUUCCUAGUUCUCCACCACCUUCCAACCAUCAAACACUCUUCCACACUCACCCUAAACCCCUCCAUAUCAUUCCCCAUCCAUUCUACACCAUAAAUCCACCCAAAAAUCUGUCCACAAGCUUCAUGCCGCAACAAGGAGGAAGGGAGAUCCAUUGAUGCACUUGCUUUCCAAGUUGGAGCAUUUUAGGUGUUUUCUUUCCUUUGAUUUUAAUGUCUAAUUUUAUGUAUCUUUGUAUUGCAAGAAAUGAGGAACUAAACCCCCUUAGUUGGGGGGUGAUUCGAAACCAUGUACAUGCUUGCAAUAUGAUUUGAUUACAUCCAGUUGUGAUUCAUAAGUUGUGAAUUCAAUUUACUUAUCCGAUCGUAUAAAAAUGAUUUUGUGUAUGUUGGUUGAGAGUGCACGCUUAAUUUUCAUGCAUGAAUUUAACGCUAGAAUAUAAGGGAGUUUCACCUAAUCGUUAUGAACUUAUAUUCACAAGUAGUGAAGGUUGCUAGUCACAAUCACGUUAAGUAAAUUCUUGGCAUAAGUUUCAUGCAAAUCAUAGUAACGAGUGCCUCGUCAAUGCUUAUGUUUUUUCAUAGAACUUAAUGAUUCUUGCUUGUAUCUCUAUUAUGCAAUUCAUGUAGGGAACUUGUAGGGAAUGUUUUGGGUUGUCGUAUGCAAUCAUCCAAUCCAAUAACUUGUGGAAAAACUGAGGGUUAAUUAGUGCAAUUCACGGUUAAUUUGGGGCGUUGAGUAUUCAUAGCUUAUCGAAAAGGAACUGGAAAUCGUUUUGUAUGCAAGUGUGACAUGUGUGGAGAAGAACCUCCUAGCUAGCCUUCCAUCCAUAAGUUUCAUUCAAAUUCACUUACAAUCUGUUUUGUUUUACAAAGUUGUUUUGUUUUCAAAUUCAUCAAAACCAAACCCCCCCCAUUAUUAAAUUAUAUUAUUUAGUUAGUUUUCAUUGUUGUUAGUCUUUUAAUUCAAUUUCCGUCCAUUUCAGUUCCUAGUGUCUAAUUUGAUUGUUUUCAUUAUUUUGAGUCAUUCUAAGUGUGUUUCGAGUUAUUAGAGUUUUUAGCCUAGUUUUGUAUCCUUGAGUCUUGUUUAAUAUUUUUAAAUUAAUUUAGAAUAGAUUAGCAAUCCCUCCUAAUCCCCGGCCUAGAACGAUACCCUACUUACAUCUAUACUACAAUUGUCAAAAAGAGGGUUAAUUUGUGUGUUUAGUUAUUUUACGCAUCAAAUUUUGGCGCCGUUGCCGGGGAUUAGCAACUUUGCUAAUCUCUUGGAUUGUUUCUUUCGAAUUAUUGUAUUUUGUUUAAGUUUCUGUUUAAGUUGCUGAUUUGUUUUGUUUUCUUUGUUUUUAGGUACUAGUUUAUGACCCGUAGCUCACAACCUGUUCGUGAGCAUAUCUCCGACUUUGACGGUGAUUUUGAGAGGACUUUGAGAAGGAAAAAGAAAUUGCAAGAGUCUAAUCCUCCUAGUCCCGAGCCUGAAUUAGAAGAGCAAGAAGUUGAGGUUGAAGAGAAGGCCACGGCACAAGUGGGUGGAGAAGAGUAAGGUAUAGCCAUGGACAACCGUACGCUCAAGGAGCUUGCCGCAUCGGGUUUGGAUAAUGCCGCACCAUUGUGUGUAUCCAAUAUCCCAUGGCUGCUCAAGGUAAAACUGAAGAGUUCGAGUUAAAGUCAAGUUUGCUCCACCACAUUCCAAAGUUCCAUGGGCUGUCCAUGGAAGAUCCGAACAAACAUUUGAAGGAAUUUGAAGUGGUAUGCUCAAGUAUGACUCCAGUUACCGUUGACGGAAGUAUUUUAAAGAUGAAGGCUUUUCCAUUCUCUUUAAUGGACAAAGCCAAUGAUUGGUUAUACGAGUUGGCUCCCGGUACAGUUACAUCUUGGGAGAGUAUGAAGAGGGCGUUUCUGGAGAAGUUUUUCCCAACUUCUCGCAUCAUUCUUCUUCGUAAAAAAAUAAGUGGAAUUCAGCAAAGCCAAGGUGAAUCUCUUCCAUCUUAUUAUGAACGAUUUAAAUCACUUGUUGCUUCUUGUCCACAGCAUCAGAUGAAGGAGGAGUUACUUCUUCAAUACUUUUACGAAGGUCUUUUACCACUUGAACGGCAAAUGUUGGAUGCUUCCGCGGGAGGAGCUCUAGUGGAUAAGACACCUAGGGAUGCCAAAACUCUCAUUGCAAAUCGAGCACUCAAUGCACAACAAUAUGAAGGUGUUGGGCAAAGAGACACCCCACGGCCACAUCAUGUCAAUGAGGUAAGUUCUAUUUCUGAGUUACAAUCCCAAAUGGCUAACCUUACGUCUAUGUUAUCGCAGUUGGUUGAAGGCCCCAAAAACGCAAGAAACUACAAUCUGUGGUGUAUGCUCCAUUCAAGGACACCAAUCUGAUCAAUGCCCUAAAUUAAUUGAGAAUGGAGGAUGGGAAUCGGCCAAUGCUGUGGGUUAUGGGAAUCAAAACCAACCAAGGAAUGAUCCUUUCUCCAAUACAUACAACCCGGGAUGGCGUGACCACCCCAAUUUCAGAUGGAGAGAUGCACCACAAUAUGGCCAACAAAGUGGAUUCCAACAACCCCGGGUUUCUUUCCAAGGCCAAUGGAACCACAACCACCUCCUCAGGCACAAUCUUCCCAAACUAACCCAGGUACGUCUAUGAAUGAUGAUAAAACAUAUCAGUUACUAACCACCAUGGCGCAGGGAAUGCAGAACCAAGCAAAGGAGAGUUAAUGAGCUGAAGAAGCAAAUGGGCCAAAUGGCCGAAUUUUUGGGGCAAUUCCGUGAAAAUGGUAAGUUACCAAGCACUACGGUGGUCAAUCCAAAGGGUGGCUUCGAAUCUGCAAAGGCUAUCACAUUACGAAGUGGAAAGAGGGUGAGAAACAAGGAAGAUGAGAAGAUUACAACUCGAAGAAGAUGAGAACACCUACCCCACGGCAAGGGUGCCAUCACCCAUGCCGCAGCCAUCUAAGACAUCCCAUCCGUCCACCUCAGGUAAGAAUGUUCCAAAUGUUGUGAUUUCGAACACUAAUCUGCCCAAUGUCCCCUUUCCUAGCAGAUUUUGCGCAAUCAAAGAACGAAGAGGAGGAAAAAGAUGUUCUAGAGACAUUUAGAAAGGUGCAUGUCAACAUUCCCCUCCUUGAUGCCAUAAAGCAAAAUCCCGAAGUAUGCCAAGUGUUUAAAGAAGCUUUGUACAACAAAGAAACGUGUCCGGGAGAAAGAGGUGGUACAUGUACGUGAGAAUGUCUCCGCCAUCUUGCAACAUAAACUACCCCCCAAAUGCAAAGACCCGGAAGUUUUACAAUUCCAUGUGUCAUUGGUAAUACCCGUUUCAAAUCUACCAUGCUAGAUUUAGGAGCAUCUAUUAAUGUUAUGCCAUAUUCUGUGUAUGCAUCUAUGAAUCUAGGAGCACUUAAACAUGAUGGUGUAAUCAUACAAUUGGCCGAUAGAUCUAACGCUUAUCCAAAGGGAGUUUUGGAAGACGUUUUAGUGCAGGUUGAUCAUUUAGUCUUCCCAGCGGAUUUCUAUGUCCUCGAAAUGGAUGAAUCAGACCAUGCCCCUUCAUUGCCCAUCCUCCUUGGAAGGCCAUUCAUGAAAACGGCUCAAACGAAGAUUGACGUGGCCAAAGGAUUAGUCACUAUGGCAUUUGGUGGUGACAUGAUUAGUUUUAAAAUUUCUGAAUCCAUUGAGACUCCUAAUAUUGUUCAUUCUUUUGUGCCAUUGGUAAAAUUGAAAAGAUAAGGACCGGACCAUUCAGCACCAAGCACGAAGGAUGCAUCAGAACAUUGCAAGACGAGGGAAUUGGAGUGGAGUACAAGGACCAUACGGCCACUGCCCUCAAAAUGCUCAAAGUGGCCGAAAGCACCAUGGGGAAGAAUGUUCACAUUGCUGCCACUUCAUCACAUCACAUAGGUAAGCCACCUAAUCCAAAUCCAAUGCCAUUUAAAGUUGAUAGGUGGUUCCCUUCUUUGGUGCAGGUACCUAAGCAAAUCCCCGAUGGUGGGCGUAUGAACAUGAACCUUAGACAACACAACGCACCCAUCAACAAACAUCACUAUCCAUUUCCGUUCAAGGAUGUAAUCUAUGAGAACUUUGUGGAGCAUGUUGUGGAGGAUAUCCCACUGCAUGCCGUGGGUUCCAAGGAGAAGUGAAGGUGUUCAUCGUUCGGCUGGAAGACGUUAAAGCAAGCGCUUUAAGGGAGGCAACCCAUUUAUUCUGCUUGAUUGUCAAUUUUAUUACUUGUUUAAUUAUUUUUGGUUAUGAUUUUCUAUUUUGAAAUAUUAACAAAUAUGCAAGGGAUUUUUGACAUUAAACUUCAUGAAAUGAACAGGAAUCUGGGAAAUAAAGAAACAUAACAUAAUACAAGAGGAAGAGCUUUCACAAAGGCUGCUUGGGCGGAGUUGCAGUAGUCGGCGGAGUCGCAGUAGUUGGCGGAGUCUCAGCAGUCGGUGGGGCCACGGAAGGAGGAGGUAUCAGAGGUUGAUCAGAUCAGUUGGAGCUUCACUGCGCGGUGCCGCCCCAGAAUUAAGGCAGAUGCUGUUGGAACAAACCCACAAACCUUCGGUGAUCAAGUAAAAUCUGACGAUCAGUUUCCUGCAGCUGGUCAAUUUUCCUCUUCAUGUUUGUGGCAUAACUGUGUGCAAGCUUAUGCAAUUGUUUAUUUUCAUGCUUGAGUCCUCUAAUCUCCUCUUUGAGACUCUGUAUUUCAGCCACCAACGAUUCAACAUGACGGGUUCGAGCAAAUAGGCGUUGGGCCAUGUUGGACACAGAACCCGCACACUGCACGCUAAGAGCCAGAGACUCCUAACGCCAAUUCAUCAGACCGUCUAGCGAGCAGUCUGUUAUCUCUGGGGGUGACAAGGUUCCGGGCCACCACCGCAGCGGUCAUGUCAUUUUUCAUCACCGAAUCCCCAACGGUGAGGGAACCGGUAGGGGAUAUGAAGGAUGGGCGCCAUAUGUUGUCUGGUGAAGGCGGAGCUGCCUCUUCACCAAUGUUCAAGUCAAAACGACGAUCGGAAGGGCCAGACAUUUUUCAGAGGUGGUGAAGAAAGAAGAGAGUCGGACUGAUUAAGAUUUUGGAAGUGCAAGAAGGGAGUGUUUACAGGAGGGAGCUCAAGUGUGUUGUGGAACAAAAUUAACGCCUCUAUAAAAAAGAAAUCAAAAGAGGCGCUCCUCAGAAAUCGAAGAAGCGUCCUCUCGCAAAUCGAAGAGUCGAGAGGGAUUCUUUCUCAAAAAGAGGCGUUUCAUUUCUCAAAAAAUGGGCUUGCUCAGAAACCACGAGCCGAACCCCGGAUUUCAAAAGAUCAAUUUGUCCAGACGUGUCGUCACUCGUCACAUGCAACUUGCAGCUUUGCGGAAAUUACGGGCAGCUUUGUCAGAAAGCGCGUAAUUUGUACUAUUCAUCCAUCCACCGGCUGCCGACAAUGAGUGAGAGAAUAGUUCCGGUUGUGAAGAAAAGCCCUAUAAGUAUCUACCUUCGCUUUCCACAGCAAAGGCACACCCUCUCAGCACUUCUUCAUCUCUCUGAAAUGGCUUUCCAACAAACCCUCUCGAGUCACUCAGUGUUCCUUAUUCCCUGGGAUACCCCUGCAAACAACCCAUCCAGAGCACAAGUAUUUCAUAUCAUAAAGGUUGAGAGCACGAGUAUCUCAUAUCAUGCUUUCUCCAUGUCCUUUCUCCAGCCAGCACCUGCUCUCGAGUACUCAUCAUCUUAUGUUUCCGCUUCGUCUCUCACGCAUAAGGGAAGUGAAGAUGAUACCUCGAAGCAUGUGGAGACAACGUGCUGAUUCAUCCUCAACUAGGGACAAGGAGAAAGAGAGCAAGAGGUGGGGGCACUUGGAAAGAUUGAAGAAAGAAACAGACCAACACCUUUGCCUCGUGCCUGCCCACCGUGCAGAAGAAACAAGCAGAGAAGAAUGCAGACUGCACUCUGAUAUUCCCCGCUCAGAAUUCCAAACCAGUUCAAGAUCAAAGCUGUGGAAAGUCAACAAGAUCAACUAUCUCCAAAACCAGAUUUGCGUUCUUAAACUCUACUCUGUCUGGUUUUUACUUUGCCAUAUUUGUCAUGUUUAUUUGUCGUUUGUUAUUUGCUUGUUUUUGGUGUGAGUAUAUGCUUGAAACAUUGAGGACAAUAUUUGAUUUAAGUGUGGGGGGGUAACUAGUGUUUUGCAUAAAAUUCGAAGAAAAUUAUCACCCAUUAUUUCUAGUGUUGUUCCUUACUGUUUUAAGUAUUUUUUUUAAGUUGUUUUGGAGUAUUCAGUGUGUUUUGACAUAAAAAUCCGAAAAUUCAUAAAAAUUUGAAAAAUUGUUUUUGAAAAUCCCAAAAAGAGUUGUUUUUGUGUGCUUAUUUGUGUCUUAGGGUACCUUCCAACACAAUGAUGAAGAUUCAGUUUGUAAUUGCAUGACUGUUAAAGAGAGUUAUAAACAUGGAUGAAAGUUUGAUUUACUCUUUAUUUAUGCAUGAUUGUGGUUAUAACUUAUGAAAUCACAUGUAAUCAUAAAAGAAAAAAAAAUAAUUUUUUUUGUAACAUGCUUGAAGGAAAGAACUCAAACUAACGCUACAACCUUGUGAGACUUGAGCCUAAAUGUUUAUUUGGAGAGUUAAAAUCUGUGCAUUAUUGUUUUCUAAAGUCGUUGCAUGAUCUCAUUAUUCUUUGCUUGGUUAUUACUUAGAAGGCGUUUCAUCAUUUAGUUCCAAAUGCUAGAACUCAUGCCUAUUUCAUUCAAAGCAUGCUAUUGAUUUGCAUAACACAUAUUCAAGAUGAAGUUGUGUAGUUACCACCACCAAAGCCAAACUGCCAUGUAUCCCAUAUUGUUAUAUGUUUAAGUUAACCCCAUUGAGCCUUGAUAGCCUACAUUCUUUGUUAAACCACAUUAUCCUUACCUAUCCUAGUUUAGGACCAUCCACCCUUGUUCUUGAAGCAUAGUGAAGUAUGAGUCAAAUUGAAUUCCUUUUGAUUAAUGUAUGGCAGAAAACAAGUGUGGGGGAAGUGAUUCUUGUGUGUGUGUGUAUGCCAAAAUCAUUCAUAAGGCACGAGUAGAAAAGAAAGAUUCGUGAAAAAUAGAAUGAAAAGAAGAUGAAAAGAAAAGGAGUUGAAAAAUAUGUGAAAAAGAGUUUUAAAGUGUUGCUUGUUGAAGAAAGGGUCCAAAACAUUGAAUUCGGCCCUAAAUAUUGCUUGAAUCUUCCCUUCGUGUUUAAAAGUUGAUUACUGCAAUCUAAGUGAAUUCUAAGUUUCCAUUUCAUUACUUUUCUUGCUAUUGCUUUAAGAACGUUUGUUAUCCCUAUCCUUCAUUUGUUAGCCAACACCCCAAGCCCGUUACAACCUUUGACUUCAAUCUUGAGUGUUAUGCGUUUCAAUUUGUGGAGUUUGAAUUUGGUAUGAGCAUAUGGUGUCACUGGUUCUCGCGUCUAAGUAAUAGCAUUCCAUUCAUGAGAUCAUAUCUAAACAUGGUUAUUAACUCCAGAAAUUGCUUUCUUUGUGAUACAUAUAUGUGAGCAUUCGUUUUCAUAUCUACAUCAAUCUUCUCACAUAUAACUAGUAUAGGGUGUGUAGUUGGAAAAUCUGAGUGAAAAUUGAGUGCAUAUCUUGUAAGGAAUUGAGCGAAUUCUCUAAGGCAUGUUACUACAUCAAAAACAUUGUUUUAAUUGAUUAAUUGUGAACUAGUAAGUGGUGACUAUGAUUAAGUAUGUGCUUAAGUGUAAAGAUGACUCAAAUCUGUGGGGAUAAUGAUUUUUAACAUGUCAUGUGCAUUGGAAAUCCUUGAGGCAAAUGUUGGAAGGUUUAGGUUGUGUUUUAUUUGUUUUGUUUCGUUUUAUUUCUUUGUUUUGCUCGAGGACUAGCAAAAGCUAAGUGUGGGGGAAUUUGAUAGGAGCAUAUUUAUGCGACUUAGUUGGCUUGUUCUUGUGCAUUUAUGUCGUGUUUCCUUAGUUAUUUUAAUGUUUAAAGUCAUUUUCGUGUGUUUUCAGACUCUAAGUACAAAGUAUGCAAGAAGAUGCAUUUUGGAGGCCUUUGGAGCAUGUUUCGAGCUUGGAAUGGAUAGCAAAUGCAUGGGCCAAGUGGAUGGACGAAUUUGAGAACUAAAGAGGCCACGAAUAUGAAGAAUUAUGGUCCAAAAGAUAAAGAAAACAGCCCAAAAAUCUGUCACCCCAACUUGCAUUCCUUGCCAUGCAAACCACAUAGAAUUCCCUUUGGAUUCCAUGCCAUGCUUGAUCACUCUUGUCCCCUACAUAAUUUCUAAUUUCAUGCUUCAAUUCAUUUAAUUAUUACACUCAAUUGCUUGAUACCUCUUGUUCCCUUCACUCAUUAGAUUUUAGACAACAUUUACAUCCAUUACAUGCACCAAUUGAUGCUCCAUCAUUCACAUUUGGAAUCCCAUGCCUUGUGUACCACAUGUUGCUGCACCUUUGACCCAUUUAUUGACACAUUUUCACCUCCCUUUCCAUCUCUAUGCAAUGUACACAAUCAUUCAUGCCCCCUAGCUACAAGACCACUCCAUUUUACCCUUCACACUUUGCAUCAUCACUUCAUUUUCACCCUUGGACCAUUGCACACCACACACACAAAUUGCCAUGCAUUUCAUCCUUAACCUAACUUGAUUUUCUAAGGUUUUUGGGGCCUAUAAAUACAUGUUUACACCCCUUGGCCAAAGAAUAAUCCCCCAUAUUCAUUAUUUUAUCACGGAAAUUCGUCCAUACACACCCUAGGAAGCAAAACACCCCAAAAACACCAUUCUAGUGCCUAGAAAACAUAACAGCCACUCCACCUUCUUCCACCCUCUUUUCCUAGUUCUCCACCACCUUCCAACCAUCAAACACUCUUCCACACUCACCCUAAACCCCUCCAUAUCAUUCCCCAUCCAUUCUACACCAUAAAUCCACCCAAAAAUCUGUCCACAAGCUUCAUGCCGCAACAAGGAGGAAGGGAGAUCCAUUGAUGCACUUGCUUUCCAAGUUGGAGCAUUUUAGGUGUUUUCUUUCCUUUGAUUUUAAUGUCUAAUUUUAUGUAUCUUUGUAUUGCAAGAAUGAGGAACUAAACCCCCUUAGUUGGGGGGUGAUUCGAAACCAUGUACAUGCUUGCAAUAUGAUUUGAUUACAUCCAGUUGUGAUUCAUAAGUUGUGAAUUCAAUUUACUUAUCCGAUCGUAUAAAAAAUGAUUUGUGUAUGUUGGUUGAGAGUGCACGCUUAAUUUUCAUGCAUGAAUUUAACGCUAGAAUAUAAGGGAGUUUCACCUAAUCGUUAUGAACUUAUAUUCACAAGUAGUGAAGGUUGCUAGUCACAAUCACGUUAAGUAAAUUCUUGGCAUAAGUUUCAUGCAAAUCAUAGUAACGAGUGCAUCGUCAAUGCUUAUGUUUUUCAUAGAACUUAAUGAUUCUUGCUUGUAUCUCUAUUAUGCAAUUCAUGUAGGGAACUUGUAGGGAAUGUUUUGGGUUGUCGUAUGCAAUCAUCCAAUCCAAUAACUUGUGGAAAAACUGAGGGUUAAUUAGUGCAAUUCACGGUUAAUUUGGGGCGUUGAGUAUUCAUAGCUUAUCGAAAAGGAAUUGGAAAUCGUUUUGUAUGCAAGUGUGACAUGUGUGGAGAAGAACCUCCUAGCUAGCCUUCCAUCCAUAAGUUUCAUUCAAAUUCACUUACAAUCUGUUUUGUUUUACAAAGUUGUUUUGUUUUCAAAUUCAUCAAAACCAAACCCCCCCAUUAUUAAAUUAUAUUAUUUAGUUAGUUUUCAUUGUUGUUAGUCUUUUAAUUCAAUUUCCGUCCAUUUCAGUUCCUAGUGUCUAAUUUGAUUGUUUUCAUUAUUUUGAGUCAUUCUAAGUGUGUUUCGAGUUAUUAGAGUUUUUAGCCUAGUUUUGUGUCCUUGAGUCUUGUUUAAUAUUUUUAAAUUAAUUUAGAAUAGAUUAGCAAUCCCUCCUAAUCCCCGGCCUAGAACGAUACCCUACUUACAUCUAUACUACAAUUGUCAAAAAGAGGGUUAAUUUGUGUGUUUAGUUAUUUUACGCAUCAGAGAGUGAAACCGAGAGAAAGAGUACGGGGAGGAAGAGAAAGAAGGAUAAUGUGUGUGUGUGUGUGUGUGGUCCACGUGGGUCACCAAAUCAAAACCACCAAAAAUCAACAUCUAAGUCUCCAAAAUAAGUCACACACACGGACCACAAGAUUCAUCGUCCCUGGUUAAAAUCAUCAUUUUACGUCACUGAGAAUAAAAUAAUACAUAUUUCUAGGACGGGCUGUGACAUGACAGUUGACAUGUGUAAACAAGCUUACUAAGUGAAUAAACUGAUUUUUUUUUUUUUUUGCUCGCUUCCUGCUCUGUUACUAUCUAAAAAAACUUAUAUUUAAUAUUAAGAAACGCUGAAAGAUUCAAAUCAUGGAUCCAUCACUGUAAACUUAUCAAAUUUCUUCAGAUGAAAUUUUAACAUUAGAUAAUAUGUAUGUUAUUAGACUAGUCGAUCAUGCAUCCGGUUCAAACGAGUGAUUUCAAUUAAAUUUAGUGAUUCAGUUAGUAUUGGAUAGUCAAAAUCACUUAUGUAAACGAUUCAUCCCAGAUCUAUCUAUUCUCAAAAUCAUUUUCGAUCAGCAUAUCUUGUUAUUAAUUUCAAAUGUACUCUUAAUCUUAUUGUCAAAUUGAAAUUUUUUUUUAUAUAAUUCAAUCCAUAUGGAUUGUUACUAUUUUUUUCCGGCGAUAGGAUUUUAUUGAUGAUUAAAGAGCAUGAUAAUUUUUGAGAAGAAUAUCCUGAAUAAUGUUAUUAGGUUCGUUACACCAACUGGAAUCGAGUCUCGGAUUAUGCAUAUAUUAGUCUCUCUGUUAAGGCUUUAAACACUUGCUGAUGUGGAGUAGUUGAGGCCAUUGGACCCCAAGUCCCAACCCUAAAGGCUAAAACACAGGAGGAUUUACUUAAUUAAUUGUCUCAUCGCAUGGCAUGUACUUUUCAAGUUUCAACCUACGGACAGACAAACACGCACACGAGCUUGUUAAGUUCUUGUUUCUUAAACGUUCGUAUGGAUGGCUGCUGCGAAGAGGUGCAUAGAUUUUGCUUUAGUCCUCGAUCAUGAAUCAUCCAUUCGAUCAAUGGUACGAAAUACGAUUAACUAUAUAAAAUUAUGCUUAUUCUUUUUGGUUUUUUCUCUUGAUUGACAUCAAUUUCGACGUCAUUUAUAUGAAUCAGAGUCCCAAAUAUUUCAAGGAAAAUUAUUUGGAAAAUUAUUUUAAUCAGAAAACUGAUUUGGAUGCAUGUUUUGUUUCCCAUGUAUUUGGGAGCAUCAAUCAAAUUCAAACUUGGAUUAGGAAAUGCCUUCUGAAACAAUUAAAGGAAAUGCUGCUGCUAAUUUAAUUUGUUCUUCGGGGUAGAUUAGGGGCAUGUUUGAGAUACGACUGCAUUUGGUAGAAAAACAUAUAAAUUUAGGUCUUUCUCUUUCAAGUGCUUUUCCAGGAAGCACAGCUGAAGUGCUGCUUCUAAUAAAAGCGCUUAUGAGGAGAAUUGCUUCUUUAAUGGUUGAAUAAUGUACGUCAAGCAUUCUGAAUUUGAUAUGUAGGUGUUCGAUAUCUGAUACAUGUUAUGUUGCCAAUACAAUGGAAUUCCAUUUCCUUGUCCGUGAUGAUUCAUUUUUGCUUGCAAUUUGGAUAUAGGUUUUACGAGCUUGUAGCUGAAGCCAUCACUGGUCGUUCAAGUAGAUUUAGGAGGUGAAUUUUACCAUGGGAAAGAAUUUGAGAGACAAAAACCCUAACAAUCCAUCAGGGAAUGAGCAUUCAUCAGGGUGCGUUUGGGGAUUACUUCACAUCAUGAAGUAUCACCACUGGCAUUAUGUCAAGAAAAGACAAGUGCACAAGAGGCGCCGCGGUAAUAGACACACUGUCGGUAAGUAAAAUGACUCCAGUCUAUAUUAUAUGAAAGUUUUUCUCCCUGCUUUCUCUUUCAUUAAAGUUUAAUCUUAGCCACUUAGGCCAUAUACGCAAAUUUUGUGCAUAAAAUCGAUCUAUGUGCAUAAGAAUCGGUCUUGUUUACUGCACUGGUAGCCUAAAUUUCGUUCACUUUUGUAAGUAGUUCAAUAGACUGGCUGGAGCUUAUGACCAUGCCAUGAUAUGUGAUGUAAAAUAAUAUUACAGUUUAUUUAUGUUGGACUUUUUUUUUUUCUUUCUGUCUGCUUGGCCGCAGGAGUUGGGAUUCUGGGAAGCUGUACUGCAAAUGCCUGUACGCCAGAAGACACAGAUGCUAAGAUUGAUGAAUCUACUGUAAGUUUCAGCAAAAGAAUUUCUGAUAGCAUGCAUUUUAGUGCAUUAUUGGAUAUUAAUUUCUUUUCGUUUUCAAAAAUAUUACUUGAAAGAGUGAUAGACAAAAGCAACAUUUGAUUUGAUUUUAUCAGGGUAAAGGAAAGACGAUGCAGUCCAUUCCAGCAGGCAUACAUUCUGUCAAGGCCCGAAUAAAAGCACGGAUUUCUGGAGAAAUAUCAAAGAAGAAGGGUAGGCUUAACCGGAGUUCAAGCUGCCCUGUACGAUCACAAUUGAAACAGCAUCAUUUCGAAGCACCACCUAACCUGCACCCGAUUGCUGAAAUGGUAUUGAAUGAGAAAAGUCCUAGAAUUGCUCACCACGGCAAUGAAAAAUCUUGUGCUACAAGCAAUCUGGCAUCACCGCCCAUGACAUCAUAUGAAGGACCAAUUAGUGACAACAAUGAUUGUUGUGGAGAUAGUUGCCCACCAAUCACUAGAGAUCGUACCGUGCAUGACCAGGUUAACGAGAAUCAAAAGGAUCACACAUUUACUGAAGAAAAGCUGGAUAAUGACAUAAUGCAAAAUAUGUUCAAGAAGAAGUUGAUAAACGUAAAAGAACUCGAUGCAGAUGCUUCCUUGCACCAUCCGAAGGAGUAUUUGGAGGCUUUGGAUAUAAUCAAUGUGAACAAGGAGUUAUUAGUAAAGAUUUUACAUGACCCCGGCUCUCCUUUGGCUGUGCACUUCAAUAAUCAGCAAGCCGUCAGUGCAAAAAUGGGUUUAACUAGGUCAGACUCAUUCCCCGUCAAACUCAGGCACAAGCAUGAGUUGACAGGGUCUCCUUUAAAAGAAGAAAGCAAGUCGAAAAACAUCAGUAAAACAAAGAAGUUAGUAGGGUCGUCUUCUUUGAAAUAUGCUGGUGAACGCUCAAUUCCAUCGAUCAGUGAGCACACUGCAGAUGGGAUUCUAGAGGUAAACCAAACAAUUGCUGAUAGUUCUAGUUCUGCUGAAAAUUGAGGAGCCGAGGUGAGAAUCAAGUGUCAAUUAAGCGGUUCAAGGAUAUUAGACAGAAAAUAAAGCAUGUAAUCAAGGAGAGCAGACAAGAGAGACAUAUGAUCGCCAUGGAUGCCAUCCUCCACAAGGUUCCUCAUGGCCAAAAGCUUGCUAAAGAAAUGGAGAAAGAGAUCAUUAACCAUUCGAAGGACCUUGCAAUGAAUAGAGAAGGUAAAGACAGUUCAGCAAGCAGUUUUGAUAGCGAUUAUUCGAUUUCUACCUUCAAGAAAAAGCAACAACGCCACAUGAGAAGAGCAUCAUCACUCAAUGCAUCGCUAGAUAAGUACUGUGAGUUUUACGAGUCUAGUUGCAACAGAGAAGCCAAAUGCCAUACAACAUCCGAGAGAUUGAAGUUGAGAAAUGAAGGGGUAGGCUCGCCUUUACGCUCUGUCCCAAAAACGUUGGGGAGGAUUUUUUCCUUGCCUGAAAUGAAAUCAUAUAACUAUCAGAGUGAGGAAUCUUCUGAUGUGUUCUCUUCAGAAUAUCAUAUGCAGCUCGAUGCGCCAGUAGAAAGUGAGAUUAAAAAAUUGGCUGAUGUUGGUGAAUUGAAGGCAGCUUCCGGGAAUAAGAUGGCAUCAACAUCAGUUGCAGACAGUGAGAAAAGUGCUCCAGUGUAUUCAAUUGUUGACGAUAUUGAAAACUUGAAAGAACCGUUUCCUAUCUCUGUGCCCGAGUUCAACGUUUCCCUCUCCGAAGGUAUGUCUUCAUUUUUAUUAAUAGGUGCUACCUUAAAUUACAUCAUCUCAAACCAAGUGCAUGCACUCUUCAAAACUUUAAUUUCUUGUUUGCUCUAAGAAACUUUAUGUUCAAUGAACCUUUAAGUCCAGAAAUUAUCAGAUUUUUUAGCUUCAAAUUUUGGCACUUACUGAUCAAACCAACUUUUGACUGAAGAAUAAAGAUCAUCCCAACUUUUUUCAGUGUAAAAAAUGAAUUAUGUUUCAAAUUUAAGUCGUUCUUCGUAUUUUCCUCCAUCAAUCACCAAUUGUUGAGCUUUUAAGACUGAAACGAUUAUGCUUAUAGAUAUCGGUUUUAUAGGAGAAGAAACGGAAAUAAAACCUAGAGAUGAACAAGAAAACUUGGCCAAGCCAGGGCAUGAUUUUGUUAUUGGUACGCCUAAGGCGGUUCACAUAGAUACAGAGAAGAUUGAAGUCCAAGGAAGCACUUGAGGUACGACAUGACUCAUCUCCGUGUUGAUGACAGAGACAUGGCUGAAUUCAAUUACGUACGAAAUGUGUUGAAGCAAUCUGGAUUCAAUGGGAAUGAGUCCCUUGGGACAUGGCAUUCGGAUGACCAGCCAGUUGAUCGUUUGAUGUAUGGAGACGCGGAGGGCUGCUUGGUGCAUGGUCUUGAUUGUUCAGGAAAUGAAGAAGGCAGGAAAUGCGAUCACUAUCUUUUGUUUGAUAUAAUCAAUGAGGUGCUGAUGGAGAUAUAUGGUAGGUCAUACAACUACUGUCCGAUGGCGUUGUCUUCGCUAUGUCACAUUCCUCUAAUGCCGGCAGGGAACCAUGUUCUAAAGGAAGUUUGGACCCUUGUGAGUUGGUACUUGAGCUUGAGACCUGAGGUUGAUCAAUCACUGGAUUAUGUUGCGAGCAGGGAUCUUGCGAAGAACGACGGAUGGAUGAACCUCCAGUUUGAUUCUGAGUGCAUAGGGAUUGAGCUGGAGGACUUAAUUUUUGAUGAAAUUUUAGAGGAAGUUCUCUGUGUUUGAGCUUGUGGAUGGAUCGGCUUUCAGUUAUCCGAUACGUUGCCAAAUCUGACAAGACGAUAUAUGUUCUAAACUAGUUUAACCUGCAGGGAAGUAGAAUCCGAAAGUGGGUGCAAAUGAUCGAGCACUCGGCCCUAGUCAAUUGGCCUAACCCACAUCUACAUGUAAUAUCAUUACUCUGAACUUCACCAAGAACAUAGAGAAAAGGAUUAGGAACAGAGAGAAUUAUUUUGUUCAUAUUCAUAUUGUUGUGCCUUGGUCCGUUCAUUAGUGCGGAAACAAGAUUCAGAUUACAACCUCACCAAAAUCACACUCGGUUGAACAGAAUAAAAUACAAGAAAUAAAGACACCGAGAAAUUUACGAGGUUCGGCAAAAAAUCAUGCCUACGUCCCCGGAGAGAUAUUGCUCUUCACUAUGAGAAUAACAGUACAAGUACACAUGAGUUAAAUCAACAUAACCCAAUCCCAAAUCCCUUGCACACCCACUCAUAGAAUUUUCCCAAGAGCCUCACUCUACCCCAAGAGUUCUUUCACUAGAAUACUUUUCACUCUAGCUCUCUUGAUUUUUCUCUCCCCCAUGCCCAUGCUUUCCCAUGGGAGAGCCGAAUGCUCUCCCCCUUUGGAUGCUCUCUCUCUCUGAUGUCUUCUCAGGAGAGAGCCGAAUGCUCUCUUUCUCUUUUUCUCCACUUCGGCUCUUUGCAAUUAAAUGGACAGAAAAGUGAGUCAACUUCUCAUUUUUUUCAUAGACACAAUGAUGAUCCAUCAUGCUCCCUUUUCUCAAAACACAAAACCACUUUCGGCAUGCAAAUGGGAAAUGAAUAAAAAAUGCCAAAACAAAGGAAUCCCAUGAAACAUCAUCAUUGUCUUCCACUAUUAGCCAAAAUGAGAUAUGGACAUAUUUGGCCACUAUUCCGAAAGCAUAACACACAGAGUCAUUUAAUUGUUAACAGCUCAAAAUAUGAGCCAAUCACAACAAUCUCCACCUUGGCGAAUAUACUGUGCAAAAAAUCCUUGCACCCAUCACCAAAGUCCAUUGGCCUUACGUACCAGUAUACACACUCUGAAUCAACCUUUUUGGUCCUGUUUCGAUUCAGUCACUGCCAAUGCAUGUGCAGCUGCUGCAAGCUAAAAAUCACCAUUUAGCUUCAGACAGUAUCUCGACACAUCCUCGUCUCCUCCAGCAGGUUUUCCUCCUUUUCAUUGUCUGCAACCUGGAAACUCGUCAGCGCGCCCGUUUGCAACAACAACCCAUCGAGCCAGACAAAAUUCCCACACUUUCUCCUACCUCAGGACCAUCUCAUCACAUGUGAAUCCCAUAGCUCCACCUGCUGUAAAACCCCUGCAACACUUGAGACUAAACAUCACCUGGAGAAGUGUUGCUUCGAGUACCUAGAGGACAUACUCAAAGUCUUCCGUCACAAACUUGCUACAACCCGGCCUUGCACUCGUAGCACUGUGGACCCUUGCCUCCGAAACCGGAUCUGAACCUGCUGUCUCUCUCAGAUCCUCUUUUCAAUUUUCUUCCACGAUUCCAACCUUUAAUAACUUAAGCAGUCUUGUGCCCACCAUCAUCCAUGGUCUCCUUUGUGUAUCAUUCAACACCAAAGAAGCUUGCACCUGCUCCAAACUUACUGUAACUUUCCAUGCAGUAAAGUUUCACAAGGUUCUCGUACGAAUCUGAAAGUGAGGGAAGAAGAAAAAGGCCUUUGUCUUCUUCCUCAACAUCAACUUUCGCAGUUGAUCCAAGCAUCCCUGAACACGGCUUCCAUUUCUUCAGGCUUCCAUUACUUUCCUUUACCAAGAGUAAAACCGCCUCUCCCAUUAAACUGCUCAACUGAAAAUUCCAUGGUGAACAACAAAUCUGGACCUCUAACAAACCAAGCCUCCAACGAUGCUCUGAUACCAAUUGUUGUGCCUUGGUCCGUUCAUUAGUGCGGAAACAAGAUUCAGAUUACAACCUCACCAAAAUCACACUCGGUUGAACAGAAUAAAAUACAAGAAAUAAAGACACCGAGAAAUUUACGAGGUUCGGCAAAAAAUCCUGCCUACGUCCCCGGAGAGAUAUUGCUCUUCACUAUGAGAAUAACAGUACAAGUACACAUGAGUUAAAUCAACAUAACCCAAUCCCAAAUCCCUUGCACACCCACUCAUAGAAUUUUCCCAAGUGCCUCACUCUACCCCAAGAGUUCUUUCACUAGAAUACUUUUCACUCUAGCUCUCUUGAUUUUUCUCUCCCCCAUGCCCAUGCUUUCCCAUGGGAGAGCCGAAUGCUCUCCCCCUUUGGAUGCUCUCUCUCUUUGAUGUCUUCUCAGGAGAGAGCCGAAUGCUCUCUUUCUCUUUUUCUCCACUUCGGCUCUUUGCAAUUAAAUGGACAGAAAAGUGAGUCAACUUCUCCUUUUUUUCAUAGACACAAUGAUGAUCCAUCAUGCUCCCUUUUCUCAAAACACAAAACCACUUUCGGCAUGCAAAUGGGAAAUGAAUAAAAAAUGCCAAAACAAAGGAAUCCCAUGAAACAUCAUCAUUGUCUUCCACUAUUAGCCAAAAUGAGAUAUGGACAUAUUUGGCCACUAUUCCGAAAGCAUAACACACAGAGUCAUUUAAUUGUUAACAGCUCAAAAUAUGAGCCAAUCACAACACAUAUAUCCUUUAGUAACUAGUGAAAUAUGAAAUUUGUAGUGUAUAUUUAAAAUUGGGGUUCACGUGUCCUGCAGUGUGAAUUUGUGAGGAGAUUUGCUUGUAACAGUUUGCUUUCUACAGUAAUCAGACAGAAAGUAUUACAUCAAUCAAAAGAAAUUGUGCAACAGAUUCUAUAAUAACAUUCCCAAAACCCCUCAGUAAGGAACUAACCCAAGAUUUUAGGCUUGAAUGUCUACUUGGUGACAUUGAGUUUCUAGCACGUAGGAUGCAGUCUGUUGUUUUCGUCUUUGUGUCUAGAGAGAGUAACAAAGCUGCUCACUUGGUGGCCAAGUAUGUAGGUGAGAAAGGAAGGGAUUUCGUGUGGGAUUGUAUUGGGCCUGAAUUUUUGUUUAAUAUCUUGGCCCAAGAUAUUAACAUUCCUAUGAGAAUUAAUAUACUCAUCUUUGACAAAAAAAAAAUCAAAAGAAAUUGUGCCAUGUGUCUCUCUCGAGUGAGAGUCUUUCUCUCUUUUUGAGAGUACUAGAAAUUGUGACCUGCACGUUGCUGUGGGGAGUGUGACUUGCACGUAGCUAUGAGAUUGAAAAUUUUAUGACAUAAUAUGGUUAAAACAUAUACAAAUCAUGUAUCCAAUGAUUGUGGACCUAAUAAUCAUAGACUCAGCAUCGAAUGCCUAAAUGUCAUCAAACCAAAGUAAACUUUCAUUUUACUAAGUUCUUAGCACUUCAGUUAAAUCUGAAGUUAAAAAAAGUAGUUCAAUUUGACUUAAAAUACACAAAGGAAGGCAGAUAGACAGAACAAACAGUUGCGGAAAAGUGUACAGUGACACUGAUCCUGCAAGUCAAAUAUGAAAAAUAUUCAAAAGAAAGUAAAAAUUCAAAUUAUUCCUAGCAUUAGUAGAUUAAAAAUGAAGAAAUAAAAUUCAUUUAAGUUUAUAUUGCUUGUCGCUUGACAAUUCAGCAUGGGAAAAAAAUGCAAGAGAAAAAUAUUGUUAAUAUCCGGUGAAGUGAAUAACAGUGAGUAUAACAUGAAUAUGCAUGUGCAUGGUAUGGAAAAAAACUGGACAAACCUAAAUCAACUAAGUUACAACACAACUACAUAUGCAAACAACGCAAAAGACUGAAUUAGGCGCAAGCCAACUAACUUUGAAUCUAACCAAAUCAGAAAAGCAAUCACAAUCAAACUAACCUCUUCUUCCCAUAUGAAGUAAAAGAUGUCUCCUAUUUUGCCUUUGCGAACAGCGCGCUUUUCACCCUUUACGCACAAAAAGAACACACUGAAAAUGCUUGACAACAUUAUAAAAGCUAUACAUACAACAUUAUAUAUGUAUUUGAACAUAAAGUAUAAAGAUUUACUAACAAAUUCAAGCUUAAAUUUAACAAAAUAAGUAAAUAUGAAUUGAAAUCAAACCAUAUCAUACUUGUUAAAAAACGUUUUUGACUAAAUUUGACAAAUAGCAUCAUAAAUUGUUCAAAAAUUAGCACCACUGAAAAAACUCAUUACUCCAAUAAAAAACGGAAUAUUGUUUGAUUUACAUUGAUAAAAUAUGACAAAAGUAGUCCACCGGAGCACCAAAAGUUUUCCUGCAUAUCCACCAUCACACAUUACUUAAAAACCAAAACAAAACACAAAAUUACACACACAUAACAAAAUUAAAUAGAAGACCAAUAAAAAAAACCAAUACAUUACGUAAAAGAAUUGUGGCAAUUAACCCAAUUUACAAUGAAAACGUUAACUGGACAGCCUUGUCGAAAAGAUUGGAUCAACAUAUUCCACAUAGGUAGUUCUUGUGGCUUUGGAUUGACAAUGGUAUUUGCAUACAAAAGAUUUAAUAAACAUUGUCCCAUUUACAUGCAAAAAAUGACAAAAAUAUUGUUCUAUUCAAUUACCUUCCAGAAAAUAAUAAUGAUAGUGAAAAUGCUUAUGUUAUUCGGUCAUAUGGCAGCUUGAAAUCGAAAUACUAAGCUCUCAAUUAACCAAAAAAAGGCAGUAACUUUGAAAAAUAUUUGACAACAUAUUACACACCAACAAUAAAAGGAUUUCCAUCAUUGUGAGAAAAAAAUCCUACAAAAAUUGGUAUUGUUCAUAUCACUAUAGAUUUAUAUCUAAUGGCAUAUAGUUUGAAGAAACUGACGACAUUUCUCCAGAGUAUUUUGAACCAAGAAAUGAUAAUGACAAAUAAGGGCUACGAUGAGCGAGAUUAUACGACUACUGAAAUUUUGGAUUGAAAGAAAUACAAUACUUGCAUAGGAAAAAGGGUCCAUCUCGAACACUCCAUAUGUAGUGGAUGAGAAACUAAGAAAGUAGCAAAAGAAAAAUUAAAUGGCAUAAACUCUAUGCUGAAUCAACACAUAACCAAACCCAUUUGAGUCUUACCUCGUGAUCAUUAACCCAACUAAUUGCCACCCACCUUAAGUUUUGCUACAUAAAUGCCCUUUGCAAGCAACCCAAAUGGAGUGGUCUCCUCUUCCAAAGUGUGCAUAUAUGGUUCUUUGUCAAGAGAAAAUGCACUCAACAUUUGCUCUAAUCGACUGACACAUAAGAAAGUAAAAACAAUUGGUACACCGGUUAGCAUAGUACUUACAUAGAGAAAAUGGUCCAUUUUCUAGACUCCAUAUGCAAUGGAUAAGAAACUAAGAAAAUAGCAAAAGAAAAAUUAAAUGGCAUGAACUCUAUGUUGAAUGAACACAUAACCGAACCCAUUUUAGUCUUAUGUCGCGAUCAUUUGCCCAAAUAAUUACCAGAUUUCCAAGUGAUAAAUCAAAUAUAUAACUCUUACUAUCAUGCACUACCAUUCCAAAUUACCAUGUCAAGAGAAGGGAAAGGAACAUUGUGAGGUGAAAAAUAUAACUAAGGGCAGAGUAGAAUUAAUCAUUUUGAUGUUCCUGUUAAUUAUGUCUAAAAGAAUUUCCAUAUCCAGUGCAUUCUUUCUCAUAAUUGACACAAAAGAAAAAAAUAUACGGCCAUGUUCAUGUACUUCAAAGAGGAACAACCAUAUACCUGAGUUUUUCAGAUCAUUAGUCACCUUCUUCCCAAAUUCCCUGAACAUAAAAUUCUCUUGCGCUCGUUUGUUUCAUGUUGUGCCUUGCUCCCAUUCAGAUCCUUCUAUUUCUCCUAGUUGAAGACUCUAAGUCAAGUAAAAUCAAACAUUUAAACGACUCAUCUCUCACCUGAUUGAUUGGUACCAAAUGAAGGCUAUUAAUACUUAUUUGUAAUUUAAUUAGCAAAAAAAUUAAAAACGCUUGAAUGAAUUUAACAAAUCGGUGAGCUACAGUAUGUAAGUAAUUAGUACUCUUGACAAUACCUGUUGCUUAUCCAAGAUAUAAUUCAAUGUCAAAUCGAAAUCAAAAUUAAUAUGAACUAAUUUAAAUAAGUGCAAGCAUUGAUACCUCAAUUGAAUUUUUUCUUGCCGAAAAACCUUGACCUUCAAAACCAAAUUACCUUUAUCAACGAAAAUGAAUCAAUUUAAGAAAGCCAAUACAAUGUAAAAAAAUAGCCAUUCAAUUCAGAUGUAUUUAGAUUAUACAAAGGUCCAUUCAAACAACCAUAAAGACAAAAAAUGAAAAUUUGAACAACCAACCUUUUCCAAAAACCACUGGUCCCACCCUUCUAACCUUUGAUUGAUCCAGUAAGAACCAAAAUAAUCUUAAAUGAAAAGAAACCCUAUUAAUUAACCUUCAAUAUCAGAAUCUAUAAUCACUUUCUUCAACUAAAUUGACUUUUUUGUUGGAAAACCCCACAAAACCCAGUUUACUUAUCCAUUUCUAAGGGAAUUGACAUACAUGCUUACGUUUCUCACCACUAGUCUGAUGCUCCACUUAUAUCCUGACUCAUUUCCUUGCAAACUGUCGUUUGAUUGCCAUAAGUGUCUAGUAGAAUUUUUUUGGAAGCUUGUAACUUUGUUUCAUUACUGGUUGUAAAUUUAUGCAGAAUACCGAUUGGAUUAAAAGGUAUUAAAUUAAUGACGUAUAAAAUUAGAAAAAACAAAUAGACACAAAAAAGGGACCGAAGUUCCACAUAUGGUGCAAGUUCAUAGAUUAGAACUUACCACUUGAAAUGUCUCUAGGAAUUUUCCGAGUUGGUGUUCAUGUUGCUUUUCAUCAUUCAUUCCAUCAAGCAUUAUAUACUCAAUGAAGAUUUUCUGUUGACUAAAGAGUCAGAUUAAAGAGCAAUAACGAGAUUUUCUAAGAUUGUAAAACAACAGUAAAGUUUCGUUGUAAACAAAUGAAAGCUCAAAGAAUUUACUAAAGGAAAAGCCCAAGCUGCAGCCGUUAUCUGACAAUGAAUUUCUUGGACUGCUGCAUGAAGUAAAAUUGCUAAUUUCAGACCUGGAAGAUGGCAAUGAAACUUUCCAUAUUUCUUUAAUCCAAAUUUUUAAAACUAAAAUCAUAAAAAAUUGAAUAAAGAAAAAAAAUCAACUUUUUUGAGCUAACCAAUCGCCAGUUUUUGAGUGCCUACUCAUGGAAGGAACUUCAAAAGUGGGAGCCAAAUGCAUAGCAGGUACUCUUUCACUCUUUCCCUAGGUUCUGUCCACUGACUCUGGCUUGUAAACAAAAACAUUAUGAACAGAAAAAUUUGAAAGAUGUUGUAGAACAGUGGAUGUCCACUCAAAUAAUUAAAUAAUUGGCCCUUCCUUUUGGUUGCUGAAGCUUGCUACACACUACUCCCAUUUUCUAUAUAAAUACAAACCCCACACAACAUCAAAGUGGGAAGACUCACGGGAGAGAUAGGAAGGAAGAAAAAGGAGAGAAAAGAAAGGAAGAAGAAAAGGAGAGAAAGAGAGAAAGGAGAGGAAGAGGAGAUGAGAUAAUGGAGAGAGUUAUCUUUGUAUUUCUAUUAUUUCAGAUUAUAAUGAAAGCACCACUGCUGCCCCAAGGACGUACUCCAGUCACAUUGACUGUAGAGGAACCUCGUAAAUUUGUGUCUUGUUUAUUUAUUCCAUUAAACACACCAUCGAUUUUAUAACACGUUAUCAGCACGAGAAGCUCUCAUGUCAGUGGAAAGCACAACGCCACAAAUCCUGUUCACAUCUGUCGCUUGGAAUCUCACAGAUAAGAAAAUUUUUCAUGUCAUCUUAAAAUCUUUGUACUACUGAUUUUCCUGAAGCAAAUAUAUAUAUGUUGUUGCAUGACUGUAUAUCAUUCUUUGCAGAAGCAAAAGAGUACAAACUCAAAAUUCGUAGAGAAUUUGACAGCCAUGUAAACAGCCUCGGAACUCCAACUUGCGGACCUCGGAUUGAAAUACGUUCUUCUUGAAAGUUGUUCAUCCACUCAUUAUCUACAACAUAUCAAAAUUUCCGAAAACUUUAACGGUGCGAUCGUCGCAGAUGUCUGAAUACCAAACCAGUUUCCACCUUCCGCAUAAAACUGGAUAGCCACCUUAUGAGUACCACAACUUCAUUUCUGUAGCUCAAAUCGAAAUUGUUUCUUCACGAAAGUUAUUUGGUAUCCUCUUAUCCAUAUCAUACUAAAAUUUGAACUAAAUCUAACGGUUUGAUCUUCUCAUAAGUUGCAGACACUCUUGACUCCAAAACUUAUGGGAACCGUUUCGACUUUUUCGAAACUCACUUCAGGAGGAACACCAAUUGGAACUUAUUAUUACUAUUAUUUACUGAGUAACCAAAAUGACUUCAGAACUGUGAAAUAAAAAUAAAAAUAAAAGGAAUCAGACAAAAGAAGUGGCAAACCAAGAAAAAUAAAAAGCAAAAGAUGAGGACUUAAUCAUUGCAUUUUCUGUUUUGGCAUAUUUAUGUGCAUGGUGUUGGUUUAAAUCCCAUGUCACAAGUUCUAUUUAUUUAAAGCAAUUUAUUUACAGUGGGUAGAAUUAUUAUCCUUUGCUUUAAAGCUUUGAUAUUUAUGAGAAGGGUGCUGAAUCAAAGCCCUUGUCACAAGCUUUAUUUACUUAAAAGCAAUUUAUUUACCAUGGACGGUUUUACGACCUACUGCUUUAAGUUUUGAUUUAUGUGAAUGAUUCUUAAUUAAAGCCUUUGUCACAAGUUUUAUUUACUUAAAUGUAAUUUAUUCAUUAUGGCUGGAAUUACCACCUAUUACUUUAAUUUAUUUAUUAUACUUAUCUUUUGUUACGACGAAUAUAUACAGUACCUGAACUUCCUUGAUCAGAUCAGAACCUGUAGUUUCUUGAUCCUCAACAUAUAAAAAUGAUUGGACCUGAAGUUCCAUCACACAAAAAGAUCAGACAUAAAGUCCCUUGAUCCUGAAGAUCAGGACAUGAAAUUCCUUGGUGAGUAUCGUAAGUUUAAAGUGUCAUAGUGGCUCAACUUAAUUGUAAUAAAAGCUAUAAGAGUCUCAGUCUACAGACUAUUUAAUAAGGACCAGAAGUUCCUUAUGUCCAUACUCAAAAUGGUUUAGCAGAAUCAUUUAUUAAGCGGAUGAAAUUGAUUACCUGUGCUUUGCUCAUGAAAAUGAAAUUGCCAGUUUUGACAUGGGGACAUGUCAUUUUACAUAAUUCAUUAUUAAGUUUGGUUAAGACUAGUUGCCAACCAUCAAUAUUUCUUAGUACAACUCGUGUUUGGGCACUAGCCAAACAUUAGCAUUUCGAGUUUUUGGUUGUGUUAUCUAUGUGCCUGUAAGAUUGCCAUAACGUACGAAAAUAAGGCAUCAAUACAAAUUGGGAAUUUAUGUUGAAUUCUGUUGAUGCACAAAACCGGAGGGGUCUUGGAACAACGUAAAUCCGACCAUGAAUCUGCAAGAAAGUAAAGAACACAAGAUAUAUCGUGGUUCACCCCAAUGUUUGGGCUACGUCCACACUGAUAUUGUAUUUCUCUGUUUGUGAGAGGAUUGUGAGAGUGAGAGAUUUGAAUAUGAAAGUGAGGCUUUGGGGAUCUCCGGCCCCUUCUUUAUGAGGGUGAGGAGUCCCUUUUAUAGACUAAGGGCUCCUCACUUAUUACAUAUUUACCCCUUCAUUUAUUACAUAAUUACAUUUGAGUCCCCCGAGUAUUUAUACGAGGUCUAAAUACGGAGGCCCUAAGUAUGGUACAAACAGUAGUCCCCCAAGUCUUCAGUCAAGAAAGUCUUUUGGUUGGAGACUUGAAAUUCAGUCCAUGUGUGGGCUAAAGUAACUAGAUGUCGUCUAGAACUAAAUACUCGAUAUGAGGCGGUGCUCAAUGUGAAAUGAUGCUCAACUAAAUGUAGCACAUGUUGCAAGGCUGCUCGGCUUGUGGCUUAUGUUGCCUUGGUUGGCUUGGCUUGUGGCGUUGAAGGUAAGGGAGUCCCUUUUAUAGAAUAAGAGCUCGCUCCUCAAUACAUAAAUGAUGGGUUAGAGUUGAUGUUCGCGGCGAAACGGUUGCUUAGCAGGCGGCGAUGCUCUCUAAUAAUGAUGAGGGAGUCCCUUUUAUAGAAUAAGGGCUCGCUCCUCAAUACAUAAGUGAUGGGCUAGAGUUGAUGCUCGCAGCGAGGCGGUUGCUCAGCAGGCGGCGAUGCUCUCUAAUGAUGGUGAGGAAGUCCCUUUUAUAGAAUAAGGGCUCGCUCCUCAAUACAUAAGUGAUGGGCUAGAGUUGAUGCUCGCGACGAGGCGGUUGCUCAGUAUGCGGCAAUACUCUCCAAUGAUGGUGAGGAAGUCCCUUUUAUAGAAUAAGGGCUCGCUCCUCAAUACAUAAGUGAUGGGUGCUUUCUAAUGAAAGUGAGGGAGUCCCUUUUAUAGAAUAAAGGUUCGCUCUUCAAUACAUGAAUGAUGGGUUAAAUCCCCCAAGUAUUUUUCAUGAAGCCCAGUUGCGGAAGCCCAAUACAUGGUACAUAGUGUAGUCCCCCAAAUCUUUAGUUAAUAGAGUCUGUUGGCUGGAGACUUCAAAUUGAAUCCAUGUAUGGGCCAAAGUGGCAGUUGUUCAGAGGCGGUAUUUGUAUACCCUGCAUUGAAGCUUUGUAGGUGAAGCUUUGCAAGUGAAUCUUUGAAGCUGGAGCUUUUGUAAAUGAAGCUUUUGAAGCUGGAGCUCUGUAAAUGAAGCUUUCGAAGCUGACUGACAUGAGUGAUGCUCAUAAAUAUUUAUGUUGAUUGACAUGAGUGAUGCUCAUGGAUGUUGACAUGAGUGAUGCUCAUGAAUGUUGACAUGAGUGAUGCUCAUGAAUGUUUAUGUAUGAUUGACAUGAGUGAUGCUCAUAUAUAAUUUUGGAGUACUGGACGUACUUUUGAUCACCUAGUUGGUGAUAAUAGCGGCAGGCUGCCGAAUAAUUUUGGAGCACUGGACGUACUUUUGAUCAUCUGGUUGGUGAUAAUAGCGGCAAACUGCCGAAUAAUUUUUUGUAGUACUGGACGUACUUUUGAUCACCUGGUUGAUGAUAAUAGUGGCAGGCUACCGAAUAAUUUUGUAGUACUGGACGUACUUUUGAUCACCUGGUUGAUGAUAAUAGCGGUAGGCUGCCAAAUAAUUUUAGAGUACUGGACGUACUUUUGAUCACCUGGUUGGUGAUAAUAACGGCAGGCUGCCGAAUAAUUUUGGAGUACUAGACUUACUUUUGAUCACCUGGUUAGUGAUAAUAGAGGGCCUGGCUCUUUUGGGCAUAUGGGCCUUCGCUCUCCACAUAACAUUCCAGCCCAUUAUUUUGGGCUUGCAGAUUUUUUUUAAAUUUUUUUUAUUACCCUUUAAUGGGGUUAUACAGAUGUCUCCGAAAGAUAAAAAAAAAAUAAAUUACAUCAUUCAAAAAAUCUGUUGUAGAAGGUGGGUAUGGCAGAUGGUUGGAUAGUGGGAUAACAUGUGCAGCGGGCAGUUGCUUUUGCAGUGUCCCUCAUGUGCUACUCAUCAUCGAAAACAAGCUUUACGUCUUGAGGCUUCCCCUUAUUCUUUGCAAUGUCACCCAUGUGCUACCCAUCCUCGAAAACAAGCUUUCUUGAGACUUCCCAUUGUUCUUUGCAGUGUCACCCAUGUUGCUUUGCAAGGUCAUCUUUUGCUUUUCUUGAUAUGUGAGUAGAUGCACCACUGUAAAAUGCUCAAUAAUUUCUCAUUAUUGCAAACUGCUGCAACAACGUGACUCUUAAAACUCUUUAGCAAUGAUGUAUCUUUUUGCCCUUCUGGAAAAGGCUCUGUCGGUUCAGCAUCAUCUUCACAACAUCAAGUGGUCAGAUGAAGACUCCAGCAGCCCAUGCCAAUUUGAUUCAACACCGGAACAAUCCUCCAAAUGCUGCAUGCGUUUCUUACAUAGACCAAUGAAUGCAGAAAAUUGUAGCGGUACACUCUCAUGGCUUCUAAUAUCACCAUUGAAUACAGGCGCUGAAUUAGAUAGCAUAGCUUCCACAACACACAAUCUAACUCGUUCCUGCAAAUAAUCGAGACUGUCAUUACAUGGAUUCCAAUUGGAGAAAGCUUUCCAAUCUUUGACGCAGCCGCUGAAAACGGAGGGAACGUUCUCGGAUUCGAUCCGAGAUGCGAAGUCUGUGGCCGAAGGAACUUCGUUCAAUCUUCAAACUCACAGAGAUGACUCCAUUGAUACGCUGAUUUGCUCUCCGACUUACUAAGCUCGGUGAACUAGCACACAACCAUAGCAGGAGAACGAGAGCAAGAGAUAAAUGAACUUGAUGUCUUCUGUGUGGGCAACAAACUUUUGGGUUAACCUGCUGUCAUUUGCGCUGAUCUUUUCUACCGCAUAAACUCCCCCCAACACCCUUCAAAGCCGCAAGAUUGAAUCUUUUUUACCAACCCAAAUUCCUGAAUCACCAACCUGAUUUGGUUCCUCAUAAUUCCAGCAUUUCCUUCACUGACCCCAAACUUUUGGGUUUAAAUUAAUGUGCCCCAACUGACAGCCUUCCCAAUUUCACAGAAACGUCAGAAGACUCAUCGGAGGAAGUUACAGAGAGAGUCCGGUGAUUCUUCGAGAAGAAAUCCAGGCCGCCUUCAUCGGAGUUCUUCAGCAUCAAGCUCAAGCUCUGACCUUGUCGGUGCUACGAAUAUGCUUCCUAGGAAUAUGUUUCCCACAAACUUCACCGAUCGCUGGAAUAUACUUCCCGGCUUAGCUCUCGUCGAUUAUGUAAAUGGGUCGGGUUUUGAACGACGGGUCAAGCUCAAUGAACUUCGUGAUCGCGGCAAAGAAGUGUUUCACGAUGGUGACUUGGUCUCUUGAGAUCUUCGCUGAGUUAGCGGCGAUGCUAAAUCCGGUACCGAUCGGGUUGUCGAGGAAGGUCAUGCCAAAGAUUCUGUUCCAGGAGGCGGAAUUGGGUUCCAAGGCCAGGGGGUCAUAAGGGUUUUUAUGGAAAUUUCACGAGCUAGGGGCCGAGCUCGUAGAAGUUACCGAGCAUGGAGGAACAGCCGGGGCCGCCUAGAGUCAGAAAAUGUCCGUUGUGAGGUUUUGAGCUUUGUAGAAAGUGUAGAAAAUGGCAGAGCCGCUGGUGGGAGCAGAGGAUUAUGAGGAAAGAUAUGAAAAUGGCUUGCUUCUUUGACGACAUUGCUCAAAUGGGUUGAAGGAGGAUGAGAGAUUUUGAGGUGUUUAUUUGGUGGAACAGGUGCUUAGUUCUUGGGUUUAUGCGGAUUCACGGUGGAGUGUGGUGAGGUCUCACGUUGGUGAGAUGAAAAAAUUGAAAGAGAACCGACAUAGCUUUUCAUGUCGAUUUCCUACAAACGGCGCCAAAUGUUGAUGCACAAAACCGGAGGGGUCUUGGAACAACGUAAAUCCGACCGUGAAUUUGCAAGAAAGUAAAAAACACAAGAUGUAUCGUGGUUCAUCCCAAUGUUUGGGCUACGUUCACACUGAUAUUGUAUUUCUCUAUUUGUGAGAGGAUUAUAAGAGUGAAAGCUUUGAAUAUAAGAGUGAGGCUUCGGGGAUCUCCGGCCCCUUCUUUGUGAGGGUGAGGAGUCCCUUUUAUAGACUAAGGGCUCCUCACUUAUUACAUAUUUUCCCUUUCAUUUAUUACAUAAUUACAUUUGAGUCCCCUGAGUAUUUAUACGAGGUCUAAAUACAGAGGCCCUAAGUAUGGUACAAACAAAUUUGAUCCACCAUCUAUCAUUCAACAUUUGGAACCCUUGACUGGGGAUAUAUUUACCGCAUGAUUUGCAGAUUAUGAUUUUGAUAAGACAAUUUUCUCGUCAUUAGGGGGAGAAAAUAACAUUGUUCCAGAAGAACGAUGAGAAAAUAUCAUUCUAGAAAAAUGAUAAAAAAAGACCGUUCCAAAAGAACGAAGAGAAUUUGUCUUAUUUUGAUUCACAAAGCAAUCAAUAUGAAAAUGAAGUAAGAAUAAUUGAAUGAUGCAACGAAAGUGAUGAAAUCAUAUAUACUUGCUGCAAAUGUGCCUACAAGAAUUGAUGUCCCUGUUGGACAAAAUAAUAUGACAGUAAAUUAUUUAUCUAUUGCAUGCCUGAAGCGUGGCAUACCCUUAGACUCAAAAGGUUCAUUCAUUCGAAAGAGGAAGAAUAUGGCACUCCUAAACUAUUGGAUUCACGAAGCAUAACUGUUGCAUGUCAGAAGCAUGACAGUCGCCGCAUGGAUAUACGACAAUCCGCAGAUAUGGGAAUGUUGAUGUCUUAUGCAUGAAGCAUGAUAGACAUAUAGGUUCUAAAUGACUCAACUCCUGGAAGUAUUUUUUUAAAAUCCAAGCUCUAUAACGCUCUAGAGGAAGUUAUGAUUCGCAUUCUCUAAAUUACGACUAUCCUGGAAGAGAUAGUGUAAUGCUCUUGAAGAGGCAAUGGAUAUCCAAAGAAAUAAAAAGCUUUUAUGCAUGCGCAUGCACAUGAGAAUAUGGGAUCACGGAUUGAUGAUAACCAAUAGUAAUUUUGGUUUUUAUAAGUAGCUACUAAAUUCAUCAAUGAGUUGUGUUGAUAUUGAGUCUCGUUCUUUUUCAUCAACAAAAUUAUUGGCCAAAAAUGGAGAAAAGCAAUUCCAUUACGCUUACAUGAUAUGACAUUACUAAUUAUACUCUUGUAAACGAGUUCAUAUGAAUGGAGAAUUAUAUACGAAGGGUUGUGAGUCACCCACAUCAUAUCUCCAUAAGUAAAUCCCUCAAGUAUACAUGGGAGCAAAUUGCUUUGUAUAAAUUCCAAAGGAAAAUGUGUCAUGAAGUGUAAAAAAUCCCUGAAGGAUUCAAAUUGCUUGAAGUAAGCCCCCGAAGGUUAAAGCAUAAAUUAUGUACUCAAUACCAAUGGAUGGUAUAAAUUGCCUUAGUGAGUACUAUCAUUAUGAUAUUGUUGCAACAUACUAAAGUCUCUUACAAGAGUCAAUGACAUUAAAUUAGAACUCCUGAAGAGUUGAUGAUAUUAAAUUGGGACUCCUGAAGAGUCAAGAAAGAUUAUAAAGUGCUGAGAGAAAUAUUGUCUCAAGCUGCAGAUCGAACAAUCUACCAACACGAAUCUUAUCCAUGAUGUCUAUGAUAUUAAAAGAACCAUAUGGAUUGAAGAUUAUGAGUUGAAUACUCAAAUGAUGUAGACACUAAGAAAGAUCAUUUAUCUUCGUGAGGGUAAAGAUAAAUUAAAGUUUGGUCCAGAAGUACCACAUCUUAGUGUGAAGUAUAUGCUUUAUUGUAUUUGGCACAAUACACUGAAUGAAAUAAAGCUUAUCUAUUAAUAUUUCUGAGAAAUUACAGAUAUGUGCAUACACAUGAGUUAAAACAAAUAAACAGGAUAGAGCCUUCACAAAGGUUGCUCAUGUGAAGCCUCAGUACUCGGAAGUACCCCAUAAUGAGGAAGCACUGGAAAUUGAUCAUGUGGCACCCUAGUACUCAGCAAAACACCAGAAAGGGAAAGCAUCGGUUGCUUUCGAAAUCUAGCAACGAACCUUUGGUGAUCACUUUAAGUUCGACUUUUGGAUUCCUGCAGCUGGUCGAGCUUUCUUUUCAUGCUCGUAGAGUAAUUAUUUGCAAGCACGUGCAACACUCUAUUCUCGUGCUUGAGCCAUCUGAUCUCUUGUUUAAGACUUGCCACCUCAGCCAUCAAUGAUUCAACUUGGCGAGUUUGAACAAGUAGGCGUUGGCCCAUAUUGGAAAUAGAGCCAGCACACUGAACACUGAGAGCCAAAGAGUCUUGAACGGCCAACUCAUCAGACCGUUUUGAAAGGAUUAUGUUAUCCUUUGGAGUAAGAAGAUUCCUAGCUACCACAGUAGCGGUUAUGUUAUUCUUCAUCAUAGAGUCCCCAACUGUAAGAGGACCAUUAAAAGAUAAGAAGGACAUGCACCAUAUGUUAUCCUGACGUUGCUAGUCUGUAUCACUCCUAAGACUCAAAUCUAAGCAAAUGUUAGAUGGGCAAGCCAUUCUUAGAAAUGAUGAAGAAAAAAAAAGGUCAAAUAAAAUCUCAGAAGUGCAAGUAGGGGAAAAUUUCUACAUGCAGCAACUUUUUAAGCAUACUCUUGAACAUAAUUGAUGUCUUUAUAAAAGAAGAGGCAGUAGAGCCACUUGUUUAGAGAUCGAAGAUGCACUGCUCUCCGAAUUUCAAAAGCCAGAUUUUCCUGAAUAAAGUUCGUUGGCAUUUUCAGAUGCAAUCUCAGCUUUUUCUGUUAUCGCGUGCAACUUUGUCAAAGAUCUUUGAAAAAUUUGAAAACGCGUAAAUCUUACUGUUCUAAUUACACCACAGUUGCUAACAAGAGUAAAGGCACAACACCACUACCUGCUAUUAGGAAAUCCCUAUAUAUGUCGACCUUCAUCGUCCAUGGCAAGGCACACAUCCUAAACUCCUAACUUUUUCUCAUCUCCGAGAAUGCAUCUUCAACAAAGCAUCUCGAAAUACUCAGUUUUCUUUCUCUCUGAGAAUACCUAUUCAAACAAGUCACACCAGAGCAAGAGUCUCUCAUAUCUUCAGGGACGAGGGACGAGAGUAAGAGUAUCUCAUAUCAUGCAAUCUUUAUGUCUUUUCUUUUUUCCUUGUUCUUACCUGCAAAGAUAAGGAUAAAGAAAGCAAUAUGUCGGAACCUCCACUCAAACUCCCGGUAAGGAACUGACUACUUGGAACCUUUCCUGAUUGCUUACCUAAUAUUGCUCUCGAAUAGCCAUCUUCAACUGUUGUUGAAGCUGGGUCUCCAGUCACCAAGAAGUGAUGAACCAUCCAAAUGCAAGGGUUGCAUUCCACUCCUGCAUCAGAAGGCAAAUACUGCAGGAGAAUAUGCCACACAUGCAUGGGGAAAACCAGGGAAAACCAGGGAAAAUACUACUUAAGCAAGGGAAGCAAGUAAGGCAAAUGAAAAUGAUACAUUGAAGCAUGUGGAGACAAGCGCAACAAACACAUGUUGAUUCAUCCCCGACAAAGCCGAAGAUCAAUUGCCACGUGAAGCUUCUCACGGUACAACUUCAUUCAAGAUCAAGUUUCGAAGGUCCUUGAAGAAAUUACAAGUUCGAUUCAAGAUCAAGUGUCCACCACCUUUGAAUUAAAUUUAGCUCCAAAUAGAAGAAGUAAAUUCAGACCUUUGGAGGAAAUCUAGCAGAAGGCUCUUCAGCCCAGUUCAAGAACAAGCCUGUGGAAAGUUAAUAACAAGCAAAAUACCUCUUUCGGCAACUCUUUUUGCUAAGAAACUGAAGCAGAAUGAUUAACGAUCAGUCUAAAUGAUUUGAAAUCAUGGGGAAAUACUCAUCAGGGGGAGCAUUCAAAACAGAUCAAGAUUUUAACUAGUCAAUCGAAGACUUGUGGCCAUCCAAGGGGGAGUGUUGUAGAACAGUGGAUGUCUACUCAAAUAAUUAAAUAAUUGGCCCUUCCUUUUGGUUGCUGAAGCUUGCUACACACUACUCCCAUUUUCUAUAUAAAUACAAACCCCACACAACAUCAAAGUGGGAAGACUCACGAGAGAGAUAUGAAGAAAGAAAAAUGAGAGAAAAGAAAGGAAGAAGAAGAAAAUGAGAGGAAGACAGAAAUAAGAGGAAGAAGAUAAGAGAUAAUGGAGAGAGAUAUCUUUGUACUCAUAUUAUUUCAGAUUAUAAUGAAAGCACCACUGCUGCCCCGAGGACGUACUCCAGUCACACUGACUGUAGAGGAACAUCGUAAAUUUUGUUUCUUGUUUAUUUAUUCCACUGCACACACCGUCGAUUUUAUAACAAAAGAAACAGGCCCAAAAUUUUAGCAUGCCAGAUGAGAUUAUAAAUGUUAUUAAAAUGAGUGGCAAUAGAAUGCAGUGCAGAUUUUUAGAUGGUGAUAUUAAUCUACUGCUUUUAUCUAUGUCAAUAUUGUGGAUGCAAAUUUCUUCCUCUUUGAUCUUGAACAAAAUUUAUUCAUGCUGGAAGUCCUUUUUGGAAGGCUGCUCUAGUUAUUGAGUCAUUAGAUCUGACUAUUCUUGCCUUCUCUACUUUGAACCUCCUUACAUAGUCGCGAAGCGACUCCUUUGGGUUCUUCUUGACGUCGAACAAAUGGUCGGACUUCUUUUUGAUCGAUCGAUAUGAUGAAUAUUCUUUGGUGAAAACCAAAGAAAUUUCGUCGAAAUUCCGGAUGGAUUGUGGCAGCAGGGUGUAGAACCAAUCUUGCACCUUGCCUUGUAGAGUGGUGACGAAUAUCUUGCACAUGAGAUCAUCGUUGUUUCGAUAUAGGAUCAUUGCGCUUCGGUAAUGCUUUAAGUGUUUCUACGGGUCUUCAUCCCCUUUGAAAGAUGUGAAAUGUGGCAUGCUGAACUCGCGUGGAGGCUCUGUCUGCUCUAUUUCAUCCGUGAAGGGUGACCUGCUUAUGUUGGUCAUGUUCCAUCAUAGUGCCUUGUUGAUGACCUCGUUGCGUUGGAAAUUGCGUAAUCGUUUGGUCAAGAGUGUCUCUACUUCUUCCUGAAUUUACCUUUGUUAAGGUAAUAGGGCUCUCAGUUGCCCCCAACCGUUACUUGCUGGUCUAAGCUGCUCUUCCAUGUGUUUAGCUCGUCUAUGCCGCGGAUGCGAUGUGUGUAGCGCAUUACUAGCAGGCAAGCGAAUUCUUCACAGGCUGCCAAUUAAACUUGAGCCGGAUUGAGUGAUUGUUUCUCUCCGUCUGUCGUGCUGCCUACUCCAAUAUAAGGUGGAGGAUGCUCCUUGCAGGCUUAGCCGCGAAUAAACACUUCACCUGAAAGGUUGCUCAUGUUGACUAUCGGAGUGUGACCCCAACUGUGAAUGUAUGCUCGUCUGUGGGCCUAGUCGAUAGUGCACGCUUCUCUGCACUCUAAGAUGGGAGUAUACGCUAUCUCGAGGGCCAAAUCAUGAUUGUACACUGCCUGAACGCUCGGUUUGUGGCUGGUCGAGUGGCUGCUUACCGAGAUGCUGCUAGAGAGGUUCUUUGUCUGCCUUUGUCCUACUUCGAGACACCUCGUCUAGGGCACGUUGCAUCUCGGUGCGUUGCAAGAGCUGGUUCACCAAAGUCGUCUGCUAUGUGAGGGCGUUCGUCAACUCUAUGACUUGUCGAGAUAAGUGUUGUUCUCCAUUUGGGUUGGAAUAGCUUGGAAUGAAUGCGUCUUCUUGAGCAGUGGAAGUGUGGUAGACUCCGAACGCGAGAUUUGAGUUGGGAAAUGCCAAAUCCGUAGAAAAAUGUGGUGAAAAUGCUCUUGGUUCGAUCGUCAGUCUGGAAAUUUGAAGUCGGGAUAGUUGAACUAAUCUUGGAUCGAUUUGGGCUACUUGGAAGGCCAUAGGAGCAAACUGGGCUGUGGAAACAGGUUGGGCCACGAGAGUGGGCUGCUCGACUGGAGCAAGCUGGGCCACAGAAGUGGGUUGCUCGACUUGAGCAGGCUAGGCCACGGGAAUGGGUUGCUCGGCUUGAGCAGGCUGGGCCACGGGAGUAGGCUGUGUCACGAGAGUGGACUACUCGGCGGGAGCAGGCUGGGCUACGAAAGUGGGCUGCUCGGCGGAAACAGGCUGCUCGGAGUGUGAUACAUAUAGGUGCGAGGCUUGGGCUCGGCUUGGCAACGCGUUGAGUUCGCGUUGGGCUUGGAGUGACAUGGCUUGGGUCGUGGCCUUGGUGCCAUGAGCCUUGGAUGGCACGGCUCAGGCCGUGGUAGCGGUGUUAUGGACCUCGUUGCGAGUAGUGAUGAUCGUGGUGGCCACCGUGGUGGUUGCCAUGGUGGAGCCCCAUAGCAAUGGUGCUGCUCCUAUGAUCACAUUUAGCCUCGUGGAUCGUCGUGGUCCCAUUUCUUGAAUAUUGGAAUUUUCACUUGUGGAAUUUUCUAAAUUUCUAGCCAUUGUAUUUCUCUUUUACAUUUUAUCAAAGAAUCUUUGCAAAUAAAAAAUUCUAAUAAUAAGAACGUACGAAAAAUCUACAAAUGGACAAGAAAAUAGAAAAACCUUUUGAUGCGGGAGUCUUCUACGAGUGGGUGACUUUUUUCUCAAUGAAAACACCAAUUUAUGGAUACAAAUUUCUUCCUCCUUGAUCUUGGACACAAUUGCACCUACAAAACAAUUAACAUCUUAGGUCAAAGCCAAGAGCCUCACGCACCCACGAUGAAUGGGGGGGCUUUGGCCGAAGAACCUCUGAUGCCAAAGUUAGAAUUUAGAGAGAAAAAAUGUUUAAGAAUUCUAGAGAAUUUUAGCAAGAGUUGGAAGUCAUUUUUGGGAGAGAAUGGUGAGCUAUAUAGAGGGAUAUGGUCGGCCCUAUUAGGAGAAUAGGGAUCGGCCAUUUAGGUAUUUUUUGGGUGUAAAUUAUGGUUAAUUAGCCAUUAAUAGAUUAAUUACGUAUUAAAUCUAUUAAUUGACUAAUUUACAUAUUUUGAAAGAAAUUAUUUGGGGAAUUAUGGAAUGAUUAAGAUAAUUAGCUAAUUGAUUAGCUAAAAGAGGGAAAAUGAGGUAAAAAAUAUAUGGAAUGAAAUAGGUUUUGGGAGUUACCUUGUAAAAGGGGUUUGAUGAGAUAGGUUUUGAAUUGUUACCUAUUUUGAGCACUUUUGACUUGGUUGAGGGAUGAUUACACGUUGCUCACGCGUAGGAAUCCCGUUAUGCCUCAAAUGUAUUUUUGUCCUCUUUUGUCCAUAAAUCCACAUGUCGCCUUGUGAUUGUUUUUGCCUCCACAAAUAUCUCCUUAUGAAGAUGUUAAUGCAGUAGGAAGGAAAAUGAAGAAAUGGGAUUUUGGAGAAGAGGGUAGCUCGGGCGGAGGAGGAGAAGAGGAAGCAGAUGGAGAGCCCCGUCGGGAAGAGAUCGGGUAGCGUUUGGUUGGUUUCCCCAGUCCAGAUUAGGGAGCUGGAAAAAAAAAAUCUAUCACGUCAAGUUCAAGCCUUCACUUACCACAAAGUAUUGUGUGUAUACUAGGCAUUCAUGUGGCUUCCCUUGCUCAUCCUCUGAAAUUAAAUACAACAACAACAACAAUUCAAAAUAAUAAAUUAAAAUUUAAAAUCAAUUUUUUAAUCAGUGAGCAAACAUAGAUUUGCACAUACAAAAAGAAGAGAAACAAUGAAUAUAGAAGCACUCGUCGCCACGAUGAGGAGGUUGAAGGGAUUGGUUUUAGCUUUUCCGUUGAAAAGUUGGCUUUCUUCUUCUCCUUUUGAUUCAUAUUCUAUUAUGUGUCGGUCGCUGUUCUCCCAUUUCUUUCCUUGUUUUUUUUCCUUACUUCGACUAUUUUUUCGCCUUGGUUGUAUACUGAUCUAUUAUGUUUCUAUUUCCGUAAUAGUUUCCCUCAUCUUUGUUCAUCCAUAUUCCAAUUUUGAACCAUACAACCUGAGAUUGUGUGUAGAGCUCCGAUAUUUUCACCGGCUCGAGUGUUUCCAACACCACCACUUUCUCCUUAUAUUGCGUUAUCGGUAAUGUCAUUCGUGGAUUUCCAUGAACUUCAUCUUCAUAGCUAGCUUCUCUUGUUUAGUUGCUAGCUAUCCUUACUUUAUGGCUAUGCUCGGGAAGCAAAUUGGAGUUGGAUGUGGCGUUUGGUUAGGCGUUGCUUGGCUGUGGAAGAUGAUUUGGAUGGAUGGGGAAGAUCUAUGGUGGCAGCGAAAGUAGUAGAAGUUUCUGGUUCUGUUACUGUGUUCUGGUUUGUAGGCCUAACUCUUUCUUGGGCUCUUUUUGUGUUUUGUUUAGUUUUGGCCCGUUUUUUGUUGUUUAUAUGUUAGUUUUGGGCCAUGCCUGUAUGUAAGGUUUGUGUUUAUAAUAAAAAGUUGGGUAAAUUACAUAAAACUACCUCAAUUAUUGGAUCAUUAACAAUUUCAUAUCUCAUCUUUAAAAAGUUUCAAUGCCAUACCUUCCGUCAGUUGCUUGUCAAUUCUUCUGUAAAAUGAUGACGUGGCAUGAGGCGGGGCCCACUUUCUAUUAAAAAAAUUAAUUAAAUAUUUAAAAAGGUCGUACCCAGUGCACAAGGCUCCCGCUUUAAAUAUUUAAAAAUUAAAAAUAAAAAACCAAAACCCAAACCCAAAUCCCAUCACUCCUUCCCCCCCCCCACGAAACAUAUCCCAUAUUCCCAUCUUCCUCAUUCGUCCCCCCAUUCCAAACCCAGAACCGCACCCCAACUCCCCCGCAACCCCCCCUUUCUUCAUCCCGAGCCUCCCAACCACCUCAUUUUCCUCCACUCUCUUCACCUCUCUUCCCAUUCAAAAAAAAAAAAUCAGACAACCUUCAGCCCUCUUUAGCCUUCUUGAAGCUCGGUAUAGCAUCAAAGACAACCCUUGACAUCAGCUCGCCACCCGACAUCACAAGGUCAUCUUCACCAGCGCCGACCACUUAUCAAUAAACGAAGUCAUCGACCGCGUUUGACACAAGCUUAUCGAUCGCUGCCACUUCUCCUCUGUCGUAGUUCUAAGCCAUAAGGGUCGCUGCCACAGGAAUUGAGGCCUUGUGGAUCGAAUGAGCAGUCGGACAAUCUGGACAAUCUGGGUUUAGAUUUGUUUUUUUUUUUUUUUAAGUUUUGAAUGGGAUGGGAGGUGAAGAAAGUGGAGGAGAUGGAGGUGGUUGAGAGGCUCGAGAGGGAGAAAUGGGGGUUGCAGGGGAGGUGGGGGUAGGGUUCUGGGUUUGGAAAAUAGGACAGAUGGGGAAGAUGGGAAGGGGGAUGGGUUUCACGAGGGGGGAGAGAUGGGAUUUGGGUUUUGGUUUUUUUUUUUUUAAUUUUUUAAUAUUUAGUUAAUAUUUAUUUUAUUUUUUUAAUAAUUUUUUCUUUUUUAAUAGAAAGUGGGCCCCGCCUCAUGCCACGUUAGCAUUUAAUAGAUGAAUUGACAGACAAUUGACAGAAAGUAUGACAUUGCAACAAAUUCGAAGAUAAGGUAUGACAUUGAAACUUUAUAAAGACAAUGUAUGAAACUGUUAAUGACCCAAUAGUUGAGAUAGUUUUAUGUAAUUUACCCUAAAAAGUUACAUUUUACCAAAAAAUAAUAAUAAUAAAAGAAAUUUGAUCAUUUAUUGUAUUAUGUGUGUGUAUAUGUGUAUGUAUGUAUGUGUGUAUGUAUGUAUGUAUGUGUGUGUGUGUGUGUGUGUGUGUGUGUGUGUGUGUGUGUGUGUGUGUGUAGGUUAAGAGGCCAAUGAAAACUUGAUCUUUUUUUAAUGAAAAAUUGACUUCAGUAAGCGCAUAUCUAUGAUAAGGAUGGUAACAGUUCAGUUUGGGGACGAAAAUGUUAUAUUUAUCCUCAUAACCACAAAAAUUAAUUAUAUCUAUAACCGUAAUUAACCAUCGGAGAUUAUCCAUAACCAUACACAUCGAGAAACAAAUCGGUUAACGAUUAUAUUCAUCUUCGUCAAUAUAAAAAUAUAUUUGUUCAACACAUUAUAUAUAAUAAAUACUAAUUUCAUCAUUAAAUAUCCAUGUCCAACCAAUAAGCCAAAUAUGAUAAAUUAGUCUAAUGAAAAGAAAAAAAAAAGGAUGACAAAAGCAAAUACAACAACCACUAAAGAAGAAAGACAAAACAAAUCAUCAAAUAAUUAUGAAACUUGUGACGACAAAAUCAGAGCAAUGAAUUAAAACAUUAAUUGACACGCACCAACCCCUAUAUCCCCAAAUAUCAGGGUAGGCACGUGCUGGCCAACACCCGAGGGUGACAAAGCCAUUUUGAACAUGCAUACAAUUAAGAAUACCUAAUUAGAAUGACUUAAACCAAAGCAAAAUCAUGUUCAGGGCAUACAACUAACCAAGAAUAAUAUGAAAGAAUUAUUAUGGAAAGGUACAAACCGAGGAAUGUGUCCUACACAAAGGAGACUUAAAGAUCUCUAAGCGGAAAUGCCCUGACGCCAGGAUCGUGUGCCUUGACUCUGACUCCUGAGGGGCGCAAAACAGAAAAGGUGAGUGGACCGAGGUUUAUAAUAAUACUAGUAGUAGGAAAACCAUUUUCUUUCUAAACAUACUAACCCCCUGUUUUGAAAACAUAUAUAUAAUACUGCAUAAUAAGUUUUUCUGAAAGCUUUACAUGCCAUGCAAAGCAUUCUUAAAAAAAUGCAUAUGUAAAACAGUGCUCAGUGAUGGAUGUAUGGUAAAUCUAUAAAAACACAUUAUACUGUACUCUUUAGGGGUAUCAUAGUCGCCCGAAGGCAGUACAUGUUCAUCACCCGAAGGUGAAGCUGAAUAAAAGAGCAUACAUACAUACCGACACUAGUUGUGGCUAGUGAAGCUGUCUGACACCACUUUCGGCUGUGAAGCUAGGGGUAUAUAUAUAUCUCACUACUCCUUCACUGUGUCCUAUAGCCAUAGAUGUCAUACCCGUGGUGUGUGUAUAUGUCGUAUGAUAACCCACUAGAUAAGCACCAAAAACAUAUUUCAAAAACCUGUAUUUAAAACACCAGCUAAGCUCAAAACUCAACACCUCAUUUCAUAAACCACGAUAAUGCAUAUUCAUAAAACCCAAGUAUAUCAUUUACGAAAACCCCAUAUUUUAUGGCCUUUAGAAAAACGUAAAUUCGAUAAUUCAUAAAUAUUUCAUAAAAGCAAUUUAAAUAAAUCAUAAGUAUAUAAAUCCAUAAAACAUAAUGGGUAAAUUACACUUUCAUACCUCAAGUUUGAGAUCUAUUUCAAUUCCUUAUAACAUCUUCAAAACAUUUCACUUUCAUACCUUAAGUACUAUUUUAUUUCAAAAUAAUACCUCUGUUACAUUUUCCAUCCAUUGAUCCGUUAAGUUCUGACGUAGCUGCCACAUAUAUGUCAAAUGUCUGCCACGUGGCAAAAAAAAUUAAUUUCUUUUUAAAAAACCUGAAUUUUCUCAAAAUAAAUAAAUAAAUAAAUAAUUGAAACCCAUCCCAUCUCCCCGCAACCACCCUCACAUCCCUAAACCUGCAAGAAGAAGAAGAAGAUGAUGAUGAUGAUGAUGAUGAAGGGAAAAAACAAAAGGCCAUACCUAGUUCGUCCCCCCCCCCCACAACUUAGAAGAAGAAGAAGAAGAAGAAGAAGAAGAAGAAGAAAGAGGAGGAAAAAAAAAUUGAAACCCAUCUCCCCGCAACCACCCCCACAUCCCUAAACCUGUAACAACAACAACAAGGAAAGAAAGAAAAAAAAAAGGGCCAAACCCAGUUCGUCCCCCCCCCCCUUUUCACCCCUAAAAACCUACAACCUAGAAGAAGAAGAAAAAGAAAAAGAAAAAGAAGACGAGGAAAAAAAAAAUUUGAAACCCAUCCCAUCCCGUCUCCCCGCAACCACCCCCGCAUCCCUAAACCUGCAACAAGAACAAGAAGAAGAAGAAGAAUGAGAGAAAAAAAAAAUUAAAAAAAAGGCCAAACCCAGUUCGUCCCCCCUCCCCACCCCAAAAAACCUACAACCUAUAAGAAGAAGAGGAAAAAAAAAUUAAAAAAAAAACCAGAAAUCGUCUUCCCCGUCCACCCCCUUCUCCCAUCCAUCAUCACCCACCCCAAAAUCCCACUCGAGCCACCCAUUUCUUCCUUCCCCCAUCACCCCUCCCAAAAAUCCCCCAUCACCCACCCCCAAAAAUCCCACCAGAAAUUAGGUGGAUCUAUCAUAAAACCAGUCCAACAAUCAUCUCAAACUCAAACUCCCCAUCUCAAAGUAUUUUCGAAACUUACCCACACUGAAAAUCUAAAAAAUAUGGAGAGUCAUUGUAUGGGUGGGUUCGCGUAGUGAGGAGGGAUGGAAGGCUGGUGCGUCGCGCGGGGGGCGGGGAAAGGGGGGAGGGAGUUGGGUGGCGCACGAGAGGGGGAGGGGGGGAAGGCAGGUUCAAGCACUAUUUUUUUUCCCUCCUUCUCCUUCUUCUUCUUCUUGUUACAGGUUUAGGGAUGUAGGAGGUGCAGGUUUAAGGAUGGGUUUCAAAUUUUAUUUUAUUUAUUUAUUUUUUGAGAAAAUUCAGUUUUUUAAAAAGAAAUAAAAAAUUAUUAUUUUUGCCAUGUGGCAGACAUUUGGCAGCCACGUGGCAUAUAUGUGGCAGCCACGUCAACACUUAACGGAUUAAUGGGUGAAAAAUGUAACGGAGGUAUUAUUUUGAAAUAAAACAGUACUUAAGGUAUGAAAGUGAAAUGUUUUGAAGAUAUUGUAAGGAAUUGAAAUAGACCAUAAACCUAAGGUAUGAAAGUGUAAUUUACCCAAACAUAAUAGAAAACAUAUUCAAAUCAUGAAGUGUGAAAUGCAUGCUAGACUAAUAAUUUAUAAAAUAUGUAAGUUUAGAAGGGGUUCACUCACAUAUAUUUUGUUGCCCGAAAGCCACUCGAACUAGCAAGGAAUGCGUCGCUUCCAACCGAUACACCUAACCAUAAUUUGAGACCAUUUAGUAAAACUAUACCUAAAUAAUAGAAUUUGGGAAAUCGAACAGCGAAAUUGGAAUCAGAACGUCGAAAUUAGUCUAGGAGGGGUCUCGGCCAAAAUCUGAAAAAGUCAACCCAAAAGUCAACAUUGAUCGAAAAGUUAAUGGGUCGGGUCUGGUUCUGGGCUUGAAGGGAUGGAUCGGGUUAGGCUAAAGGGCCAAAGGUUAGGCCAAGUUUAAGGAUUGGGCUUAAGCUAAGGUUAAGGACUUGGGCCUGGGUAAAUGGGUUCAUGAAUUUAGACCUAAAUUGGGCUUGGGCUGGGUUAUAACAUUAGGCUAAUAGGUUUGAGCCUUGACAUGGACAAUAGGUUAAUAGAUUUGAGCUGACUAAUGGGUUUGGGCCAGAUUCAAUUAUUGGGUUGGGUUAGUUAUUAGGCUAGGCUAGGCUGCUUCGGGUUGGGUCUAACCCGUUAAACUCGUGGGGCAUCCGAUCCAGCGAAGAAGAAGGCUGGAAUUGGGCCAAGAAAUUUCCCAACUCCGUUUUGGGGUCAAAACUCAACAAAAAAAACAAUGAUUCAAAGAUCAUAUUGAAGCUAGAAAUCUAGAGGACAAGUUUGUAACAAAGUGGGGCCAAGUUAUCGUCGGUGUUGGCCGAAAAUCCCCUGCAAACCCGUGGUACUUGUCGAAAAACUGGAAAUGUUUCCUCCUUCGAUGCUUCUAUGUCCAACCACAUUGAUUUAGAAUAUUAACAUCCUAAUAUGGUUUUUAAUUCACGAAGGAAGAACGACAAAGGUGAACCGAGGCAUACCUUGGUUGGGAUCCAAGAAACUCGCGGGAGUACGACAAGGUGAUGUCGUUGUGCUCCCUUAUACAGAAAGAAGUCAGAUGAAGAGAGAGAGUUGAGAGAAUUUAAGGGAAACAGAGUGAUGGUGGUGAGGUCAUUGUCGCUGUCGUACAUUUGUACGUGUGUGUGUGUGGGUGGAUGGUGCUCGGGAAUGGAGAUGAGGGGAGUGUGUUGUUUCCCGGGGAGAGACAAAGAGAAAGAGAGGGAAAACGAGAAAGAAAAAAGUUCGAGAGAUUUGGGGAAGGGACCACGUGGCAAGAGAAGAAUGGAGAGUGUAGUGUAGGUGUGGGUUCCACAGCCUGAAUAAUAUUAAAAUAAUUAAAUAUCCAAUCCUAAUAUCUCGAAUAGUGGAAUGAUUAUUUUGCCCCUCCACUUCGUAGUUCAGUAAAAUCCUCAUCGGAACUCCAAAUUACAUUUCGUUUGCAUCCACACGUUCGUAAUGACGAGUACUUCAAGAAUACGCCAAGGAAACGAAUCUUAUGUGACACGACAAAAUGGUCAACAAAAGUCAACAUUUGGCCCCAUAAGGCAUUUUUUAAAAUUUACGUAUUAAUAUUAUAAAAAUUGUAAUAAUUGGGGAUGGGUCGUUACAUUAAUAAUGUUGGCUAAUCUUUGAACUCUUCCAUAAGCACCAUUGAAUUCUCAUUGGUUUUGAUUCAAAAUUUUGUACUUUCCCACAAAAUGCAACUUUUGUAAUGCUUAAGGUAAAAGGUUUAGUGAAUGUACAUAUAUAUUAUAUUAUGUAUAAGUUAUAUUAUAUCCUUAAUAAGUAUUAUUCGGAGCGGAUUCGGGAAUAGAUACUGAUCGGGGACCCUUAUAUCCAAAUCGGAAACCAUAGCCUAAUAAUAUUUCAAGUUUUCCUCCAUAUCCAAAAUAUAUUCGAAUUUCACCUCCAAAUCCGUUCUUUUUGGUUGGGCUAUCCAUGAUUAUCGGAGUUAACGAUUUGAAUUGUCAUCCCUAAUCUAUGAGGACAUAUACGAAACAAAGAGAAGCCAAGAUGACAAUGUAUCAAACUAAAUAUCUACUCAAUGUGAAAAAAAUUAAAACUCAUAAUAAUGCAUAAUAAGUUUGAAAAACUACCGUGACACUUUUGAAGAUUUUUUCCAUUGAAUUUUCUCUAGUGAACAUCAAAAGAGCACAGUUACAAGAUCAAAGAUACUGUCAUUCAGGAUAGCUUUUUUAAUGUGUCUGGAACACGAGGAAAUACGUUAACACACUGGAAAUACGUUAUAUGUCAUUAUACAUGAAGGAAAAUUAUUUUUGUCAAAUAUUUUUCAACUUAUAUAAUGACAUAUGACGUUAUCAUGGGAAUUCUCUUCUAGCAAACGGACGAACUGCAUUUGGGGCCUACCACGGUAGACUGCCCAUUACGGUGAAAAGACGUGACCCCAAAUCUUGUCCAGUCUUGUUUGAUGGGCCUCCCCAAUGUAAGAAAAGAAGACGCAUGGGGCACUAACAAUGACAGGUCUUUUAGCCCAUGUGGUGCACUUUUCACCUUAAAUCAUGAGUUUGUUCUUUCGUAUAGGUUACAAGUAAGAGAUCCGAAGCUGAAACCUCUCUUAUAUUUUGAUACGCGAAGUAUUACUAGAUUAAGAGUUAGUUGAUAAAAUCGGAUCGGUUUGGCAUUGAGAGUGAAAUUAUAUGAAAUGAGGGUGACACAAAUACAGUCACAGAAGCAAAGACAACCAUCCUUUUUAAGACCGAAGUGAUUGAGAAUCUUUGGUUCUUUCACUUUAUGACUCCUUUAUCACAUUAUUUAAAUUAAUCCAACUUAAACAAACUUAAAUGAAUGAUGGUUACAUAAGAUACCUCCUUGUCCACUAAUUUUUAAUCAAUUUAAUUAAUUAAAUUUAAUUAUAAUUAUACUAUACAACAGAUAUCUAGGAUUCCGUAUCUUCUUCUUUCCGCAACAUGGACGGCUGACAAUUGAGAGCCUUUACUUGCCCAUAUCUAUUACAAAUAGACAAGAUAUUGGUGCAAUAAUUUUAGAUGUUCCCCAUGGAUGUAGAUGUUAGAGUUGAAAAACCCACCACUUCCGCAAUCCCUCGUAGCAACUCCCCCAUGGAUGUAGAUGUUAGAGUUGAAAACCCACCACUUUCGUAAUCCCUCAUAGCAACUCCAGUGUAAAAGCCCCCAUUCCAGAUUAUUUACUAUUUAAUCCAUCCAAUGAAUAGUAACUGUUCUUAAUAAACAGUAAUUACAGUGGUAAUUACCUUUUGCAUCUCCACUCCUGUACUGAAUAGCCUGUCAAUUGGCAAUAAAAUAUUAUUAUUUUUUAUUUAUAAAAUAAUACAUAAUAAUUUUAUUUGUAAUUUCAGAUAAGAUUUUUAAUCGUUCUCGUUGCGCCACGUGUCAUUAUCCGCAAAGAUAAUUUUUCAUAAUUUUUUUUCGGAUUUUAAAGAAUUUUUUACAUUUAAAAAAAAAAAAUUUAUUCACCUAAUUAAUCUUUGCCGUUGGAUUUUUAAAAAAAAUUGAAUUCCAACACUCCAGGUUGUGCCACGUGGUACAACGGUAACAUUUCAGAAUUUUAAACUGUUUUUUUUUUAAUUUACAAAGCCUAAUAACGUGGACCGUUGAUCUUAGAUCAAACGGAUGAAAUUAAAUGAGAUUUUUAAAUGUUUUUUACCGUUGGAAAUCCAACAGUCCAUAAAAUAAGGCCGUUACAAUCGAACAAACAUGGGGAAGCUACGUGGCUUCCCCAACAGUAGCAUUUCAAAACAGGCGCCGUUGGCCCCAGCCCUGUUUUUUUGUCAGAAGACGCGAGCAUGAAACGCACGUGCCUGACGCAGCCCUCGGGUUCUCGGGCUGGCAAUCGACGCCGGGCCUGCUCCUCGGGCCUUGCCUGUCACUCGGGCUACCCAACGCUGGACCCUAUCCCCCGACAAUUUGGUCCUGUUUGAAGGCCUAGCCCUCGAGCAAACUCCCUCGCUGGAGUUGCUCUCAUGAGAGAAAAAAUUCAAGGCAUCCGUUUGCAUGAAAUUUGUGUUUAUGUUGUGGUCUAUUUUAUCUGACAGAGGGACUAGGGCCGGCGGCAAAGAGAGAGAGGAGAGAGAUGUGUGUUUGUAGAAUUGUAGGGGAAUGUGUGUGUUGUUAUCCCUCCUACAUUGUGCCUUUAUUUAUAGUAGUAAAGGGAGAGAAGAUAUUUUGUGCUUUUAUUUAUAGUAGUAAAGGGAGAGAAGAUAUUUCUUCUCCUCCAAGUAAUACAAGUUGUAAUAGGAAAGGAUAACUAGAAUCAAAUCUUAUCUAGGAUUUACACAAUCAUACUUAAACUAGGAAUGUUUACAACACUCCCCCUUGAGUGGGUAAAUACUCAAGGUAGAUUCAGCAUCAUGCAAAAGUUGAGGAAGUCGACUCGCCGGCACUGAUUCCAAGGAACAACGCUUAUUCUCAAUAAGGUAGGAACUUGCAUAAGUAGUAAGUCUCACUAAAAAACCCUAAGGCUAUGGCAAAAACCCAAGUAGGGACAAAAUCCAUAGUCUAAGGAAAAAUGUGUGAGAAAUGCAAAGUCAAAAGAAACGUCUACAGGACGUCAUCAGGGAUAUGACCAGCCCAAGGUGGGUGCCUCGUUAAAACCUAGUUAGGUAGCAAAAACCCAGUGGGAAAAAUGCUCAUAAUCGUAGGGAAAAAGAGUACAUUAAGAUCAAACAAGUAUCCAGAAGAUACUCCCCCUGAGUUUGACAUAAUUCCAAAGAGAAAUAGCAAAGUUACAACUCAGAAAGUUUACGCAUACCAAUUCCAUGAACAAGCUUCUGAAACGUCGCCUUCGGUAGUGAUUUGGUGAAGAGGUCGGCCAGAUUGUCUUGUGAUCGGAUUUGCGUGACUUCAAUCUUCUGAUGCUCUUGUUGUUAAUGUGUAAAGAAGAACUUCGGCGCAAUAUGCUUGGUGUUGUCUCCUUUGAUGUAACCCUUCUUGAGCUGUUCGAUGCAAGCUGCGUUGUCUUCAAAAAUCGUCGUCGGGGCAUUAACGGCGGGAUGAAGAUCACAGGAGCUUCGAAUAUGGCCCACUACUGCUCUCAACCAAAAGCAUUCCCGAGUUGCUUCAUGUAAGGCGAGAAUUUCAGCAUGGUUAGACGAAGUGGCAACUAAGGUCUGUUUAGUUGACCUCCAAGAUAUUGCGGUGCCUCCAACGGUAAAGACAUAACCCGUUUGAAAACGCGCCUUGUGCGGAUCAGAUAAGUCUCCAGCGUCGGCAUAACCAACAAGGCGAGAAUCAACCCGAUGAGCAUAGGGUGAGGCAUUACUCGAGGAUUCGUAGGGAUAGAAUAAGCCCAAAUCCGUAGUACCCUUAAGGUAACGGAAGAUGUCUUUCACGCCAGUCCAAUGUCUGCGUGUUGGUGCAUUGCUGUAUCUUGCCAAAAGAUUAACAGCGAAGGAGAUGUCGGGUCUAGUGCAUUGAGCUAAGUACAAUAAAGCGCCUAUCGCACUUAGAUAAGGAACUUCAGGCUCCAAAAUCUCUUCAUCAUCCUCCUUCGGACGGAAGGGAUCUCGCUUUGCAUCUAGCGUACGAACGACCAUAGGAGUACUCGAAGGCUUCGCUUUAUCCUCAUUAAAACGGCGCAACACCUUCUGGGUGUAGUUCGAUUGAUGUACUAGGAUUCCAUCCGAACAAUGCUCUAUCUCGAGACCGAGACAGUAUCGAGUCUUACCUAGAUCUUUCUUCUCAAAUUCCGACUUCAGGUGCAAAGCAGUUCUCGCGAGCUCUUCAGGAGUUCUGAUGAGAUUCAUGUCAUCGACAUAUACUGCAACAAUCGUAAAUCCGGAAUGUGACUUCUUAAUGAACACACAAGGGCAUAGUUCGUUAUUCACAUAUCCCUGACUAGUCAAAUACUCACUUAAACGGUUAUACCACAUUCUUCCGGAUUGUUUCAAACCGUAUAGUGAACGCCUCAGCCGAAUUGAGAGCGUGUUCCGGGGUUUGGAAAUAUUUGAACCAGUCAAUGUAAGUCCUUCGGGAACUUUCAUAUAAAUUUCCGUAUCAAGAUCCCCAUAGAGAUACGCGGUUACUACGUCCAUCAGCUGCAUAUCCAGUUUUUUCGGAAACUACCAAACUGAUAAGGUAUCGAAAAGUAAUCACAUCCAUAACGGGUGAGUAAGUUUCGUCAUAGUCAAUCCCGGGGCGUUGUGAGAAACCUUAUGCUACAAGACGAGCUUUGUAACGCACAAUUUCGUUCUUCUCAUUACGCUUCCGAACGAAAACCCACUUGUAGCCAACGGGCUUCACAUGUGGAGGAGUAGGAACUACAGGUCCAAACACCUUACGUUUCGCAAGUGAAUCAAGUUCGACUUGGAUUGCUUGUUUCCAGUUUGACCAAUCAGCUCUAUGUCGACAUUCAUCAACGGAACGCGGUUCAAUGUCAUCGCUCAACAUGAUCUCAGUAGCUACUGCAAAUGCUAAUGCAUCGUCGACAAUCAUCUCAUUUCUACGCCACACAUCAUCUAAGCUAGCAUAAUAGACCGAAAUCUCACGAUUCUCGGGAGGAGGAUUCGUCUCUUCAAGAACGCUUCCAUAAUCUAGAAUUUCCUCAUGAGUUGGGUAAAAUGAGUAAGCGAUAGUCAGAUUCACGGUAGGCUCUUCAGGACCUUGUGCCGUGGUUUUCCUCUUCCGGGGGUGUGAAUCCUUUGAACCAAGGGGUCUGCCAUGCUUUUGUGUAGGGGCAGAUGAUUGGCUAGCCGUUAAUGUACGUGGAUCACCAGAAUUGGCGUCCCGGGCUUCCAGGAGGGUAGUCCGUCGUACAUUUGGUACAUCCAUCUUUGCAGGCGUAUUCGCAGCUAGAAUAUGUGAUCUUGUCACGCGCGCUAGAUCGGUGAAAGCAUCUGGCAUGCUCUGAGCUAUGCUCUGGAGAUCUAAUAUGCGCUGCACUUCAGCUUCAGACUGAGCGGUGCGGGGAUCUAAAUGAGACAAAGUGGGAGUUGUCCACGAUAAUUCGCAUCGUUCAUUAGGAACGUUGACGUUCUUAUCUCCCCCUAACGACGGGAAGACUGUCUCAUAGAAGUGACAAUCCGUGAAACGAGCGGUAAACAGAUCGCCUGUCAAAGGUUCUAAGUAACGAAUAAUCGAAGGAGAAUCAUAUCCGACAUAGAUUCCCAUCCUUCGCUGAGGCCCCAUUUUUGUACAUAAGGGCGGCGAGAUCGGCACAUAGACCGCACAACCAAAAACGCGCAGAUGCGAUAUGUCGGGUUCGCAUCCGGUGACCAACUGAAGGGCACUAAAUGGUUGUGUCGCAACAGGCCUCAGGCGGACCAACUUUGCUGUGUGCAAUAUUGCAUGGCCCCAAGCAGCGAUCGGGAGCUUGGUACGUAUGACCAACGAUCGAGCAAUCAUUUGUAAACGCUUAAUGAAAGCCUAUGCCAGGCCGUUCUGGGUGUGAACAUGGGGUACAGGAUGUUCAACUUCAACCCCAACCGACAUGCAAUAGUCAUCAAAAGUUUUAGAUGUGAAUUCUCCAGCAUUAUCCAAUCGAAUAGAUUUGAUCGGAUAAUCAGGGUGGUGAGCCCUGAGCUUGAUAACCUGAGCCAACAGUUUGGAGAAUGCAGCGUUCCUUGUGGACAACAAGCACACGUGUGACCAACGUGUAGAAGCGUCAACCAAAACCAUAAAAUAUCUAAAUGGUCCGCAGGGAGGUUGAAUCGGUCCACAAAUGUCCCCCUGAAUCCGUUGUAGAAAAAUGGGAGGAUUCGAACGAAUCUUGUCAUAAGAAGGCUUAGUAAUAAGCUUUCCCAUAGAACAUGUUUGACAUGCAAUUUCAUGGAUCGAACCUAAGCUUCGGGUUAGUGGAUGCCCGUGUGAAGUUUUGAGGAUACGGCGCAUCGCUAUUCGUCCAGGAUGUCCCAAACGAUCAUGCCAAAGUGUAAUUUCGUGCGCGGUCCCUGUGGUAGGGCCGGCCACAUAGUGGCAUUCUAUGGGGCGUAUGGUCGUAGUAUACAGACCACUCGAGUUACGCUCCAUCUUCUCUAGAAUACGCUUCUGGCCAUAUUCGUAGGAAGUUACGCACAGAAAUUCAACUCCGUUUUCUAUGUGGGUUUCAGCAUGGUAAUUGUUAUCUCUAAUGUCCUUGAAACUUAGUAACGUUCUUCCGGAACGUGGAGAAUAGAGUGCCUCAGCAAUGGUCAAGAUUGUACCAUUGGACAACAUUAUACGUGCCUUACCGUAUCCUUCGAUCAGGUUGGAUGGGCUUGAGAGGGUUGUCAGAGGUGCAUUCUUAGGUACGAAGUUAGUGAAAUAGAUGCGUUCACGCAAAACAGUAUGCGUGGUUGCACUAUCUGCCAGACAACUAACUUUCCCACUAGUCAUACCUAGAAUGAAAAAUUAAUUUGAAUCGGUCACAUGCAUAAAAGUUUAUAAAAACAAGUAUCAAUUCAAAAUAAUUUCAUUUAUUCAAGGAUUAAAAACUUAAUAUCCAAAAUAAAUCGCCAACUAAUAAUCCAAAACAUAAAGGAAAAUUGUUCAAAAUCAACCAAAAAAAACAAGGUGGGGUUCGGCCACAAGGUGGAAUUCAGCCCCAAUUGUCUUAUUUUAACUGAAAAAUAAGUCUAUGUCUAAGAUUCUAAUCUUCCAUAGGAGUGGUAUCCUCCUGAAAAUCAGAAACCUCCAUCUUUGUAGUCUCCGGUUCGUCCACUUGUAGGAAGUUUGAUUCAAACUUCGUACGACGAGAAUGAUAUGCAUCCACAACCUUCUUGGGAGCACGGCAAAUACGGGACCAAUGGUCCUUGGAACCACAACGAUAGCACAUAUCGUCAUUCAUUGUGGCAGGUGCUUUGCCCUUAUUCUUGAAGUUCGGGGCCUUGGGAGCGAGGUUUGGGCGCUUCUGGGCUUUGUUUCCUCCCUUGGAUGGGCCUUGGCUCUGUUGACCUUGGUGGGAUGGCUUCUGGCCGCCCUUACCACGCCUCUUUUGGCGUUUUGGGUGCUGAUUAGUGCUAUAAUGUGCUUCAGGCACAGCAGUAGCCCCAGUAGGUCGAGCUUGAUGAUUCUUCAUCAACAGCUGGUUCUGCUUUUCAGCAAGAAGUAAAACAGAGAUCAAAUCCGAGAACUUAGUGAACUUCUGAGCUCUAUAUUGUUGCUGCAGGACAAUAUUAGAAGCAGAGAAGGUCGAGUAGGUCUUCUCCAGGAGAUCCUCUUCAGUCAAAGUUUCAUUGCAAAACUUGAGAAGUGAUCGGAUUCGACAAACUUCAGAAUUAUAUUCAUUCACAGACUUAAAGUCUUGGAAAGCGCAAGUGCUGCCAGUCGUGCCGUGUCUUGCUUCAGGCAAGAAUAUGUCCUUUUGGUGAUCGAAACGAUCAGCCAAAGCGACCCAUAAUGCACGUGGAUCCUCCUCAGCAAGGUACUCAGUUUGUAGAGCGUCAUGGAUAUGUCUUCGGAUGAAGAUCAUAGCAGUGGCUUUUUUCAGCCUCGCCAACAGGUUUAUCUGUUGCUUCUUCAAUAGCAGGACGCAAGUUCUUUGCAGUGAGGUGGAGCUUCACAUCUUGAACCCACUUGAGGUAGUUCCUUCCAGAAACCUCCAAAGCGGUGAAGUCGAGUUUGUUCAAAUUCGACAUGUUCCUAUCACAAAAUAGAUGGACAAGAUGUGGUUAGUGUAAUGGAGAAAAAUCAAUCCAUUCACAUAGGAGUAGAACAUACAGGUUCUAAUAGACAUGUAUUGGUUGAAUUUUGCAUGAAAAACUUCGGGUUUUCAUGGGUGAUAUGUUUAAGUGAAAACUUCGGGUUUUCUAACAAGGCAUGUGUAUAAGAAACUUCGGGUUUCAAAGUAAUUAUGAACUUCAGGUUCAUAUAUUCAUGCAGGCAAACACAAAUAUAUAUGCAAACAAAUAUGCAAAGAAUAUAUGCAGAAAUAUUGUAUAAUGAUAAGUGAAUUAAUUUAUUUUUUUGGUCUUCGGGGGCCAAAUUAAAGUGUGGGUGAAAAUAUAAAAACCCAUAUUAUUUAAAAGUAUUAAAUAAUAAAAUCUCGGGGCCUAAAAAUAUAGGCCGAGUACCCCCGGGUGUAGGCUGCAGGCCCACGGGGUGAGAAAGGAAUGGGCUGCUGUGUGCAGCCCUAAAAAAAAUUUUCUCCUUUUUUCGGUAUGGGCCGCUGCAGGCGAGCCCAGGAAAAUAAAAAAACAAAUUGUUUUCUUUGUGGGCUAGGCCGCUGCAAGCGAGCCCAGCAAAAAAAAAUUGUUUUUUUUUCUUUUGUUACACGGGCCGAGAGACAGAGCCCGAGUAGGGUUCGGGAAAGAGACCCAAAAGAAAUCCCAGCCGUGCUGGGUGUGCGAUGCCGAAGAAGAAAGCCGGAGUUCGUGGACGGCGCCAUGGCAUGCGGUGUGUCCAGGGUCGAGCAAGCCAUGGUUCGUCGAAGAACCAGGUGUUUGUUGAUGAAGAAGAGAUCUCAACGUCGAUGGAAGAAAAAAAAUUGAAUGAAUUCAAUUGAAUUCGAGUGAAGACCCAUGAAAUUCUUCUGGAAUUUCUAGAAAUCGUUGGUGAAAACGAUGGGUGGUGUCCAAGUUUGCACGACUGCAGGUCGUGUUGUGUUGGAAAAUCGACGGCGAGGACCUAGGCUUCAGGCCGUAGGUAGGGACAAGGUGCUUCAAACGCACCGUUUCGGUUCAAGGCUUGCGGCAUGGGUUCUCGGUUUGGGUUGGGCCAUCGCAGGCUGCGGGCCUGGUGGCUUGCGGCCUUGCAUGGUGCACAGGCACGGGUUAGACUAGAACCCUAAUUUCCCCAAUCGCAAAAUUUUUUUUUUUCAAUUCAAAUAUAUUACAUGUAUAAUUUUAAUGAAUCACAUAUUUACGUUGAUGCAUAUGCAAAUAAUAGUUUCAAUGCAUGUACAUAUGUAAGAUUCAAUUCAUGACAAAUAUCAAAUUCACAUAAUUGUAGCAAUUUUGAUGAUGAAGCAUACACAAUUUAUGUAGAAUCUAAAAUACGUUAAACGUAAAGUUGGGUCAUGCAUCAUGGUGAAUGUUCAUGCUAUCAGGGCUUGCAAAAUAUCGAGUUAAAAACCGUUGUUUGGAAAGAACCUGAUUGCGUGAUGAUAUGGAUGAACUGGUUUGAUGCAGAAAAAAUUUCCAACGUCAGAUUCCUAAGCGCAGCGGUAGGAGCGUGCUGAUAACGUGUUGUGGUCUAUUUUAUCUGACAGAGGGACUAGGGUCGGCGACAAAGAGAGAGGAGAGAGAUGUGUGUUUGUAGAAUUGUAGGGGAAUGUGUGUGUUGUUAUCCCUCCUACAUUGUGCCUUUAUUUAUAGUAGUAAAGGGAGAGAAGAUAUUUCUUCUCCUCCAAGUAAUACAAGUUGUAAUAGAAAAGGAUAACUAGAAUCAAAUCUUAUCUAGGAUUUACACAAUCAUACUUAAACUAGGAAUGUUUACAACAGUUUAAAAAUUGUUACAUCAUUUUUAAGUGUCAUAAUCACAAUUGAAUUCUGCAUCAUAUGUUUUUUUUUAGUACAAUAAUAUAUUUUACAUUAUUUAAAGAGAGAAGUUUGAUUGAACCACACAAUAAGUAACCUAAUUUGAUAUCAAAUUCAAUAUUUACGAUAUUCAAAAUUAAAAUCUCUCACUUGCAAAUAAAAGAAAAUAUCAUCGUAAUACUGAAUAGAUUACAUCAUUCGUUUUAAGUCGGUUUACCAAAAUUUGUUAUUAUGUUUGAUUUGAUGACUGGUGAAGUGAGACUAGGUUAGGUAACAAGUCUUUCUCAGUAGGGGCUUAAGAGUCAACAUACAAUGUCCCACUCGCUUUAAUUAAUAAAAAUUAUUUUGACUAUUAUCUUAUCAACACUCGUUUACGGAAAGGAAUCCUUUCUUGAUCCUUUUUCAUCUAAUUUAGAUCUGUUGAAAUUUAAUUAAACAGUUAUAAAUAGAAGAUUUCUUUAAAAGUGAUAAUAAAUAUAACUGUUAAGUUAAAUUUUAACAAUCCAGGUCCUGAAUUAAGUGGAAAGUGAUCCGCUCUCUUUCCCUCGUUUACCAUCAUAAUCCAAAUUAAGGUUACUAUUUAAUUUGGAUCUCCAAUCAUUGUGGCUUGGCUAAUAUAGAAUUCCUCGCCGAGAUGGUGGUGGUUGUUAUUGGUAAAAAAAAAAAAACAAAGAUAUUUCUAAGUAUAUACUAUUUACCAUCCUUGCUAGGCUGUUUGUGGCUACAUUUCAACACUCAAUAAUGUAUGGCAUGUUCCAAUCUUUGUUUUUGAAUUACAGCCACGUGAUGUUGUUAUUUUGUUGUAUAUUUUGGACUUAACAGACUCUUACCGAUCAUUUUACACCUUCUCAUAAUCAGUAACAUGCUCGGAAUUAUACGUAGACCGAGGUUGCCAUACCUCUCCUAGCCAUCGUGGAAACAAGACAGUCCUCAUGAAAUCACUCAUUUAAUAGAUGAUUGUCACAAGUUUAAAAAGAACACCACUCAUCCAAAAGGUUAAUGAUUUCUUUACUUACAAGUAGAGGUAACAAAUUAACUCAUUGACUCAUUAAUGAUAUCUAUUAAGACCUGCUUAAAUUUGAUAUCACCAUAACAUAAAUGUGAGAUUGGUAAUGAUGAUGAUAGUGUAAGAUGAAAUGAAAUCAAACGAUUUUUAACAUGCAUUUAUUAACAAUCCAAUGAACUAAUUUGUUACAUCUAGUUACAAGGGAGUAUUUCCACUGCUGAAAUAAGUCUAAAUUUUUAUAUUAACGUGUGUAAUUAUUUUUUAUAAAAAUACUUUAUAAAAGCAUAUGAAUAUAUCGUUCACACGUAUUAUAGUAUAUACGUGAAAAUAAUGUACCAAAUGAAAUAUUUUCCAUACACGCAAAAGGUUCUUCCAUCCUAGCCGUAUGAUUUAAGAGGGAAAGCCAUAAUGGCACAAAAAUCAUACAAAUCAACUCCAUCUCACCCGUUGAUCACCUCUCAAUCACCCCAAUCAGAAAUCCAACGGUGGAUACGCUUACAGAAAAGGGUACACUUCAGAACACACCAGAGCCAUCCCCCACCCCACGCCUAAUUAUGUAAGGCCGCCUCAAGGAGGGAGAAACGACAGAUACGUGGAAGAAAACAGGUACAGAGGGAUUGGACUUAAAUGCAUGGGAUAGACAUGACGUCUGAUCACGCCACGUGGACGGUGGAUAUCAGCCACUCUCUCUCCUCCACCGCACUAUAAAUUGAGGGUCAUGGCUUCCUAUGGUUACUCGUUCAAAACAGAGCUUGCGUUUAUCUGCUUCUUUGUCAUCAAUUCAAUCAAACUUUCCGUCGGGAAAUUUUCCGUCUCCAAUUCCAAAAAUGUCGUCGUGCUGCGGUGGUAAAUGUGGUUGCGGGUCCGGCUGCAGCUGCGGCAGUGGCUGCAACGGGUAAUCUUUCUACCUCUCUGUUUGUUUUCCGAGAAUCUGGAAAAAAGAAAAUCCCAGAAAAUUUCUGCUCUGAUUUGGGUUUUUGACUACAUGGGUUUUUGUUCAGGUGUGGGAUGGCUCCUGAUCUGAGCUACAUGGAGGGGUCCACCACUGAGACCCUCGUGAUGGGAGUUGCUCCCCAGAAGUCGUACGUAUUCUCAUCUCUCAGAAAUGAGAUCCCAAAUUAUUUUUGAAAUAUGUAAUUUGCAGAUUUUGUGGUUAUAAUUUUGGGAGACACGGAGAAACAGAAGUAGAUGGACACCAAACCGACAAUAAAAGUUUUAAAACGACAAUAAAAGGGAAAAGGACUCCGAUCCCUUCCUCCAAUUCAAAUCAGGAAAUUUAUGAUGUUGAAAUUUUUUUCUUUACUAAUUAAUGAAAUCUUUUUGUCAAUCAAAAAAUGAAAGAUAAAUUAGUUUUUUGUUACAAAAAUAUGAUGGGUAAUAAUGUAAUUUUAAAGGUUUAAAUUUUAUUAUUUUUAUUGAAAUAUUACUUGCCGAUGAUAUUAAAAUACCUUUAAUAUUAUAUAAAAAAAUAACCAAAAAAUACCUUCCCAACUCUCCCAGUUCUCUCUCUCUCCUAUUUUUUUUUAAAUGUGUUCAUACAUAUAAAUUGCAAGUAAAUAUUAGUAAUUUUUAAAGUGAGUUUCUGUUUGUAAUCGUUGAAUCUGUAAGGAUUUUCUGAUUUGAUGAUUAGGAGAAAGGGAUAUGCGGAGUGGAUUUAUUCCCAGUAAAAGGAAACAAAAUCAUGAUUUAUGUACGGUUUAUUGUCUGUUUAACAUAAGUUAAAUUUGUCUUUGUUUUGUUUUUAUUGAAACCGCGAUCGGUAUGAUUUAGGGAAGCAUGGAGAGAGAAAGCAUCAUUUAUACACUGACUUAUUGUCUGUUUCGGAGCGCUGUAACAUUUGUUUUGUAAUUUUGAUGUGCAGUCACAUGGAGGCAUCUGAGAUGGGAGUUGCUGCCGAGAACGGAUGCAAGUGUGGAGACAACUGCACCUGCAACCCCUGCAACUGCAAGUGAGAGGGACAGAUGGCACCUUCUGAUGAAGCAAGAGAAUCGCGGGGCUUAUAUGUUUAGCAGUAAUAUAUGUAUGUGUGUGUGUCGUAAUCAUGAAUCAUGAUCCAAAUUUACGAAGGUCGUGUUUUUAGAAUAAAGUGGCCAUGGCUUCUUCUGAGCUGCACGUCCUACUAGGCUGGGAUCUGGUCCUAGGUUAUGGCUGCUUGUUGUCUGUUUGCUUUGUACAUGCAGUAGUCGUAUUUGUGUUUUUAUGUUCGUGUUAACUUGGUGGAUCGUAUUAUGUGUUUCUGAUGAAAUUAAUGAAAAACUUGCUCCAUCUUUUGCUUUAAUUUUUGGGUUAAUUGACAAGGAAAACGAGUGCAAUAAGUUCCAACAACAAAAGUUUCUAAGAUGUUCUGGGGAAAUUUGGAGUACAACAUAUUUCGAUGUUUUAACCUUUUAAGAAUUUGUCAAACAUCCAACGAUUAUCGGAGAAUUUGUGUAGAAAGUCGUAUAUAUGGAGGAGAAAAACACACAAGAAGAAUUAGAUUAGAUCUGUUACUAAUCCAAACAUUUUUAAAAAGGGAUUUUAACAAAAAAAAAAAAAUGGUAUUAUUUAUUUUAACGAAAAAUUAUAUUUUUAUAAUAAAAAAUUAAUAUUAGUACUAUUUAUUUUAUUUUUUUAUUUCGUAUUUAUCGUUAACUUAAAAUUUUUAAAUUAUUUUUAUUAGUUUUUUUUUUUUUAAAAAUAUUAACCAUCUAUUUGGGAUAAUAAUUUAGCCAUUAAUAAGACUCCAAAAAAAUAAUCAUCAAAGUAUUUGGAGAACCAUCAACCCUAUCCUUUAUUUCGUUCCAUGGUUAAAAAAAAAAAAAAGAACAAAAAAGCAGGAACUAGUGGUAAGCUAUGGUUAUUAACCUUUUUUUGGUCCGAAACCGGGAUUGUAAUUUUGUUAUGUCGGUGGUUACGAUCAAGCAGAUCUAACGGCUCGAAAUAUUUCACAUUUUUUCAAAACUCACCCAUCCAAUAUUUAUUGUAUGGUUGUGGUUCAACCACAUUUUUUUGUUGGAAACUCACCCUCGAUCUAAUAUUUAUUGUAUGGUUGUGGUUCACGUUACGCUUUGGACGGGCGAUGUCUUUAUGCUGGGAGCAGCAGCUUUUGGGCACUCCACAUGUUGGUCGAAAAAGUGUCACCGUGACAUCUCAUGUUAGUGUAACAUCUCGGUGAGGACAGUUUCAAUUGUCGAACGAAAAUAUGACGAAGCAUAAGUGCCUUGCCGUAUCAAUGACUCAGCAAUAAGGCUUUGUAAAUUUCAUUCAGUUCAAGAUUGUAACAACAAAUAGAUGGAAUUCAUUAGAAAUCAUGAAUAAUCUUCGUUGCUAGUUUACAAAUCAACACAAACAGGGUCUUUUCAGUCUUUUACAAUGACACGUCCAUAAGGUUUUACUUGGGCGAGAAAUUUCCGUAGAGCUGCCUUCUCACACGGGGUUUGACCAACUUGAGGUUGGAUAGAUUAAAAACUAAAAUACAGGAGGUUUUAGAGUUGGAGUUGACGUGGUCAGACACCCCUAUCCAAAUUUCACAUUUGCUUGACCUGUGAAAUAUCUGAGCAGCUGAGUGUUGCCUUUAUUUCCUUAUCAAGUACCCCUAUCGCUGCUUUGUUAAACAGGUUGACAAUCUGUUAAAAGAAAUUAAUUAGAGCAGAUUAGUAAUCAUUCAUCAUUCAACGGGGAAGGUUGUGGUGAAACUGUCUUCUGGGAUCACCUGCUUAGUUGAGAGGCCUAUUUUCUCCAAAUCGUUCAGCUGAAACAUGCAACGUUCAACAUCACAGUUACUCAAAAACUUAGUUCCAAUUUCGCUGUACCGUUCCAAUUUUAUCGGAUAGUCCAUGAAAAAACAAAUGUAAUUCAAGUUUCAUCUGUUCCUAAACCUUAAUAAACUUGCUUACCGAUUUUAAAGGGCUCGUUUCUCUGAGCUCGAGUAUGUAUUCAGCCAUUUUGACUCCUAUUCCCUGAUUGAUGAACGCGAGGGAAAAAGAAAGUAUCAGAAGGCAAGUAAUUAUUUUAAGAACACACAAAGAUGCAGCAUUUGAUAGGAACCUUUAGCUCCAGCAGCUCUUCCCUGCGGUUGAGAAAACCAGUCGAAAUAUUAGGUUCAUUUGGUAUGAUUGAGUGAAAAAUGCAAGAAACGAAAAAACGAAGAAGCUUCAAAGAGAUGAUAAGAUUUUUACCUGUUGGCUGUGUUCAAGAAGUCAAUAUAAUCUUGAAGUAGGAACUUCUGUGCAAUAAGCGAAAGAAAAACAGAUGAAAAUCACAUUAAAAAGCUAGAACUUAACUAAUAGAGUUGUACGUAAUGAUUGUACCUUCAAGUUUGAUCCGCAAGCAGUGAAUUUAUCAAGUGGGGUGCCUGUCCUUUGGAACAUGUUUUUCGUGCAGGUCGCUAAAGAGGGAGUUUUCGGAGUCUUUGGAUCAAAGAGUAGGGUGCAAUCUCCAUUUGUGAAUAAGGGUUCACUGAGGGGAUUUUGAUUUAUAUUGGUGUUGAUCGGGGAGAGAGCUUUUCUCAAGGAACUUUGAGGUGUGUUUUUCUUCCCGCUGACGGGUGAUGAGUCGUUUGCAAAGUUUUCCUCCUGGUUUGGUGGUUCAGCUAUGCAUAUAUACAAGAAAAUAGUGCAUUUAUUCAAUUUGUUUAGAGUGUUUGAAGGAGCAUAUUAAGUAAUAAAACCAUAUAGAGCUGAAACAUACCAGGUAAACUUGUAUUUGAUUUGAGAACGGAUCCACAAGCUCCAGCAUUGCCCACUUGUUUAUUAUCCUUAGCGGCGAAUUGCAGGCUCUGGAAAGCAAUUCCAACUCAUAAAUACACAAUGACAUAAACAUCAAACGCAAGAUAAACUAAUUCGGAAUGAAUUCAGUAGCUUCUCAUCCCCAAGUGGAACUGUUAAACUCAAACUUUCAAAUAAUAUGCCAUCUCAUGAAUAUCCUAAUGUGAUGAAUAAAGUUUCACAAUAGAGUAAGAAUAAGAAUAUAUUGAAUACACUAUAACGUAGUUCUAAUUUUAUCAUUUUCCAUCCAUGUACUCCCUAAAAUUUAGUAAUUACCUCCAAAUUGGAAUCAACUAGACUUUCAUUGUCGAUUAUGUUCCUGAUAGGUCUUUUGAUUGUCCUGCAAAAAAUUUCAACAAUCAAACAAAAGUGACUAAUGCAUAGCAUGAAGGAUAUACAAUUCAACUAGUUACUUGUCAUUGUACCUUUCUUUCACAGAGCAGGCGCUUCUGUUUGUAUUAACCUUGGAUUUCAUAGAACUGAGGUUGAUGCUGGGUUUCUUGACAUUAGCAAUAGAAGAACUUGGAGAUUUCCCCAACAAGGGAGAAUUGAAUGCUUCAAUUCUUCGCACACUCUUUGUCUUUCCUCUUGAUUCAAGCCAAGUACGGAGUUUGGCUUCCAUGUCAACUUUAACCUUCGGGGUCUCUUGCUUGUGAGCUGAAGGAACAAAGUUGGUAAUGUGGCGUGACCGAGCUGCCAAGCUGACAGUAUGAACAGACUCCUGGUACUCUCCUGGAUUCUAUUAUCAAAGAAAAUUGUUUCCAAUAUAAGUUUCAAAGAAAAAAAAAAGAUAAUAAUAAGUACAGGCCAGACGAAAGCACUUCUAUUCAAACGCUAAUUCAAACUUCUUACCAAGCAAGUAAUCAUCAAAGCCUGACUCAUCCCACCUAGUGAGUCUUGCAAAAUACGAGUCAAUUUACUCUCUCUAUAGGGCACUCGGGAUAAGUUGUUGUUCAGUGCAUAAAUGACAUUUGAUAAUGCAAACAAGGACUGGUUAAUCUUCGCACUCUCUUGGAGACGGAUCCCUUCGUUGCAAGUUCUUCUAUUAUCUUCAUUACCUGCUUGAAAUACACAUGUAGAUUAAAUAAAGAAAAGACAAAGAUCAUGUACUUUAUUUAUAGGGAAAAGUUUAGGAGUGAGAAAAGACCUGCUAAAUCUAUGAGAUUCAACUUCCCAGUAACAGCAUCCCCAGAACCAUCAUCAAGAGUUGAAACGGCAAUCACAAGGACACCAUGGCUCCUACUAGACACAUCAUUGAGACCUGUAUGGGCAGUUUUCCGCCUCUGAAUCCCACAAGAAAAGGCCUCAUAAAACUCAAACAUGGACUUUACAGGGACCCGAGACAGCCCCUUAAGAUGAACCUGCCCAUCUUUGUCAUCCAAAACCGUAAUUUCCUUGGCUUUGAUCUCUAACAGGUCAUAACACCUGUCCAUAUAGACCUCGUAGUAUGAUAGCUCAACUGAGCUUCCUGUGCUCUGGCACAUAGACAGGAUUUUGGACAUGGACAGCUCCAUUAGACCCGGCAUCUCAUCCGUGCCCUGGAACAUAAAAUCCCAUGCUGGAUUAACAUUACAGAAGAAAAUGCUUCAGAACAAACACUAAAAGCUGCAUUUAGUUACUUUUAACCUAUGCUAAUUCACAAAUUUCUUUUCUUUCUGGGGAUAAUUACAGAUGAUUAUCCAGAUUAAUGAUUUAUUAAUCAUAAAAUGCCUUCACUAAUGUUUCAUAUGGGUGGUCAGACGUUGGUGUAGCCACAUUGGGUAGAGCGGAUGUGCUCCCCCUCCCCGCAGUUUAGAUUAGUUUAAAAAUUAAAAUGGAACAUCGAUUAUGUAAAAAGAAACGAAAAAAAAAAGUUCAUAUCUUUGGAGAAUUCAAAUUCAAAACUGAAUUUUUGCCAAAAGAAGUAAAAAAAAUUUCAAACCUGUAUAGUGUAAGUCUUUCCACUUCCAGUAGCUCCGUAGGCGAACACCGUCGCAUUGCAGCCAUGAAAGAGUCCCGGAAUCAAGGGGCAAACUUCUCUACUGAAGAUCCGGCCAACAUUGUUAUCCUCCGGGGCAAAGAAGGAGUCUAACCGAUAGCACUCGUUUCGGCUACACCCCGAAAAACAAAAUCAGGAGUCACCAUCAAAACCCAGCUUCCCAAAUCAAGAAAGCCAAAAUUCAUCUCCGAAUUGGCUGACAGAAAAGCAAGAAAAUUACUCACCUUGUCACUUUAUCUUUGAGAUGAACAACCACUUCCUCGGUCGCAAACUCGGAUUCUUUUUCGAUAACGGAAGCGCACGGCGUCGGAUCUCUGUUACCGUCAGCGAUCUCUUGGGGAAGAAAAGGGCGCACCCGAGCGAUCACCCUGACCUUCGAAAUUGAACUGGGGUUCGUAGAUUUUGCUGGAGUUGCAGAAGAACUGUCAAGAGCUCGACCCACCUCCAUUGGAACAAAGGAAAGAGCUUUAGCUUGGAUUUCAAGUGAGAGAGAGAAUUGGGAAUUUGCAGAACGGUCUGUAACUGAAAGAUGGAGAUUAAGAGGAGGUCUGAAACUAUUUGUCGAACGUUGGGGCUUUUUCAGUUUGAAUUUUUGGAUUGGGUGCGGACUGUGCCGUUGGGCCUCGUGUGUGGUGGGGGCCUAUUUCUUACUCCUUCGGAAUGUUUGCUGUUUAGGAUGAGAGAUUUUUUAGUAUAACCGCUAUACGGAUGGGACGUGUUAUUAUACAAAUGAUGAGAUAUAAAUUUUUGUGUUUUGACUGUCGAACGUGGUUUGUACCCAUGUUGAGUCAAGUGACAUCUAAAUGUAGGAAGCCCAUUGUCGAACGUGGUUUGUACCCAUGUUGAGUCAAGUGACAUCUAAAUGUAGGAAGCCCAUUAUUUAUGAGCAAGUAGGACAGUGUAAUUAUACAAAUGAUGAGAUAUAAAUUUUUGUAUUUUGACUGUCGAACGUGGUUUGUACCCAUGUUGAGUCAAGUGACAUCUAAAUGUAGGAAGCCCAUUAUUUAUGAGCAAGUCGGACAGUGUAAUUAUUUCGACUAACACGUACAAGAACUAGUUCUUUUUUUUUUUUUUUGGGAGGGGGUGGGGUUAGCCUUACAAAGGGUUAGUAAAUAGUGUGGUUCAAAUUCGCUUUUAGCGAGAAUUGAACCUAAGACCUUUUAUUUAUAGGUGAAGGUGAAUACCACUAGAUCGUAGUACUAAGUGGCAUCAAUAACUACUUUCUAAACAAUGAUAAAUUCUUCCCCGUUGCUUGUUGAGAUCAAAUGAGGCCCAUAGUAAGUAUGGUCGUAUUGUCUUUGCAUUAGAAGAAAGACUUUUAUGAUAUAAGUAUACACUAUCUUGACAUUUGGUGUCAAUACUAUAAAAACAUGUGUAAAUUUUUAUUUAUAGCAUCGUAUCAUUAACAUAAUUUGUUGAUAGUAUAACUAGGAUUUGGAUUUCGGAUCCAAAUUGUAGGAAUUCUAGAAAUUCUCACAUCUUAAUUGUUUAUCGUACAUCAUGCAGUCAGAAAUUAUUUUGAAUUUAUUUAUUUAAAACUAAACAUAAAUAAUAAUGAACAUUAAAUGCACAAUAUACGAUAAACGAUCAUGAUGUAAGGAUUUCUGAAAACACCACAAAAAAGAUCCGGUGGAUUCUCAUCCGUAUAACCAUGCCAUCAAGUUGCUCUCAUGAAUUUUCGAAGUAAAAAAAGCUGCUCUCAUGAAUUUGGUUUGUAUAUGGGCCCCCACCAUGGACCCACAACUUGUAAGACAAAGCCGCAUAUGACCGGCGGAGGGAAACUCUCUCCCAACCAGGCCCAAAUGGCCCCCUCGUCAGAGUUUCAAUUACCCAAACGUUUGAGGACCUGUCAGCAAGGCGGCGCAAAUAUGUGAAGGGUUUUAGACAAAGACCGUAAUUGUAUAUGCGUUAAACCCUAAACCCCCAAAAUUGUGGGAAAUCACGAAGAUGGAGAAGGGCAUGCUGUCUGCAAACUUGGAGGGUCUUCCCGAAGAAGACAAGCACAGAAUGGCCACCUUGAUCGACCAACUCCAGAUUCGCGACAGGUUUUUCUGAUUUUUUUUUUAAAUGCAGUGUUUUUUUGUAAUUUGUUCUCAGUAAUUUGUGAUUAGUGAGGCAUGUUCUUGAUACGGUGCAUGAUAGAUUGAAGUCUUAGAAAAAUACCCACAAAAUUAAAUGGUUAAUUGUUAGCAGGAAAUUUGAAACUACGAUGUGAUUCCAAUGUAAUCAAGUAUAUGUUUUGAAAUUUUGAAAACCGAACCGAACCGGAUAUAUGUCUUGGGUUUGGCUCAUGGUUUUGAUGAUGAACUGGCCCAAACCGAACUGUGCCCAUCCCUACUGAUUUCGGUUGUGUUUGUCCAAAAAAUGCAGUCUGAGGAUGUAUAAUUCAUUGGUGGAGAGAUGCUUUACCGACUGCGUAGACACCUUUUAUCGCAAAGCGCUGACGAAGCAAGAGGAUACGUGCGUUCGUAGGUGCGCUGAGAAGUUCCUCAAGCACUCGAUGCGCGUUGGCAUGAGGUUUGCAGAGCUUAAUCAAGGAGCGGCUACUCAAGAUUAAGCUAAGCUCUAUGUAUGAAUCAUUUUUUGGUAUGGAAGGUCUUGGAAAUCUUUCGAGUCGGUUUACGGAAGUUGCAAUUUGUUUAGCCUUGAUUCUAGAAUUGUGUUUCUUACACUGAUUAGAUUCGUACAUUUUCAAAAGAAAAAAAAUAUUCAUGGUGAGGUUUUACAGUUAGCUGGAACUGGAUAUGAAUUGGUUAUGAUUUAUGAUUUUGCCCUUUUAUUCGCGUAUCAUAUCUGGUGUGGUAAAUUCGUUGUGUACACGUAGACUGUGAUUGAAAGUUUAGGAGGAACGGCUCCUUGCCUCUGCAGCAUUGCAAGUGUAGAGAUUGAGAUUGUGUAGUUUUGUUCAUUGAUGAAGUCCCGACUGCGAAAAAAUGAAUAUAGGAUUUGGGAUUGAUAGACUUUGAUGCAACCCUUCAUUCUUGGUAUACAGAUCCUUCCAUUCUUCCCCUUAAUUUAGAACUUGACUUCGGUUGGCAGUGAUCUUGAUAGUGAGGCAACCAAGUGAUUUAGAUUAGAUGAGAAGAAAAUUGGUUUGUAAAAUCACCGCCUUCUGAGCCUUUUCCCCUUUCUGCUAAGGAUGAUAAAGAUUACGAUGUGACUGUGAAAGUAUCUCAAGGACUAGAAAAGGAAAACUCGAAGGGAGAUUACCUAACAGUGAAUGAAGAAGUUGCCAGUUGGUCUCCCGGGCAUGGAGGUCCCUGCUUGAACUUGAUGAGCAAUUAGGCAGAAAUGUGAGCAAGCAGAUGCAGGGGAUUGAAUUGAACAUGCUGUGAUGCAGGCAAUUUUUUGCUUCGAUGAUUGUUUUGGAAUGCAGUUUUCUAGUGCUUGUUAUUUGGGAUUCAAUCAUGUAUAUUUUUACGUUGAGUUGUGUUAUUGAAGGAAGGAUGAAGGUUGUUCUUGGUAAAGAUUCCAUGAUGCUUUGUGGGGAAGUUGUUGGAUAUAAAGAUGUCAAAUGCUAGGUUUGAAGUUCUCUUGCUCACUAGUGGUUUUUGGUAUUUUAAAAACUCAUUAAAAACCCAACUGAAUACUUUGUUAAAAAAAAAAAAGAAAAAAAAAAGAAAAAGCUUAGAAAAGCACUUCUAUUUAAAAAGCACAUUUAAAGCCCUUUCAAAUUUUUGUUAAACACUUCUAGUCUUGAAGGCCUCUUUGAUGUCUAGCGUUUAGCUUGUAUAAGGUAAAUCAUCAGAUUGAGUGAAUACCGAAUGAAGAAUUAGAUGUCCACUUGCAUUUUUUUGUCAAAAUGAAGGUAGAAUAUGGAUUAGCUAUGACAAAAACUUAUUCCGACCAAUUCUAUCAUUUUUUGUAGGAAUUAAAGGGAUCAAUUUCAUACCUAAUCCAUCUUCUAUCUUCAUGACCAAAAACCCAAAUAGACUUUCAUUUUUCGAUUCAUAAUCAGUUUGAAAACAAUUUCACUUGAAAUGAAAACGAUUUUUGUACAUUAUUUUCUCCUUCUAAACAUCUAUGUUUAUUAUGUCAUUUGAUUCUUCUUAUUUUAUUCAAUUCAAACGUCAUAAAUAAACAAUGGUGUUUUCGGUUCCAUACUUUCUGUUUUUUUUUUAAAACCGAAGAUAGGAUUAAUUAAAGACGAAUAGGAAUGUUUACAUCGUGGGCUAGAACAUUAAACAGAAACUCCCGCCCAAUACAAUCCCAAACAAAAUCACCACCUUUCUGAAAGGCAAACUUCGCCAUCGAGUGAGCCGCACGGUUGCUCUCCCUAGGCAUAAACGAAAACGUCACAGAACCUCUGUACUAGAAUCUCGAUGUCACCAAGGAUGCAUUCAAUGCUGUAGUCUUGUGUAGAUUCUUUCUUUAGCAUCUGGAUAAUAACUAAAGCAUCAGAUUCAAUUACCACAUUAUUAAAGCCGUUAUCAAUGCAGGCCAACAGAGCGCUCCGGAUAGCACAUGCCUCAGCAGCCGCCGCACUGUGACAAAAGCCAGAUCCCGAUCUUCCAGCAGUUUGAAGCAGACCCGCAAAGUCACGGCCCACCCAUCCCACUCCAGCUCGCAAAGAAGACCUACACCAAGCCGCAUCGGUAUUCAUCUUAAUGGUGCCAAAUUUUGGUUUCUUCCAUUGAGACUGCGGACGAUUCGCCAGCUUGUGGGGUUUUGAGUUCUGUUGACAUUCUCCCUCGAGACUCUGGGACAGAGCCUCACGGUAAUCGGAAAUAUUCUUCCUCCAUAGCGUCAUGACUUCUAGGUGUUGUCUGUGUACACCAUUGAAUACCAAUUCAUUUUUGUUUUUCCAUAGUCUUCAGAUACCGAAAGCAAACUCCUAGAGAAUCUCCUCAUUCUUUUUCGUAUUCUUGAUUCUGGUACAAAUUUUAUCCCAACUUUCCAGGAAGUCGGCUUCAGCCAGCUCUCGGGAGUUUAUAUGUAUAGGGGAACCAAACCAAAAUCGAUGGCUGAAAUCACAAUGGAAGAAUAAGUGAUUUUCCGAUUCAUCAAAAGUGUUACAUAGCCCACAAAUGUUUUCGACUCGCAUUUGGCGUCGUUGAAGAUUGUGACGCAUCGCCAGAGCAUUAUUGCAACACUUCCAGAUGAAGAAUUUAAUUUUGUUGGGAACCUGCAACGUCCAAAUCUUUUUCCAUACCAAGUUGUUCCUGCGGUGCUCACUAGGCGUACCCCGACCUUUCCUACCCAGGGCGCCGUUCUCCAUCAAAUUCAUUGCCACUCCAUACCCAGUUUUAACAGAGUAAUCGCCAUUCACCGUAUAGUGCCAUACUAUUCUGUCAUAACAGCUAGAUUUACUUAGAGCUAUGCUUAAAAUUUGCCUCGCUUCAUCCCAGUUGAAACCAGCCGAGAUAACCUCUUCCUUCCAGGACUUUGAGACCGGUUCAAUUAGAUCUCGUACCAUAAUUUCUUCUAGGCUGUCCUUCAGGUUAGCCAAGAAAGUUGUAGGUGUCGGUAACCACGGAUCAUUUCGAAUAUUUAUGCUUUCCUCAUCUCCUACCCGCCACCUUACAUAAUGUUGAAGUACCAUGCGACCUUCGUAGAUGCCUUUCCAUCCCGACGAUGUGUUCCUCCCUCUUCCAGCAUCCUUGAAAACUUUUCCUGGAAAAUAUUUAUCUCUCAAAACAGUCGCAAGAAGGGAAGUGGGAUUUUGGAUCAACCGCCAGCCAAUCUUUGCAAGGAAAGCAAGGUUAAAGCACUGGAUAUCCUUAAAACCCAAACCACCGGCCUGUUUUUGUUUCAUUAGCCGAUCCCAUGAAAUCCAAUGACAUCCCCUUCUCUGAUCAUUUCCUUUCCACCAGUAGCUUCAGAUUGCUUUCUCCACAUCCCUAUAGACCCCAAUGGGGAGUUUGAAGCAGCUCAUGGCGAAGUUUGGCAGAGCCAUAGCAACUGCCUUUACCAGGACUUCCUUCUCAGCUUGGGAUAGGAAUUGCUCCUACCAACCCGCUAACCUGGCUUCAAUCUUAUCUCGAAUCUCCGCAAAGACAGCUUUUUUGGAGAGUCCAAAAUCAGCCUGCAGUCCAAGAUACUUCCCGAAACCAUCCUUGUAUUGUAUCCCCAGAGUUUCCCCAAUUUUCUUCUUGGUCCUUUUAGAUGUCGAAGUUCCAAAGAAAAUCGAGCUCUUGGACAUAUUAAUCUCCUGCCCAGAUCCGCUAGCAUACACAUUCAGGACAUCUGCCACACCUUGGGCCUCCUCAACCAUAGCAUUCCCAAAGAGGACUGAGUCGCCUGUGAAGAAAAGAUGAGUAAUAGGAGUCCCAUUAGGUGUCAUCUUGUAGCCAUGGAGGGCUCCACGUUCCAGCCCUUUCCUAAUCAAACUGGAGAAACCCUCAGUGCAAAUUAGGAAAAGGAAAGGAGAUAAGGGGUCCCCUUGUCUUAAGCCCCUCUUCGGUUGGAUGUAACCCGUCGGAGAGCCAUUGAUAAGGAUACUAAAUGAUACAGUAGAAAUACAUUCUUUUACCCUAUUGCAGAACAUCGGUGUAAACCCCAAUUUAAUCAUCAUGGAGAGAAGGAAAUCCCAUUCCACACGAUCGUAAGCCUUUGCCAUGUCCAACUUGAUGGCCAUUCCUUUCUGGUUUUCCUUACUUUGAUGGUUCAGGGAGUGGAGGAUCUCGUGUACCACCAGAAUAUUGUCAUGUAUUUACUUCCCAGCAACAAAGGCAGAUUGAUUUUCGCCAAUCACCUUCGGCAUUAUCUUUUUGAGUCUGUUAGUCAUCACCUUAGCCAAGAUCUUGUAGCUAACGUUACAGAGGGCAAUAGGUCUGAAUUGCGUCAUGUUCUUUGGACAUUUCACCUUAGGUAUAAGGACUAAAUUUGUGUGAUUUAGUUUCCUCAGAAGGGUUCCUGAGUGCCAAAAUGCUUUGAUGGUCUUCACCACAUCCUUUCCCACUGUCGUCCAGUGAUCUUUAUAGAAGCAUCCAGAGAAUCCGUCAGGCCCCGGGGCUCUUGCGGAUGGAAUUUGAAAAGCAACCUCCUUAAUUUCUUCAUCAGUGAUAGGUGCCACUAGGUCGCGGUUAUCCUCCGGUGUCACCCUAGUCUCCAUGCAGUCUUCUACUUCCUUACUUUGGCUGGGCCUGCAUGACUGAAAUAAACCAGUAAAAUAAGAGUUAGCAAUAUCACAUAUAUCUUUGACUCUCAUGUCACUUUCCGUUGGAGUUCUCUAGACCCUUUAUCUGAUUGUAUCUUCUUCUUUUCAACGUUUGAGCAUGAAAUUUUUUUGUGUUUUUGUCUCCCUCUCGUAGCCAUUGAACUCUGGAUUUGGCUUCCCAGUAGGCUUCUUCGUUUCUGUGGGCAAACCGAAGAUCUCUCUCUUUUAGUUUAACCUCCUCAGAGGCAAAUUGGUUAGACAUGUAAGCCCUCCUGAUCUCUUCUUUCAGUUUGUCAAUGGCUUUUUUUGAAUUUCUACCCCUGCCUUUAUACCACACCUUAAGGCUCUUCCUGAGCUUUUUCAGUUUUUCGCAAAACCAGAAAGCAUGAGAUCCACCAAGCUUGCCUUCCCAUUCAUUUGCCACAAGCUCACGGCAUUCCUCCAGUUUACUCCAGCGGGCAUCAUAAGAGAAUUUUCUUCCUCUCCACGCUUUAAGCUUCUAAUGGAAAGAAAAAGCAUGGCAUGAUCAGAUCCUUCAAGCACCAUAUGUCUUAUUGUAGUGUCCGGGUAUAUGUUGUUCCAGCCCAUCGUUGCUAGCUCCCGAUCAAGCCUUUGUUGGAUAGGUAAGGACUCUCUAUUGUUUCUCCACGUGAAAGGAUAUCCUAGGUCCAUGAGUUCAUUCCUGGCCACGAACUCCCUGAAAUCUCUCAUACUGGAAGCCGGUCUGUAAUUUCCUCAUUCCUUUUCUUCAUUGCAUAGGACGUCGUUAAAAUCUCUCAUACUUUUUGCUUUGAAUACAAGUGAUAUUUUAUACUAAUCUCAAUAAGAGAAGGGGAAACGAAAAGUGCUUGAAUUCAGAAAAUAGCUUAUUUGAGAGACUAGACGAUCCAACAAAACAUAUAUACACCUUUCCAAACAUGUUUGAUUGCUUCAAGUUUCAUCAAUUUUUACGAAUUUGAAUUGGAGCAAUCUGACAUGGUCAGAAAAUUACAAUAGGAAUUAAGGUGAAAUUAGAACAUAAAGGAGAGAGAAAAAAAAACAACUUGCACUAAAUAAUUGGUCACGUUGAGGGUUUUCCCGCCAACCAACGGUCCAGAUUCACGAGAAUAAUACAACCUAACACAAAGAGAGAAAAAAACAUCAUCAGGCACCGUUCAUUCACCCAUUGAUCUGACGUUCCAGCCAACAUUUAGUACCCUAACCCGCCAUUUAAUAAUUAAAACGUUCUUUUCCAAACAAAACCCACUUAAACGACGACCCAUUUAUUCCCCAAUCCAACGGUCCAUAACUCCCCGCGCAAUCAAACCGCUCAUCCAACCGCUCCAAACCUGUUCGACAUUUAACAAAGGGGCUCAGAGUGCCGUUUGAGGUUCAAACUUUUGGCUAACGUUCCCAGCACGCCGUCACCCGCAGUUAACUGACAGGGUUUUCUAUACCUCGCAAAAACUCAUACCUCUUUCGGUAACGGUAAUUAACGGAGACGUCGGUGCAUAUAUAUUCGUUAUAAAAUUUUCUAAACAUUUUUUUAAAGUAUUUAAAUAUUAUUUCCCCCAGGUUCUAACCUCUGUUCUCUCUCUCAUCGUUUCAACGGGCGAGGAUUUUUCGAAACCAAAAAGCUCUCCUCUUUCUUUCAUGUUUCAGAGAAGAAGGGUUCUGAAAUUCUAUUGGGUUUAAUCGAUGAGCUCGAUUUCGAUUCCCGCCACUUCUUCGCAAGCAGAGGUAACUCUUACCUUUUCAGAAAAAUCGUUUUUAUGUUUUUGAAAACUCUUGUCCUUGUUUUUGUUUUUUUGCUUUUCAAUUAUUUUCCACUGGGUUCGAUCAAGUUUUUACGAUUUAUUAGACUUCAAGUUGCUUGGAUUCGUAUUGGGGUUUUUGGGUUUUCAAUAAAAGCCCUAGAAGAAUUGUGUUUAAUUUGCAGUUUUUUUUUUAUCUGAAAACGAGUUUUUAAGAUCUGGGUCUUCCUUGUCUGGGUCUAUGGCGGUACGGUUUUGGAGAUUUUGGAGUAAAGUUCGGGGGUGUUAGGUGUUUUCGAUUUGGUUUAGGGUUUUCUCUUAGAGGGUUAUGUUUUGUAUUUGUGUGUUUGUGUAUCUAUUUAUUGAUUGGGAUAUUGGAUUUUCGAGAUUAUUUUUAGGAGGAGAUGGCUGGGGCAAAAUUAGAGGAGUGUUGCCUUGAGAAUAAGCAAUCCAUGGCUACAUCGAGCUCGUCUGUAUCCGAAGGCAGUGGCAGUGCUAUUAUCAAGUCCCCAGGGGCUUGCAGCCCAGCAUCUGCUUCUCCUACUCAACGGUACUUUUCCUCAAUCCUUAAUAGCUGUGAUUUAGUUACAACUAUAUUGACGGUCUCUAUUUGAAAACCAUUCAAUUACAAAUUUGGUGUUCAUCUUUAGUUCCAUGCAUCUGCUUUUAGAAAUUAUAUGGUUUUCAAUGGAUUUUUGUAUCCUUACCAGCUGGAAAAUCGAUCUGCUAACUUAAUUUUCCUUUUGACCAUUAUGCAUAACUUAUAAUUGUCAUCGAAAGUUUUGUGGCCACUGAACUGAAAUGUGUUUUUUCACCUUUCAGGAGAACUAGUGGUCCUAUUAGGCGAGCCAAAGGCGGUUGGACUCCACAAGAGGUCAGCAUUUCAUUUUGUACUUAUGUUCACUUGUUUGUAUUGUCAGCUAGAAGCAUGUACGUUUUCGUGUUUGUUACUGGAGGGAGAGGUUCAUUAGUCAGUCAUCAAAACAUCUAUCUUGAAAUUCUUGAAUCUGUCAUUGCUUUUAGACUAACUGGUUGUAUUACUUUUGUUAUCAGCACCCAUUUUCAUAUGUUGUGUUGCUGCUAUGAUCCGCAGAAAACAAAUGAAACUGGCAAUUAGAUCAAAAUAAAUUAUUGUUUUGACUAAACAGUUACAGUUAUGGAUUAGCAUGCUGAUCCUGUUUAUUUAGUCACAAUUCUUUUCAUUGCAUGAGUCUAACUUUUAAUAAAUGUUGGAUGACCACAGGACGAGACAUUAAGGAAUGCCGUUGCUGCUUUCAAGGGGAAGAGUUGGAAGAAAAUAGGUACAUCUGUCGCCUGAGUAUUGUUUCUGAUUUAUGUUGUUGGUUUCCAAGGCAGUUUUAGAAUGCAUCUUUUGGGUGGAUUUUGUGUAGUUACAUCUUUCCGUAGCUAUAGUGUUUUUAGGUAGCAGUGAGUCUGCUCAGGCAAUGUGUUCGCCUAAUCUUUUUAGUAAUAGAGAUCUUGAUAAAUUAAAAUAAAUCUAAUUUUGGUCGAAUGAUAAGCAUAUAGUCAGAGCUCUGAAAGUUCAAAGCAAACCCAUGAUAGAUGUCCCAAGAGUGUGAAACGUGACUGUUCAUUUAAUUGCCUGAUUUUCUAUUUACCUAUGUUGUGAAUUUUCUGUUGUACCUAAUAUUCAGGAAACCAAUCUAAAAUUUGAAUUUGAACAAUGUGUAUGCAGCUGAAUUUUUUCCUGAUAGAUCGGAAGUGCAGUGUCUGCAUAGAUGGCAGAAGGUUCUUAAUCCAGAACUUGUUAAAGGACCAUGGACUCAAGAGGUUGGAACCUGAUACCAUACUUGUAUUUCUUAAUAUGUUCUUGCAGUUUUGAUUCAAAAUUUCAACUUUCUCUAAAAUGUUUUGGUUUGUAGGAGGAUGAUAAAAUAAUUGAACUGGUAGCAAAGUAUGGACCUACUAAAUGGUCAUUGAUAGCAAAGUCUUUGCCUGGUCGGAUAGGAAAACAAUGCCGAGAGAGGUAAUCUUCAUAAGUUUUGAAUUAUCAUGAUGCUUUUAUCUGAUACCAUCGACCUAUAGUUACUAAUAAGUUCUUAUGUUAUUGUCAUAUGUGAUCCUGGAAAUUUUGACCACUAUUGUACUUACCUGAUUGAUCACAAGUGCCUAAAAGUGCUAUUUUGCUCUGGAAUUAACAUUUAUGCCAUUUGUUGCUUAAAUAGUUUUGUAUGAUGCUGUAUACAUUUUAAUGUUAUUUUUUCCGUAGGCUUGUAUCUUCCAAUUGAUUUGUUCGCGAAAAACAAUCAAAUGGUUUGGGUAGUCACUGCUUUUAUAAACAAUGAACCAUUUUUUCUCUUCAGGUGGCACAAUCAUUUGAAUCCUGAUAUAAAGAAGGAGGCUUGGACGUUGGAAGAGGAAUUAGCUCUUAUGAAGGCCCACCAGAUGCAUGGGAACAAGUGGGCCGAAAUAGCGAAGGUUUUACCUGGAAGGUAUGUUUCUUGUUUGAUUUGUCGUUUACGAAUGACAUUGAGGUGCUAAUUAGAGCAGCAACAUAUAGAUAUAUCAAAUUUCUAGGAUCACUGCUAAAUUGUGACAUCAAAAACUUCUGAAUUGUGGUCUUAUACCCAACUUUCGGUUAAAACUUUAUGAAGGAAACUCCCAAUUUCAAUGAGUAGUGCUAAUGCUGCCGUCUGGAAACCACUGUUACCUUAAAAAUUAAUCUUUUAAAUUGGAAACCACUGUUACCAAGUUCUUUAUUUUUGUUGUAUAUAACUUGGAAACCAUUGUUUACUAAGCCAAAUGUUGUAUGUAACUUAACGAUGUGUUUGCAGGACUGAUAAUGCAAUAAAGAAUCAUUGGAAUAGUUCCUUGAAGAAAAAACUUGACUUCUAUUUGGCUACUGGGAAACUUCCACCACCUCCGAAGUAUGGUGCCAAAGAGCCAAGAUCCAAUGCGACUAAAAAAAUACUUGUUCGUUCAACUAAAGGAUCAGAUUCAACUGCUCAGACAUCAUCUGGAAAUGCAGAAAUGUCUAAGCUAGAUGAAGAUGGAAAGGAUCAGUUCGAGUCCGCCGCUCCACCUCAGGAUAUGGGUGCUUCAUCAAGUGUUCACCCAAAUGAAUGUGCAGAUUCUGAAGGUGUAGAAUGUGACCUGAGAUUAUCUUUUAUGGAUCUUAGUUGCUCUAACUCAGACUCAGGGCCAAAGUUUGAUAAUUUUGGAGUAAAAAGAAAGCCUCAGAUUGAGAAUUCUGUCAGUAAUGGCCGGGCAGAGUCUGAGAAUUGUGGAUUUAGCAACCAAAUGGACGAAGACAGUGUUAAGACAACAUCUUUUCCGUUUGAAACUCCAAGAUAUGGUUCCUUGUACUAUGAGCCACCACCGCUAGAAAGCUCUGUCCAAUUCAAUUCAGGUUUUUCAAGCAUGCAUCGCUUGCAGAAUGAUUACACCUCUAGUCCAAAUUUAUCACCUAUAAGUUUCUUCACUCCUCCUUGUGUGAAGGGCAGUGGUUUAUGUAAUCAAAGUCCUGAAUCAAUUUUGAAAAUAGCUGCUAAGACCUUCCCCAAUACUCCUUCCAUUUUGCGAAAGAGAAAGACCAUUGGCCAAGGACAAUUGCCUUGUAAUAAAGUUGCAGUAGUGGAUUGUGAAUCAGUCAGGGAAAUGCUUAAUGUUUCUAGUGAACACAAAAACAGUGCGGAAGUUUCUGGAUCUCAAGAUGGAAGUUUAUGUGAGAGUCCAACUAGUAAUGGUAUCAGUACCAUUGGGCCUAAUGGUAAGGCGUUUAACGCAUCUCCACCAUACCGGUUAAGAGCCAGGAGGACUGCCGUUUUCAAGUCUGUGGAGAAACAGCUUGAGUUUACAUGUGAUGAAGAGUAUGAUGCUAAUUCUAUGUCCGUGGAAUUAUCUGCAAAUGGCGGCUCUGCUGUUAUCAAAGACUGUACACAUCCAACAAAGAUGGCUGUGACCUAGGGCAUGCACUGUAAGGUACACUUUUCUUAUCAUUGUUCUUGAACUUAUUUGUCUCUGAUCUAGUUUCUUAAAAUGCUAUCAUCAAAUAAAAUUUUAUGACCUUUGGUGUCGUCCUUUUUUAAUUAGUAUGUAUUGUUCGCACUUGGUAAACUGUUCUUCUAUUUUAGACGUCUCUGAUGCAAGAUCGCUAUAUGACAUAGAAUUGCUUAGUCAAGGAGUGAAUUAUGAUUGUAGAUUAUCUGGUCGUUCGAUUUUAUCCUGCCAUUAUAUUUGGAAUUACAUACCUUAUGAGAUAAAGGACAAGCUUGCAGAAGUAACUGAUAGAUUUUUGGUUUUCAGAGCAAGGAAUCAAAGUUGUCAUUCUUUCAUUCAGGAUUUUUAAGAGUUAGAUCUAUUUCCUCAUUCAUUUCGUUGUGUAGCCUUUGUUGCAAAAGUUAGAAAAGAGCGAAGCAAUCUUUUCCACUUUCUUACAGUAAAUUCAAAAUGAAAAAAAAAAAGAUUUGUGAAGUCCAUUAAAACAUUGGUGGUAUCGAAUCAGUUAAUCCGACAUCCAGAAUCCGAAGUGAUACAAUUUCAACUUUCGUUUCCAUGAAGCAGUUUUUAUUUUCUCACCGGCAGCUGUAAAUCUCUUUUCUUCUUUCUUCAUUUCUGACUUGGUUUCCUCUGGUUUAAUUCAGGGACAAAAGAGAGGGCGAUUCUUUUUGACGUUGGCUGACACUGUUGAACUGGUGAUAUUUCCAAGUCCACAGAGCUUUUGAACAGAGUGAUACUUCGAUUUACCGGACCAUUCUCUGGUCUCACAUCUUCAAUGCCUUACAAGUCAUUAACUUGCAAAUACACCACUUGUUAUUAGUUACGUGCGAGCGGUUUUUCGGCACGCCAACUUGACAAAAUACAGUGGCUGGGGCUUCUGUUAUGUGUAGAAUAAAAAUGAUAGGCCCCAAAUACUUGUGAAAAUAUAUUUUGGUUGUAUCAGGAUUUGUACAGAAAACCCCUCAUCAAAGGAGCCAUGAUGCUUCAUCCUUGAAGUUGAGGGAUUUCUCAAUGAAAGCUUAGCUCCUGUCAUUCUUUAUCAAUGUUUACAGUUACAACUCAACUUAAUUUCCCAUGGAGACACAUGUAUGCUUAGAAAUCAUUUUUAUUAAGUGGUCCUGGAAAUCUUAGGGUUACUCUUUAUUGCGCCAAUUAUUUUUUAUUUAGGGUUUGUUUGAUAUCCCUUCUAUUUUUUUGUUGUUGGAUCAUCUUCAAUAUUUAGAGGUCGCACUUGGUGCGAUGGCAAGUGCCUUCGCCCAUGAGCGGUAGGUCUCGGGUUCGAGACUUGGGAGCAACCUCUUCAUAAAUGGGGGUAAGGCUAGCCGACAUUCACCUCUCCCAGACCCUACGUAAAGCGGGAGCCUUGUGCACUGGGUACGACUUGGAUCAUCUUCAAUAUUUGGGGGGUUAAAACCUAGAAGCUAAAGCUAGGGCGUCACCCGUAAGUGGCGCGCUGUGUGGCCCGAGCACAGUGAUAAAUGAGCAAGGGUCGCUGUAUCUCCAUCGGCACCCGGAUGCAGUGUUAAAUGAGCAAGGGGGCCAUAGAAACUUCUUUUCGAACGACUCCACUCAAAGUUGUUUGGGAGCAUAUGCUCCUAUCAACUUUACACGGGACACACAAAAGAAGUACUUUGAUCCUAUUAGACGGGGGAGGGUGAAGAAGCUAGGACAGAAGGGUAGAGUUCAAGAGAGCAAAAUGCGUUUAGGAACGUGGAAUAUAGGAACCUUAACGGGAAAAUCUAUGGAAGUAGUGGAAGUUAUGGUGAGGAGAAGGAUAAAUAUUAUGUGCCUACAAGAAACUAAGUGGGUUGGUAGUAAGGCAAAGGAUCUAGAAAACUCAGGGUUUAAACUUUGGCAUUCGGGCACAAAUAGAACGAGAAACGGUGUUGGCAUCAUCGUGGACAAGACCUUGACACAAGAUGUUGUAGAUGUCAAGAGGGUAGGAGAUAGAAUCAUAGGCAAUCAAGAUUGUAAUAGGACAAGAACUUAUCAAUGUGAUUAGUGCGUACGCACCUCAAGUAGGGUUGGAUAAGAGUUCGAAGGAGAAAUUUUGGGAAGACCUUGGAGACUUGGUGCAAGGAAUUGCUCAGACGGAGAAGUUAUUUAUAGGAGGAGAUUUAAAUGGACACGUGGGCAGGGAGACAGGCAACUAUGGAGGUUUCCAUGGUGGCCAUGGUUUUUGGGGAGAGAAACGAGGAUGGGGAAGCUAUCUUGGAUUUUGCAAUGGCAUAUGAUCUCUUCUUAGCCAACACCUUCUUUAAGAAGAGAGAAGAACAUGUGAUCACCUACAAGAGUGGGUCGUCAAAAACACAAAUAGAUUUUCUUCUAAUGAGGAAAGGGGAUCGUAUAACUUGUAAGGAUUGCAAAGUUAUACCAGGAGAGAGCGUGGCUAAUCAACAUCGCUUGUUGGUGAUGGAUGUACAUAUCAAAAGAGUGAGACAAAAAGAACAAGACUUGGAAGUGCCCAAGGACUAGAUGGUGGAAUCUAAAAGAAGAAAAACAAGUCAUUUUCAAAGAGAAAGUAAUCACCCAGUGUGUGUGGGAUAGAGAGAGGGGAAGCUAGCCAAAUGUGGGAUUCCAUGGCUAGUUGUAUUCCGAAAAGUAGCAAAAGAGGUAUUAGGAGAGUCCAAAGGGCUUUGCCCCACACCAAAAGGAAUCUUGGUGGUGGAAUGAGGAGGUACAAACAAAGGUGAAGGCUAAGAAGGAAUGUUGUAAAGCCUUAUACAAGGAUAGGACCGAUGAAAAUGGUGAAAGGUAUAGAAAAGCGAAGCAAGAGGCGAAGAAAGCUGUGAGAGAAGCUAAGUUAGCGGCUUAUGACGAUAUGUAUAAGCGACUAGAUACCAAAGAAGGAGAGUUGGAUAUCUAUAAACUAGCUAGAGCAAGGGAAAAGAAGACAAGGACCUAAACCAAGUGAGGUGCAUCAAGGAUGAGGAUGGAAAGGUUCUUGCUACAGAGAACGCGGUUAAAGACAGAUGGAAAGGUUAUUUUCAUAAUCUUUUCAAUGAAGGACAUGAAAGGAGUGCUUCUUUAGGGGAGUUGAGUAACUCAGAAGAGUGUAGAAACUACUCUUUUUAUCGUAGAAUCCGGAAGGAAGAAGUGGUUGUAGCUUUGAAGAAGAUGAAGCAUAGAAAAGCAGUAGGCCCAGACGAUAUACCAAUCGAAGUGUGGAAAGUUUUGGGAGAGACAGGUAUAACAUGGCUCACUGACCUUUUCAAUAGGAUUUUGAAAACGAAGAAGAUGCCAAAUGAGUGGCGAACGAGCACUUUGGUGCCUAUCUACAAGAAUAAGGGCGACGUACAAAAUUGCAUGAACUAUAGGGGUAUUAAGCUAAUGAGUCAUACAAUGAAGCUCUGGGAGAGAGUCAUUGAGCAUAGAUUGAGGCAAGAGACACGGGUUUCGGACAACCAAUUCGGGUUCAUGCCAGGGCGCUCAACCAUGGAGGCAAUCUAUCUCUUACGAAGAUUGAUGGAAAGAUAUAGAGAUGGGAAAAAGGAUUUACACAUGGUCUUUAUAGAUUUGGAAAAAGCGUAUGAUAGGGUCCCAAGAGACAUUCUUUGGAGGAUUUUAGAGAAGAAAGGAGUACGAGUAGCAUAUAUCCAAGCUAUAAAGGAUAUGUAUGAAGGAGCAAAGACUGCCGUAAGAACUCAUGAAGGACAAACCGAAAGCUUUCCCAUAACUGUAGGAUUACAUCAAGGCUCAUCCUUAAGUCCUUACCUUUUUGCGUUGGUAAUGGAUGAGUUAACAGGACAUAUUCAAGAUGAUAUUCCUUGGUGUAUGCUUUUCGCAGACGAUAUAGUGUUGAUAGAUGAAACUCAGGAAGGGGUAAAUGCAAAGCUUAACCUUUGGAGAGAAGUGUUGGAAUCUAAAGGUCUUCGCCUAAGCCGAUCAAAGACAGAAUAUAUGGAGUGCAAGUUCAGUGCAAAUGGAGGCCAAAACGAGUUAGGGGUGAGGAUCGGAGAUCAAGAAAUACCAAAGAGCGACCGUUUUCGUUACCUAGGAUCUAUCUUGCAAAAGAACGGAGAAUUAGAUGGAGAUCUCAACCAUAGAAUACAAGCUGGAUGGAUGAAGUGGAAGAGUGCAUCCGGCGUGUUGUGUGACCGCCGUAUGCCACUGAAGCUCAAGGGAAAAUUUUAUAGGACGGCAAUAAGGCCGGCGAUGCUGUAUGGCACAGAAUGUUGGGCGGUGAAGCAUCAACACGUACACAAAAUGGGUGUAGCGGAGAUGAGGAUGCUUCGUUGGAUGUGUGGGCACACGAGAAAGGAUAAGAUUAGGAAUGAGGAUAUCCGGGGUAAAGUAGGAGUAGCCGAAAUUGAAGGAAAGAUGAGAGAAAAUCGGUUACGGUGGUUUGGACAUGUGCAAAGAAGGCCUACUGACGCUCCGAUUAGAAGAUGCGACUAUGGGACAGAGGUUCAGGGCCGAAGGGGUAGAGGAAGACCUAGGAAAACUUUGGAAGAGACUCUAAGAAAAGACUUAGAGUACUUGGAUCUAACGAAGGACAUGACACAGGACCGAGCACAAUGGCGUUCUAAGAUUCAUAUAGCCGAUCCCACUCAGUGACUUGGAUUUUCCAAGUCUCCAACCGAGAAGUUUUCCUCACUCGGGAAAUUAAGGGAACACUACCUCAACCUACAUGCUCCACUCAGAAAGCUUCAACAUACAAGCUUCAACAAAAAGAAAAUUCAAAGAACUUAGCGAAGAAGGCUUUGGUGUAUUUAACACAAUACGUUGAAAUGAAGGAAAGCUUAUUUAUUGAUAUCCCCGAUAAGCUUACAAAUAUGUACAUAUACAUGAGUCAAAAUAAACAAACAAGAGGGAGCCUUCACAAAGGUUGCUUAGGAGAAGUCUCAGCAGUCGGUAGAGCCCCAGAAAGAGAAGGCACCGGAGGGGGAUCAUUCGGAGCCUCAGUACUGGACAGAACCCUAGAAGGAGGAGGCAUCAGAGGUUGAUCAUUUGGAGCUUCAUUACGCGGUACAGCCCCAGAAGACGAAGGCAAUAAAAUGCCUUUGGAACAAACCCACAAAUCUCUGAUGAUCAAGUAAAACCUGACCAUCAGUUUCCUUCAUCUGGUCAAGCUUCCUCUUCAUGUUUGUAGCAUAGUCAUGUGCGAGCCGGUGCAACUGUUUAUUCUCAUGCUUGAGCCCUCUAAUCUCCUGUUUGAGACUCAUCACUUCAGCCGCCAAUGAUUCAACUUGGCGGGUUCGAGCAAAUAGGCGUUGGGCCAUAUUAGACACAGAACCUGCACACUGAACACUGAGAGCCAGAGAAUCCUUAACAGCUAACUCAUCAGACCGUUUGGAAAGUAGUCUGUUAUCUUUGGGAGUGAGAAGGUUCCUGGCCACCACCGCAGCGGUCAUAUCAUUCUUCAUCACGGAAUCCCCAACGGUAAGAGGACCAGUAGGGGAGACGAAGGAUGGGCGCCAUAUGUUGUCUGGAGAAGGCGGGGCUGCCUCUUCAACAAGGUUCAAGUCAAAACGACGGUCGGAGGGGCCAGACAUUUUCAAAGGUGUUGAAGAGAGAAGAGGUCGGACAAAUCAAGAUCUUAGAAGUGCAAGAAUGGAGCUUCUACUGGUGGAGAUUCAAGUGUGCUUUGGAACUUAAUGCCAGCCCCUAUAAAAAUCUGCACUCGACGGAAGCUUCAGAAAUCGAAGAGGCGCCUGCUCAGAAAUCGAAGAGGCGUUUGCUUUCUCAAAAGCUGGGCUGCUCAGAGACCACGAGGGUUGAUCUCAGAAAUCGAAGAGGCGUUUGCUUUCUCAAAAGUUGGGCUGCUCAAAGACCACGAAGGCCGAUCUCAGAAAUCGAAGAGGCGCUCGCUUUCUCAAAAGCUGGGCUCCUCAGAGACCACGAGGGCCGAUCUCAGAAAUCGAAGAGGCACCUACUUUUCCAGCCUUGUCAGCACCUGUCACACACGCACACUCAGCUUUGCGGAAAUUAUGGGCAUUCUGUCGAAGACUUUCUGAGGAAGUAGAAAACACAUGAAUCUUACUGUUCAAUCACCCACUUCCCACACGCAACAAUAGCUCAUGGGUACCACAGAUAACUUUGCCAAAGUUCUCUGCCAAAGUUGAGCACGUGAAGCUUGCAGCUCCCACUACAUCGCUCUGACCAAGAAAGGGUAAAAGAAUAGCAAAGAAACAGCACUAACAAAGUUUAGACCCAUAAAUUUUGAAGGUCUAGCUACCAUAUUAUUACCCACAAGGGUAAAGGAACAGUACCACUGCUGGAUAAUUGGAAAGUCCCUGUGUGUCAACCUCUGUGCUUCGUGGCAAGGUAGACUAGCAAACAUGCCCAACCUUUACUCACAUUCGAGAAAACACUACCCAAUAAGAUUGCUUGCUCCAAAAUCGAAGAGGCACCGUCCUCCGAAUCUCGAGAGCCAGACUCCCAACAUGACUACUUUCUCAAAAAAUCGAAGAGAGGGUAAAGGAACAGUACCAUUGCUGGAUAAUUGGAAAGUCCCUGUGUGUCAACCUCUGUGCUUCGUGGCAAGGUAGACUAGCAAACAUGCCCAACCUUUACUCACAUUCGAGAAAACACUCCCAACAAGAUUGCUUGCUCCAAAAUCGAAGAGGCACCGCCCUCCGAAUCUCGAGAGCCAGACUCCCAACAUGAUUACUUUCUCAAAAAUCGAAGUGACACUGCUCCCCGAAUCUCGAGAGCCAGACCCCCAUCAUGAUUGCUUUCUUAAAAAAUCGAAGAUGCAUCGUUCUCCGAAUCAAUCGAAGAGACACUCGCUUUCUCAAAAGCUGGGCUGCUCAGAGACCACGAGGGCCGAUCUCAGAAAUCGAAGAGGCACCUUCUUUUCUAGCCUUGUCAGCACCUGUCACACGCACACUCAGCUUUGCGGAAAUUAUGGGCAUUCUGUCGAAGACUUCUCGAGAGCCAGAUACGACAGACCACUUUUUCAAAGUGCUCUGACAGAGUUAAAACAUGUGAAGCUGGCAGCUCCCACUACCGUGCUAUGACCAAGCAGGGUAAAGGAAUAGCAUUACUACUUGUUGUUAGGGAGACUCCUAUAUAUGUCGACCUCCAUCUCCAACGGACAGGCAGACCUGCAAAAAUGUUCAACCCUUCCUCAUAUCUGAGAGGGCACUCCCAACGAAGCCUUUCGAAAUAUUCAGCUUUCUUUCCCCCCGAUAAUACCUUUGCAAACAAGCUAUACUAGAGCAAGAAUAUCUCAUAUCAUCAGGGUUAAAAGCAAGAGUAUCCCAUAUCAUGCUUUUUCCCUGUCUUUUCCUUUGGCCUUGUUGUUACCUGCAAGACAAGGAGAAAGAGAGCAAUCAGUCAGCACUUGGAAUCAAGCUUCCAGCCAGGAACUGACUGCCUGGAACCCCUUACCUGAUUACUUACCUGGCAUUGCUCUCGAGUACUCAUCUUCAACAUCUUAUGUUUCCAGGGAAGAUACCGCAUCUGCUUGAGGAACAGAUAGGGCAAGUGCGAAGGAUACAAGGAAGCAUGUGGAGACAAGCGUAACAGCACACGUGCCGAUACAUCCAUUACUCUGUCAAAAGCAAAAGUAUCCCAUAUCAGCAGGGUCGAACGUACUCUAGAUUUGAUGGACUUGUUUUGACCCUCAAAUUCUUCAGUCGGCUCUGGAGGAAACCAGAAAACCCUCCAGCUCAGUUCAAGAAUAAGCCUGUGGAAAGUUACUUCUUCAAAAGCAAAAGUAUCCCAUAUCAUCUCUUCUCAUCUUUCUUCUCUUUAUCCUUCAUGCUGCCUGCAAGAUAGGGAGAAGGUGAACAAUCAGCCGGAGCUCUGAUUGCUUACCUUGUCUGUCACCUCUUUCAGCAGAUCCCCUAGCUCGGCGACUUAGGAGACUCCUACUACAUGGUUUGUAUCGCGCUUGACCAAGCCUGAAACUACAAGUAAGCUUCAAGUGAAAUUGAUACAUUACCUUGUGCAUCUCCACCAGUUAAAGAUACCACCCCUGGAUGGAGGAAGAGUACUUCCAGAGAAGAUGCCACAUCUACCUAUGAGACAGAUAAGGCAAGUCAAGACGAUACCACACUCCGAUACUUAGAAGUUUCGUGAUUACGAGAUCAUUCUCUCCACAAUAUUUCCUAAUGUCAUUUGUACUAAAUCAUUCACUUGUACUCACUAAAGGAGAGCUUGAACCUAUGUACUUGUGUAAACCCUUCACAAUUAAUGAGAACUCUUCUAUUCCGUGGACGUAGCCAAUCUGGGUGAACCACGUACAUCUUGUGUUUGCUUUCCUAUCUCUAUCCAUUUAUAUACUUAUCCACACUAAUGACCGGAGCAAUCUAGGGAAGAUCACAAAAAGCGACCGUUUUUGCUGCCUAGGAUCUAUCUUGCAAGAGAACGGAGAAUUAGAUGGAGAUCUCAACCAUAGAAUACGACCUGGAUGGAUGAAGUGUAAGAGUGCAUCCGGCGUGUUAUGUGACCGUCGUAGGUCACUGAAGCUCAAGGGAAAAUUUUAUAGGACGACAAUAAGGCCAACGAUGUUGUAUGGCACAGAAUGUUGGACGGUGAAGCAUCAACACGUACACAAAAUGGGUGUAGCGGAGAUGAGGAUGCUUCGUGGGAUGUGUGGGCACACGAGAAAGGAUAAGAUUGGGCAUGAGGAUAUCCGAGGUAAAGUAGGAGUAGCCGAAAUUGAAGGAAAGAUGAGAGAAAAUCGGUUCCGGUGAUUUGGACAUGGGCAAAGAAGGCCGACUGACGCUCCGGUUCGAAGAUGUGACUACGGGACAGAGGUUCAGGGCCGAAGGGGUAGAGGAAGACCUAGGAAAACUUUGGAAGAGACUCUAAGAAAAGACUUAGAGUACUUGGAUCGAACGGAAGACAUGACACAAAACCGAGCGCAAUGGCGUUCUAGGAUUCAUAUAGCCGACCCCACUUAGUGGGAAAAGGCUUUGUUGUUGUUGUUGUUGUUGUAUAUUUGAUUAUAUUCAAUCUCAGCAUUGGAUUUAAAAUUUUAAAAUUUAAAAAAUUAAAUAGGUUUGAAUCCAACGGUCCAAUAAUUAAAACCGACGGUUUGAAAAGAGUUGUUGGCUCGUUUUGGGUGGGUGGCCUAACAUUCUCGUUAGGAGCGGGCUCCACAUUCAGUUAGCCUUCACGUGAUGGGCGCGUUGCCUUACUGUGGCCUCCACUUUUAUGGGUGUGUCCAUGUGCAUAAGGUGGGCCAGCCUUCCCUGGCCGGAAUUCUGGGUUAAAUUUGCCAAAAUUUUAGUUUUUAACUCAAAACUUAUUUUAGGCUCAACUCUUGGAAAAGAAUUGAGUUAGUUUUAAACCAAAAUUUUAGGUUUUAACUAAAGGAUUGGAGAUGGUCGUAUUUAGUUUUCAUUUAUAAAAAGGUGAAAAAUAAGAGAUUUCGUAGUAUUAUUCAAGGAAUUUGAAGCUGGGAUUAAUUUUUUGGUCGGUAGGUCGCUAGGGUGGUCCAAUGGUCUCAGGGCUUGAACCGGAUUCACGUUAUUGCUUGGGCCGGUCCAAGUCGGUAGGCCCUAGACAUCAGAUAUUGUUACAUGGAGUGAAACAUGUUUUGUGCGUUCCUCAAAUCACUUCUAUGAGUAAUGCUAGUAACAACAACAAAUAAAAAUUUUACGUCACAAAACAUGAGUUUUCCUCGAGUAAUAACUUUUUGGUCUAAUUGGAUUAAUGGUCCUCAUGGUGAUAUGAUAAUUGGAAGAUAAUCCUUGUGGUAAAAAAAUUCGGAUUUAAACCCAUGUGGUGAAGUUCGUUAGGAAUUAAGCCCAAAUCAAAAUUUUCGUUAAUUAGUUUGUCUGUUAAGUUCUUCUUCUUAUCCCAGAAGAGAAAUAUCUAGUUUCAUAGAUAUGCAACAAGCUCCCUUUGCCAAGGGAUCUAGCUUAAAAUCUUAUUGGCUUCAUCCUUGCUGUAGACUGCCCUGUGGAUAAAGUUUCCUGCUAUGUAUCUGACGAUGGUGUUGCCAUGCUUACCUUCGAAUCUCUUGCCGAGACAUUUGAAUUUGCAAGAAAGUGGGUACCAUUCUGCAAGAAAUAUUUUUCGAUUAAAUCAUGUGCACCUGAGUUUUACUUCUCACAAAAAAUUGACUACUUGAAGGAUAAAGUGCAACAAUCUUUUGUGAAGGAGCGCAGAGCGAUGAAAGUAAGUACCUAAUGGCCGAAGCUUCUUCUAGUUGCAACUGAAUAUUCACUCAUGAUAAUUUGAUAUCAAAACUAAAUGAAAGCAAGCAUGCUAGUUGUUCGGCUAUGGGCUUAUUACAAUAAAAAUCAAGCAUGUAAAAGUAAUGAAGCAAAGAAGAUCUAGAGUCGGAUCCAUUGGCAAAAGGAGCUUGCUGCAUAUCUAUGAAACUAGAUGUUUCUUUAAAAAAAAACACACACACACACAACUUGAUGAAGAAACUAACAGAAAUUUUGAUUUUGGGCUUAAUUCUUAACGGACUUCACCACAAGAGUUUAAAUCUGAAUUUUUUAUCACAUGGACUAUCCUCUGAGUACCAUAUCACCACGAGGAUCAUUUAUCCAAUUAGGCCUAACUUUUUUCUUUUGCAAAAAAUAAGAAAGCUAACUUUUUAUAUCUCAUAUAAAAUAAAAUUUUAUUUUAUUUCAGUGUAAUUGGGUAUUAUCCAACUUCUUUAGGUUUUUGGCAUGAAUUUACACAUUGUAAGGAAAGCUCCCAUCACUUAAUGUCGUUUUCUUCACAGGGAUAUGAAGCAUAUCCCACUUAACCCCAUUUUUAUCGGGGGAUGAAGCACUUAAUUAACUUUUUAGCAGAAAAAUUUCUUGUUCGAGCCUCAACACAAUCAAAACACUUUUCUUAAAGGUUGAAAAUAAUAAGCAAGAUAAAAACUCCCUAAAAAAGCACUUUUUUUGCAAGAGAAGAAAUAAGCACUUUUAGGACUUCUUACCCAUUUGUCCAUAUUUUCUUAUUCUAGACCGUAUAUUUUUAUUGUAUUUAUAUUAUUUUGUUGCGUACCCUAAACUUCCAUUUAAGUCAUAGCAUUCUCGAUUCAAAAGAAAAUUCAACUCCUAUAAAUACAUGCAGUUUUCCUUCUCUCAAAUUACUACCUUGAAAGAACUCAACAGUCCAUCCAAAGUUACAAAGAAUUGUUGACAACAGUUCAGAUAGCAUGCAAAGCAGCUCUAUUUCGCAUUCUCAAGCAACCUCAAGCUCCUGUCGCUCUAACUUAAUGGGUACGUCUGCAUGACCUUUCGUUUCCAAAUUCGAUAUGAAAGUUAUAUACUUGUUCCCAAUUUUUUGUUUUCCGGUACAAACUCUAUCUUUGUUCAAUUUAUUAUACGAAAAUUUGAUACGGAACUUUAUGGAAUUGAAACUGAUUGUUUUAAUUUGGAUUUUUUAAUGCAGUUGGCUAUUGGGCUUUUGUGUUCUUAUUCUUAGCAUCUAUUGCUAAUGCGAAAGCCGAAGUCUUUUAUGUGACAAAUUCAACAUAUGGAGGAAACCCUAGCGGCGAUAUUACGCUUGCUUUGGCUGACGCUUGGAGAGCUGCCUGUUCAUCGCCAUGGCCAGCCAAAGUUGUUAUUCCAGAAGGGGAAUACUACUUAAGAGGAGCAAUUUUACAUGGUCCAUGCAAAUCUCCCAUUGAGGUUCAAGUUCAAGGGUAUUUGCGUGCUCCACAAGAAAGCAGCCAACUCCUUCAACAGAAUACUUGGGUUGGCUUUCAAUACGUUGACAGGCUCACCUUAUUUGGUGGUGGAACUUUUGAUGGCCAAAGUAAUUGCCACAAAUAUAAAAGUUGCCAAUCCAACAGAGUAUUUGUAAGGACAUUGUAAUCAAUCCUUGCUUUUGUUUACUUAAGUCGAUUUUUAUCGUUUAUUUAAUUAUAUGUCGCUAAUACUUGUUUUGUUUUAAUGCAGAAUUUGAGGUUUGAUUUUGUCACAAAUUCAGUGAUCGAGGGCAUAACUUCACUAGAUAGCAAAAAUUUCCACAUCAAUGUUUUUGCAUGUCGCAAUGUUACAUUCCAAUAUGUUACUAUCACCGCACCUGAAGACAGUGUCAACACAGAUGGAAUUCACAUCGGGAGAUCGUUUGGGGUCACCAUUGAUCACACAAUAAUUGGAACAGGCGACGACUGCAUUUCUCUUGGUGACGGUAGCCAGAACAUUGUCGUGACCAACGUUACUUGUGGACCAGGGCAUGGCAUAAGCAUCGGGAGCCUAGGAAAGUAUCCAGACGAAGAGCCCGUGGUUGGAGUCAGAGUGAAGAACUGCACACUCACUAACACACAAAAUGGUGUGAGAAUCAAAACAUGGCCGGGUUCUCCAACAUUUACAACUGCCUCGCAUAUUCACUUUCAAGAUAUUAACAUGGUAAAUGUUAGUAACCCUAUUUCUAUAGACCAAGAGUACUGCCCUUACACUUAUUGUGGAAAAGAUGAUCCAUCCAAAGUCAAGAUAAGCGACAUCAGUUUCACCAACAUCAAGGGCUCAUCUGCAACCCCAGUUGCAGUCAAGCUUAUGUGCAGUAGAAAAAUACCGUGUGAUGGAGUCGGGUUGACUGACGUGGACCUCACGUACAUCGGAAGCAAAGGCCCUCUCACCUCUCAAUGUGCUUAUGUCAAGCCCUACAUUACUCGCGUGGCGAAUGCUCUUGCUUGUGCUACCUGGUCAUAUUCUAAUAGUCUAAGAAGUGGAAGAAAUCUCACUAAUCUUCUCACUAGAUAGUUUGCUGCUUCUCUGGUUUUGUUUGAUGGUAUAUCAUGUAAGAGGUAGAAAAUAGGUAGUAUUGGGCUUAGUGAAUGUGUGUCUUUUGCUUUUGAUUUAGGGUUACAUUGGUUCCCGACCUAGGUUUAUGGGUCUGGGGCGGAAUCUAUGAUUGUGGCCCUUUGAACGCACUAUAAUUUCAUCAGUAAAUAAAAAAUAAAUAAAAAAUAAAGUUUUAUCAACACGGUUGCAUUUUUUUUAGCUUAAAACAUCAUUAGUAUUCAUUCAAAAUGGAUUAGCUAAAAUGAGCAUGAUUCCCUUUGAAUCCUGGGGAUUUGAUCCGUGAUGCUUUAUUUGAAGAUUAUACUAUUUAAUCAUCAAUAAAAUGUUAAUGAUCUAGUCGUACCAUGAACACACUUCUUUUUUGGUGCAGUUUUUGCUCACCGACUUUUUGAAAUUUGUGUCUAUUUACUACACCGAUCUCAAAAUUUAAACUCAUUCAACAAUGAUAAAAAAGGUGAUGAGCAUCACCAUUACUUAGUGGUGAGGAAAAAUUGGUUUGAGCCAAAUCAAACUAAAAAGUCUAGGAAGGCGAAUAAAAAUCUGGAUCGAUCUUCCAAUUGGAACAUACGAUCAAACUCAACAUGGUAAAAGGUGCUUUUAUUAAUUUAAUUGGGUGUAAGGAAUUUCUGUUGUGAUAAUAAUUUCCAAAACAAAAUAAUGGUUUAAAAGAUUAUAAAAAACAUUUAAGCUUAAUUAGUUAAGUUUCAACGCAUCACAUCUCAAAACACAGCGAAACUCAGAUCUUGAUCAAGCACCUGGAGUCGAGCAUGAACAGCAUCUGAAAAUUUGAUGGCAAUUCAUUUUCCGACCAUUUUGCCGGAGUGCGUAAAAGGACGUACCGUGUAAAUAUUAGCCUAAACUCGAAGCCAAUUCUUUUUAUUUUCAAACUUUAGCGCUAUGGAAACCUUUAAGGGAAAUCAAAGGAAAUGCCUUUUAACAACUGGAAGUCUCUAUUAACAGUACACAAGUCACACUCUCCAUCUUCCCCCUCCCUCCCUCCCUCCCUCCCUCCCCCUCAGCUCUCUGGAGAUAAAAAGAAUGCUUUUUAACAAAUUAAAUAACAGAGAGUGAGAGAACGAGCGGACGAGCGACCGAGCGGGGGCUCCUUUCCUCAAAUCCUAAAGCAUGCAAAUGCCGCUACCCAGAAAUCAGUGGCUCAUGACUGAUGGUAUAACUUUUAUGUACAACCGUUUGAUGGACAACUCCCUGUGAAGAUAGUUUGCAGCCAGCCUUCAGCUUUCAGCAUCAUAUCGAACUGUACAUGCAUAAAACAACGGAUGGAACAACCUGCCGCCGACAAACUGGUCUUCCCUUGGGACCAAAUUUUCAACCUGCUGAGAGGAAUACCCCAAGCAUCUGCCGGUGUAGGUAACAAGAUAUUUAGUAACAGUACGAUUUAACAAGCAAACUAAAAGCAACGGUGAUGAUAAAGAGAACAAAGAGUGUUCUGUAUUUUUCAGAAUUGGAAUAAUUAUAGGAUCACCUGUAGCCACUAACCUCAAUGUGCAGUUAACUGAACCAUUGAUCCAAGGUCCAGAUUUAUUGUCAGAAGUGGAUAUUCUCUGCUGCUAUCAAGAAUCCUUUGCCAUCAAUCUGCGUCAAACAUAUAUACCACCUGAGAUGCCAAAAGAGAACAUUCAGCAUCGUGAAUAAAAUCGGACUAACACGGAACUUGGUAACAUGAUGAACUACCAUCCAUGAAGUUCAUGAUUGUCUUUACCUAAAAAUCCAAACUAAACCAUGAAGAAAGAACCAAUUGUAGUUUGUCCAAGGACCUUGGAGCUUCGAUCAAGGCCAUGAGAAGCAACCUUCCAUGCAAAACAUAAACCAUUUACCAUAAAACUUAGAUCCAAAACAGGAAAUAGUUUCAAUUUGAAGUUUGGAACGUAUAAAUUAAGGAUUCUUCAAAAUGAACUUGCAGAUAAAGCUCAACACAUGCCCUUCACUUGAGAAAUUUCAACACAAGGUUUAGUUACAAAUCAUGGAUGGUGGGGGUAGGCAAGGGGCUCCAAGUGGAUGGUGGGGGUGAGGCAAAGGGCUCGAAGUGGAGGGUAGAAGGGAGCGUGAGAGAGGGGGCCAAACUCUUUUUUUCAGAUUUAUUUCUUAAAUGAGUAAUGAGGGUACAAUGGGAAUAACGAGAUUACCAUAAACUGUUGAGUGACAAUGGGUUUCUUCAACAUUUACUACAUUAAAGAAAACAUUAUGCAAAAUUAAGAACGUGGCAAAAGAUUCUCACCAAGUAAGUUAAAGCUGCAUAGCGUUCCUCGUUCAAGUACAGUGGCUUUCCUCUGUGCAUUUCAACAUCCUGCAAUAACAAAAUUUACAAUAUGAUACACAGAAAGCAUAAACCCCUAGAAAUCAAUGAAUGCACUAAAAGCACAAAUAAGAACAGGAGCGUCCACAAGUACUACUUCCAACAUCUUCGUCUUCCAUUUUACAUUUUCUUUUUGAGGGUUUUGGGCUGAUGGAAGAAUAAAACUGCAAAGCGACUUUUGCAUUUUAUUCAGAAAAACCGUAUGCAAUAAAAGGGGGAAAUUUCUUUUUUCUUUUUUAUUUUUUUUAUUUGACUUGGGGGUUGGAGAUUUGAGCUAAGCCACACAAUGGGCUAGCCAUAAUUAAGUAUUUCCCUUGGGAGUUGAACCUGAGACCUCCUACUUACAAGUGCAAAGGAAUACCAUUAAACAGCAGUUCAAGUGGCAGAAAAGGGGAAAUAUCUAAACUGCCUGAAAGGAGCUCCAUGAAAUGCAGUAUCAAACAUUCUUUUGCUUCAUUCUAUAGAUGUAAAACUCCAAACUGAAAGAGGAGAUAUGCAACUAUAGUGGGUGGAUGGCAUAAUGAGAACAUCCUCUAAAAACCGAUGCCCCAUUCCUCCUCUUGCCAAAGCAAUAAAAAUAAAAGGCAUUUCACAAGUAAGCCCUUGAAACCAUAAAGAUGAAUGACUUGCUAAAAAGUCCUAUAAUGCAAAAUAUCUCUAAGGACCCUAGGCUCAAACCUGUAUGACUUCCAGGAUCAGAGCAGCUAAUUUGUAAGAUGGAUAGACAAGGGUUCACUAGAAUAUGGUAUGAUUAUUUUGUCAUUUCAAAUUGUUUACAAGGGAAGAUGAUGAAAGAAAUAGAGGAAUACAAUAGCAGAAACCAAUUACCUCUUCUCCAAAAGCAUCCAAGUAGGGCGAUGGCCAAGGAGCUUGCCGUGCAGACCUCUGCAGCAGAAUUGUUGUCCUCUGGAUUCACAGCAAAAAAAAUUAAUCAUCUCCGCAAACAAGAAUAGACAUAGAAACAAAAUUAAAAGAUCUGAAAGGCAGGAUUCCAAACAUAAUUAUUAAAAAAAGGAACCACAAUGCAUACCCUGAUCAACAGAAAUACACCAGUACCAGAACCACAGGACACUGCAUGAGUUUGGCAUCCACUUUCCCUAAGAUAAAACAUCAAAUUUAGCAAUGAUGGAGCAAUGGGCAUAAACAUUCUCUAUUGAUGGAUGCACCUAAAUGGAUAAUUUAUCUGAUAAUAACGACAUAUAUUAGUGAAUACAUACCUGCAACAUGACUUCCAGCUUGGAGAACAUAAUCUCCCACAAAGCAAGCACAAUGCAGGGUCAUCAAGGAUAUUUUUGCAAUCAGGACAACGCUGUUUUAUGUACCUGCAAAAACAUAACCUUUCUGAGUAAAUUUUAAUUCUCGAGAGAUCCUUUUAAAAGACAAGAACUCCAGUAACAAACCAAGAAGCAAUUCAACUAACCUCUGCAAUAGGUCCUGGUAAACUUGGGGAAGACGCAUCAAUUGGAAGGGAACUGCAGGGAUACAGUGCAUGCUUCCCUGAAAUCUUUGGACUUCAAACUCCUUCCGAAAAUGAUGGAACCAUUUCUGAGUUAUUGAACGUACCACAUUAUCCUUAAAGAUAACAUCCAGAGAAGGAAUCUUUAACUUGCUUUCUAUUUCCUGAACAUCAUUUAGCUCCACUAGUGCGACAUAAGUGGUGUCCAUCAUGUCACCAAUAGCAUGAGAUCUAUCCAAGACAUUAUACCUUUCAUGGAAUGGUACUCGGGAACAGGAGUUCAAUAGCUUCAACAGCAAUGCACACCUCCGCAAAUAAGGGAAACUCAGGCUACGAACUAUGUUCUUGAUAUUAGGAGAAGAGCCAAUAUAAUUUGAAACAAAAAAUUGCUGAGUGGCUCCAGAUUCUUCCAUAAGUUUAGAGAGGUCAGUAACCAGGCAAUCAUCAAUACCUAAUCCACUAAUGUCACAUUGAUUUUUCCCACAAUAUGUCAUUAUGCCCUGCAUUCACCAUAAUGAAUUAGGCCACUAGAUGUUUUUAAUGCUACUUAAGAAUUAUGAGAAAAAAAAGAAAGAAGAAGAGGUGCCGCUAACAUACCUGAACUACAGAGACAACAUAAAAUAAGUGCACUAGGGACAACAAUGAAUCUUCACAUGAUAAAAAUCGGUAUGGAAGACAAAAAAGAACCCACAUCAAUGAUGAAAAAGGAUCGCGAGCAAGGACAGGAUCAGAAGCUCGCCUCCAGAACUGAAUAUCAGGAUACGAUACUGCCAGAUCAGCAUAUUCCAAGAUACGCAGCAUAGCACCUGUGAAACAUAGCAUUGAUGAGGAUUUAACCGAAUAAAGUAAAAUGCUUCAAAUUUUGGCAAGCAUAACACCUAAAAUUUUGCACAUGUGAAACUUGAAUGCUUAAUAGUUCUUUCGUGACUUCCAAUAGGGUCCAAGAAUUCAACCAGCCGCAGCAUUCUCCAUUAUACGAAUGAAUAGUGCUACUUAUCCCAGAUUUCUCUCAACUUUUUUUUUUCCCAAUCAGACAUGAUAUAUACACCACAUCAUUGCAUUAAGAAAUGCAGCAAUGUUUUAGAAUCCAAUGUGAGAAUGCCAUGUAAAAGGUUGGGGUCAACAGAGUAUUGAUCACCUAAAAAAUCACUUUAAUAAAUUCAUCCUUUGAAAGAAAAAACAACAACAACAACAACAAAGCCUUUUCCCACUAAGUGGGGUCGGCUAUAUGAAUCCUAGAACGCCAUUGCGCUCGGUUUUGUGUCAUGUCCUCCGUUCGAUCCAAGUACUCUAAGUCUUUUCUUAGAGUCUCUUCUAAAGUUUUCCUAGGUCUUCCUCUACCCCUUCGGCCCUGAACCUCUGUCCCGUAGUCACAUCUUCGAACCGGAGCGUCAGUCGGCCUUCUUUGCCCAUGUCCAAAUCACCGGAACCGAUUUUCUCUCAUCUUUCCUUCAAUUUCGGCUACUCCUACUUUACCUCGGAUAUCCUCAUGCCCAAUCUUAUCCUUUCUCGUGUGCCCACACAUCCCACGAAGCAUCCUCAUCUCCGCUACACCCAUUUUGUGUACGUGUUGAUGCUUCACCGUCCAACAUUCUGUGCCAUACAACAUCGUUGGCCUUAUUGUCGUCCUAUAAAAUUUUCCCUUGAGCUUCAGUGGCCUACGACGGUCACAUAAACACGCCGGAUGCACUCUUACACUUCAUCCGUCCAGGUCGUAUUCUAUGGUUGAGAUCUCCAUCUAAUUCUCCGUUCUCUUGCAAGAUAGAUCCUAGGCAGCAAAAACGGUCGCUUUUUGUGAUCUUCGCUAGAUUGCUCCGGUCAUUAGUGUGGAUAAGUAUAUAAAAUGAAUAGAGAUAGGAAAGCAAACACAAGAUGUACGUGGUUCACCCAGAUUGGCUACGUCCACGGAAUAGAAGAGUUCUCAUUAAUUGUGAAGGGUUUACACAAAGUACAUAGGUUCAAGCUCUCCUUUAGUGAGUACAAGUGAAUGAUUUAGUACAAAUGACAUUAGGAAAUAUUGUGAGAGAAUGAUCUCGUAAUCACGAAACUUCUAAGUAUCGGAGUGUGGUAUCGUCUUGACUUGCCUUAUCUGUCUCAUAGGUAGAUGUGGCAUCUUCUCUGGAAGUACUCUUCCUCCAUCCAGGGGUGGUAUCUUUAACUGGUGGAGAUGCACAAGGUAAUGUAUCAAUUUCACUUGAAGCUUACUUGUAGUUUCAGGCUUGGUCAAGCGCGAUACAAACCAUGUAGUAGGAGUCUCCCAAGUCGCCGAGCUAGGGGAUCUGCUGAAAGAGGUGACAGACAAGGUAAGCAAUCAGAGCUCCGGCUGAUUGUUCACCUUCUCCCCAUCUUGCAGCAGCAUGAAGGAUAAAGAGAAGAAAGAUGAGAAGAGAUGAUAUGGGAUACUUUUGCUUUUGAAGAAGUAACUUUCCACAGGCUUAUUCUUGAACUGAGCUGGAGGGUUUUCUGGUUUCCUCCAGAGCCGACUGAAGAAUUUGAGGGUCAAAACAAGUCCAUCAAAUCUAUAGUACGUUCGACCCUGCUGAUAUGGGAUACUUUUGCUUUUGACAGAGUAAUGGAUGUAUCGGCACGUGUGCUGUUACGCUUGUCUCCACAUGCUUCCUUGUAUCCUUCGCACUUGCCCUAUCUGUUCCUCAAGCAGAUGCGGUAUCUUCCCUGGAAACAUAAGAUGUUGAAGAUGAGUACUCGAGAGCAAUGCCAGGUAAGUAAUCAGGUAAGGGGUUCCAGGCAGUCAGUUCCUGGCUGGAAGCUUGAUUCCAAGUGCUGACUGAUUGCUCUCUUUCUCCUUGUCUUGCAGGGAACAACAAGGCCAAAGGAAAAGACAGGGAAAAAGCAUGAUAUGGGAUACUCUUGCUUUUAACCCUGAUGAUAUGAGAUAUUCUUGCUCUAGUAUAGCUUGUUUGCAAAGGUAUUAUCGGGGGGGAAAGAAAGCUGAAUAUUUCGAAAUGCUUCGUUGGGAGUGCCCUCUCAAAUAUGAGGAAGGGUUGAACAUUUUUGCAGGUCUGCCUGUCCGUUGGGGAUGGAGGUCGACAUAUAUAGGAGUCUCCCUAACAACAAGUAGUAAUGCUAUUCCUUUACCCUGCUUGGUCAUAGCACGGUAGUGGGAGCUGCCAGCUUCACAUGUUUUAACUCUGUCAGAGCACUUUGAAAAAGUGGUCUGUGCUCUCGAGAAGUCUUCGACAGAAUGCCCAUAAUUUCCGCAAAGCUGAGUGUGCGUGUGACAGGUGCUGACAAGGCUAGAAAAGUAGGUGCCUCUUCGAUUUCUGAGAUCGGCCCUCGUGGUCUCUGAGCAGCUCAGCUUUUGAGAAAGCGAGCGUCUCUUCGAUUGAUUCGGAGAACGAUGCAUCUUCGAUUUUUAAGAAAGCAAUCAUGAUGGGGGUCUGGCUCUCGAGAUUCGGGGAGCAGUGUCACUUCGAUUUUUGAGAAAGUAAUCAUGUUGGGAGUCUGGCUCUCGAGAUUCGGAGGGCGGUGCCUCUUCGAUUUUGGAGCAAGCAAUCUUGUUGGGAGUGUUUUUCUCGAAUGUGAGUAAAGGUUGGGCAUGUUUGCUAGUCUACCUUGCCACGAAGCACAGAUGUUGACACACAGGGAUUUUCCAAUUAUCCAGCAAUGGUACUGUUCCUUUACCCUCUCUUCGAUUUUUGAGAAAGUAAGUCAUGUUGGGAGUCUGGCUCUCGAGAUUCGGAGGACGGUGCCUCUUCGAUUUUGGAGCAAGCAAUCUUAUUGGUAGUGUUUUCUCGAGUGUGAGUAAAGGUUGGGCAUGUUUACUAGUCUACCUUGCCACGAAGCACAGAGGUUGACACACAGGGACUUUCCAAUUAUCCAGCAGUGGUACUGUUCCUUUACCCUUGUGGGUAAUAAUAUGGUAGCUAGACCUUCAAAAUUUAUGGGUCUAAACUUUGUUAGUGCUGUUUCUUUGCUAUUCUUUUACCUUUCUUGGUUAGAGCGAUGUAGUGGGAGCUGCAAGCUUUACGUGCUCAAUUUUGGCAGAGAACUUUGGCAAAGUUAUCUGUGGUACCCAUGAGCUAGUGUUGCGUGUGGGAAGUGGGUGAUUGAACAGUAAGGUUCAUGUGUUUUCUACUUCCUCAGAAGUCUUCGACAGAAUGCCCAUAAUUUCCGCAAAGCUGAGUGUGCGUGUGACAGGUGCUGACAAGGCUGGAAAAGUAGGUGCCUCUUCGAUUUCUGAGAUCGGCCCUCGUGGUCUCUGAGGAGCCCAGCUUUUGAGAAAGCGAGCGCCUCUUCGAUUUCUGAGAUCGGCCUUCGUGGUCUUUGAGCAGCCUAAUUUUUGAGAAAGCAAACGCCUUUUCGAUUUCUGAGAUCAACCCUCGUGGUCUCUAAGCAGCCCAGCUUUUGAGAAAGCAAACGCCUCUUCGAUUUCUGAGCAGGCGCCUCUUCGAUUUCUGAAGACCGUCGAGUGCAGAUUUUUAUAGGGGCUGGCAUUAAGUUCCAAAGCACACUUGAAUCUCCACCAGUAGAAGCUCCAUUCUUGCACUUCUAAGAUCUUGAUUUGUCCAACCUCUUCUCUCUUCAACACCUUUGAAAAUGUCUGGCCCCUCCGACCGUCGUUUUGACUUGAACCUUGUUGAAGAGGCAGCCCCGCCUUCUCCAGACAACAUAUGGCGCCCAUCCUUCGUCUCCCCUACUGGUCCUCUUACCGUUGGGGAUUCCGUGAUGAAGAAUGAUAUGACUGCUGCGGUGGUGGCCAGGAACCUUCUCACUCCCAAAGAUAACAGACUACUACUUUCCAAACGGUCUGAUGAGUUAGCUGUUAAGGAUUCGCUGGCUCUCAGUGUUCAGUGUGCAGGUUCUGUGUCUAAUAUGGCCCAACGCCUAUUUGCUCGAACCCGCCAAGUUGAAUCAUUGGCGGCUGAGGUGAUGAGUCUCAAACAGGAGAUUAGAGGGCUCAAGCAUGAGAAUAAACAGUUGCACCGGCUCGCACAUGACUAUGCUACAAACAUGAAGAGGAAGCUUGACCAGAUGAAGGAAACUGAUGGUCAGGUUUUACUUGAUCAUCAGAGAUUUGUAGGUUUUGUUCCAAAGGCAUUUAUUGCCUUCGUCUUCUGGGGCUGUACCGCGUAAUGAAGCUCCAAAUAAUCAACCUCUGAUGCCUCCUCCUUCUAGGGUUCUGUCCAGUACUGAGGUUCCGAAUGAUCCCCCUCCGGUGCCUUCUCUUUCUGGGGCUCUACCGACUGCUGAGACUUCUCCUAAGCAACCCUUGUGAAGGCUCCCUCUUGUUUGUUUAUUUUGACUCAUGUAUAUAUGUACACAUUUGUAGCUUAUCGGGGAUAUCAAUAAAUAAGUUUUUCCUUCAUUUCAACGUAUUGUGUUAAAUACACCAAAACCUUCUUCGCUAAGUUCUUUGAAUUUUCUUUUGUUGAAGCUUGUAUGUUGAAGCUUUCUGAGUGGAGCAUGUAGGUUGGGGUAGUGUUCCCUUAAUUUCCCGAGUGAGGAAAACUUCUCGAUUGGAGACUUGGAAAAUCCAAGUCACUGAGUGGGAUCGGCUAUAUGAAUCUUAGAACGCCAUUGUGCUCGGUCCUGUGUCAUGUCCUUCGUUAGAUCCAAGUACUCUAAGUCUUUUCUUAAAGUCUCUUCCAAAGUUUUCCUAGGUCUUCCUCUACCCCUUCAGCCCUGAACCUCUGUCCCAUAGUCGCAUCUUCUAAUCGGAGCGUCAGUAGGCCUUCGUUGCACAUGUCCAAACCACCGUAACCGAUUUUCUCUCAUCUUGCCUUCAAUUUCGGCUACUCCUACUUUACCCCGGAUAUCCUCAUUCUUAAUCUUAUCCUUUCUCGUGUGCCCACACAUCCAACGAAGCAUCCUCAUCUCCGCUACACCCAUUUUGUGUAUGUGUUGAUGCUUCACCGCCCAACAUUCUGUGCCAUACAGCAUCGCUGGCCUUAUUGCCGUCUUAUAAAAAUUUUCCCUUGAGCUUCAGUGGCAUACGGCGGUCACACAACACGCCGGAUGCACUCUUCCACUUCAUCCAUCCAGCUUGUAUUCUAUGGUUGAGAUCUCCAUCUAAUUCUCCGUUCUUUUGCAAGAUAGAUCCUAGGUAACGAAAACGGUCGCUCUUUGGUAUUUCUUGAUCUCCAAUCCUCACCCCUAACUCGUUUUUGGCCUCCAUUUGCACUGAACUUGCACUCCAUAUAUUCUGUCUUUGAUCGGCUUAGGCGAAGACCUUUAGAUUCCAACACUUCUCUCCAAAGGUUAAGCUUUGCAUUUACCCCUUCCUGAGUUUCAUCUAUCAACACUAUAUCGUCUGCGAAAAGCAUACACCAAGGAAUAUCAUCUUGAAUAUGUCCUGUUAACUCAUCCAUUACCAACGCAAAAAGGUAAGGACUUAAGGAUGAGCCUUGAUGUAAUCCUACAGUUAUGGGAAAGCUUUCGGUUUGUCCUUCAUGAGUUCUUACGGCAGUCUUUGCUCCUUCAUACAUAUCCUUUAUAGCUUGGAUAUAUGCUACUCGUACUCCUUUCUUCUCUAAAAUCCUCCAAAGAAUGUCUCUUGGGACCCUAUCAUACGCUUUUUCCAAAUCUAUAAAGACCAUGUGUAAAUCCUUUUUCCCAUCUCUAUAUCUUUCCAUCAAUCUUCGUAAGAGAUAGAUUGCCUCCAUGGUUGAGCGCCCUGGCAUGAACCCAAAUUGGUUGUCCGAAACCCGUGUCUCUUGCCUCAAUCUAUGCUCAAUGACUCUCUCCCAGAGCUUCAUUGUAUGACUCAUUAGCUUAAUACCCCUAUAGUUCAUGCAAUUUUGUACGUCACCCUUAUUCUUGUAGAUAGGCACCAAAGUGCUCGUUCGCCACUCAUUUGGCAUCUUCUUCGUUUUCAAAAUCCUAUUGAAAAGGUCAGUGAGCCAUGUUAUACCUGUCUCUCCCAAAACUUUCCACACUUCGAUUGGUAUAUCGUCUGGGCCUACUGCUUUUCUAUGCUUCAUCUUCUUCAAAGCUACAACCACUUCUUCCUUCCGGAUUCUACGAUAAAAAGAGUAGUUUCUACACUCUUCUGAGUUACUCAACUCCCCUAAAGAAGCACUCCUUUCAUGUCCUUCAUUGAAAAGAUUAUGAAAAUAACCUUUCCAUCUGUCUUUAACCGCGUUCUCUGUAGCAAGAACCUUUCCAUCCUCAUCCUUGAUGCACCUCACUUGGUUUAGGUCCUUUGUGCCUAUCCUCAUCUUUGAAAGAAAAAACAAGGAUGGAAAAUAACUCUUAAAUCUAACUGUCAUCUUACUGUAGGGAUGUUAAUUGUAAUUCUGAAUGGCAUCUGAUUAGUGAAUCAGAAAGCAAGAAACAAAUAUUCACAGAAAGUCACCAGAAACAUAUGAAAUAAAUGGCUUUUACUGGUAGCAAUAAGAAUACCUUGUCCACAUGUUUCAUUGCGAACGUCUAUGGAAACUCCAAAUAGAAUAGAUUCUGUAAAGCUUUGAAUUCCUAUAAAUCUCUGAAGGACAUGAAGAGAAUUCUUUCUUCUGCUUUGGACUAUUUUCAGCAACAAGGACAAAAUAAAUCUACUUGAUUCAAGUUCCUUAUACAACGCAUUAAGGCCAAAGCUUGGUGUUGCAUAUUUCCCAUCAGAACGAGCAGCAAUUUCUGUUGAUAGUAGAGUACUUAAUUGUGUCCCACAUAAGCAUUGGGUGGUUAACCCUGGCAGAUCCUGAUAUCUUAUCCUGUUUAGUUGGAAAAUACAUCUUACUGAGCAAUCGAAAAAUUGGUUCAAGGUCUGAGGUCGUUCUUCCACAUCUCUGAAGGGGGAAACCUUUAAGACUUCCAACCUUCCCAGAUGCCUCUGCUGCAGAUCGCAAGAGAGCCAACCCUUGUUGAAGCUGAAGAGAAUUAAUUUCGUCAACUGAUUUGACCGAUGGACCAGUAGCAUGCGAUGAAUUAACACCUGAAUGCACAGGCUCCUUGGUGACAUGGAGAAACCCUGGCAAUGCGGGCAAGACAGAAUUUGCAAGUCGACGGCAUACAGGGCAGAGAAACUCCCCCUAUGGGAAAAUGAACAAACAUGCACAAGGUUAGUAAUAGAAUCCUCAUCCAUUCACUACAGGCAAAAGUUGGAAAAAAAAUGCAGGGAAACCUUGUACCUUAUCCGGAUCUGCAAUAUGUCCCCCUUCAAAAACAAUUCUUCUGAGAUACCUGCAUGGACAAAUAAGAUGGGACAAGUUAGGCCAUUUUCAAUAAAAUAUCAAUAAUCUUCCAGAGCAACGUGUAUGAUAUAUCUUACUAUUUUUCGUUAGAUGUUGCAAUGCAUCAUAACUAUAAAAGCAGGAAAUUCAUUUUUUAGCAACCAUCGAUUUGGAAAACCACACCAUACCCCCUUGUAGAACAAAUAAAGAAACCAAAAAAAUAAAUAAAAACUGAAUGAAAAAUCAUCAAGGCAAGAUUAAAGGUUCACACAGGUCUUCCUAAAGAACAAGACAACUCCACUUGCAAGGUUAAAAGCAAGGCCAAAGAGAUUAAGAGAAAUGUAUUCUGAAACCGUCUUUUCCAAAGUUUCUGCUACUGGAUUGCCCUUCCAAGUUCAUUGCACAAGGUGUGACCACUCUCACUAGCAAUCAAUAAAACAACAGAGAAGGCACUCCCUCUUAACAAAUAUUUUAAUAGCAUUUGCAUUUGAAAAAAUACAACUUCCACUAUUCAUGCAAAUAAUUAAAAAAAAAAUUCCAUAAUUAAGAUUAAGAAGUGAUCAAGAAUUCCCAACCAAAAUUACUAAGGAUUGAAGAUUUCUCUUAUUGAGAGGAUUUACCUUUCCUUCAACGAAAAUAAAUAACGAUCAAGGCAUCCCUGAUGCACAGCAUGUCCACAGGAAGAAAGAUAAAUUCCAUCACAAUCUGUCAGGCCAAAUCCGUCACGCGCUGAAAGACGAGAAGAAUCUACUGGCACCCUUUCAUUAGGAGCACUUUCAGAAGAUGAAGGAAUCUCUGUUGCCUCUCUAGAAAGAGCAGCUAUAUAUGUUCCAAGUAACAUAAAUUCAGCAUGCUUAGUUUCUUCUUGAUCCCCUUCAGGAGUUGAAAAUCCCUUAUCCUCUAAAGGAUUAGAAUGAAGUAUCUUAUCACGCAUUUCCUUUUGGAUGGAGAUGUACAUAUCGUCUUCCAUUGUCUCAAAUGUAAAUAAAGUCUUCACCAUAUCAUCAUUUGAUUCACGUGGCACUUGGAUAUCAGCACUUAAUUCAUGGAACCGGCCCUUGAGAAAAUUUAUAAGAGCGGCAACAUCCCUAGGUUGUCCAUGAUAGGCAAAUUUGGUGAUUGCAUUCUGAACCAACUGUCUGCAAGAAUAAGAUGGCACCUGUUCUGGUCCUGAACCUCUUGAUAAAGUGCUUGAUCCAGAUUGAUCACUCACCUUGUUUGUGGUAAUAGAGAUGUGCUCCUUGUCUGUCCAAGGUGGUUGCUCCCAUGACCGGGGACCUCUUUCUAUGAAACUUAAGAGUCUAGAUUUCUGAAGUAAAACCAAGUAGGAUAUGGGAUUUCUGGAACUGGGAUCAUGACAAAGAGAGCAAACAACUUGUUCAGAUUCUUCCAAGUCAUCUUCAAUAUUGAGUUUACAAACCUCUUGCUCAGAUUUUGAACCCUCAUCCACAGUGGAAUUUACACUGGCCAUAAACUUAGAUUGUUCGGCUCUCAUUUUUUCCAAUAUGGCAGCCUGUCUCUCUCUAGCUUUUGCCUUGCGCUUCUCAGAGUAAGAAAUUGAACCUGAGGUCUUAGCAUCACCAUUUAAAGAAGAUUGUGAUACGUGACCAAUCACUUCAGGUGCAAGUUGUUGUAAUAUGGUCAUACAUCCGGAAUCAAUCUCUACAAACUUCUUUAAUAAGCUUCCAAUUAAAGAAGAGAGGUCGCAACUGCCAGCUUCCAAACAAUUGUUGACAUUCUCUUUCUUAUACAUCCUCAUCGAGAUAACAAGAAGUGACAGUAAGCUUUGUUGACCAGCACCAAAGUAUCGCCCUUCAGUAAUUUCUUCCCCAGCAAAAGCUAGCAUUGGAAUUGCAUCUCCAUCAUAACAAGACUUAUCACCAGCUUCCUUAUGUUGAGAACAAAUGUCUAAUGCUAAUGAGAGUAAGUGCAAUGCAGUUAAGAGAACACUAUCAGGAGCUCGUGAAUCAUUUGAUUUAUCAGAAAAAACAGCAUAAAACAGCACAGCACGGAUAAUUUGAAGCACUGAUUUACAAGUAGCUAUUCUAGCUACCCCUUUGAAAGGAGAAUAAAUCUUAGUCCAUCUGGGUAGCUGAGUGGUCAAUGCACAAACACCACGAAAACGCAAGUAUCUUUCUUCUGCAGCUUGCAGAUCCCUCGAGUUCCAACGAGAGUAGUACAAAUCCAGUUCUUUCCAAAAUGUCCAUUGUAGCGAAUAAGUCCCCUGAUUAAAGCCAGAGGGAUUGGAGUACACGGCAAUGGAUUCCAAAAUUCCAUGUAGCUGAUCAGACUUGGAGAGAUCACGAGGAAGAGAUUUCACCAAUUGACUAUGAGUGCCAUCUGCAAUGGCUAAUUUAUGAACCAACUCUCUUUUCAAACUUUCAGCUUUAGUUAGACCACAAAAUCGCCUUUCUUUGAUUAUUUGUAUAAUAAGAGUGAGCAUUUCUUGCACUAGAAUAGUUUCAUAUUCACUAGAGCGCUCAAGGUUCAAAGAAAGGUAGCUGGACAGGCCAAAGCGUUCUAUAAUUCUGUUAACAUAAGGAUCAGCUGGAGCUAAGGCAGCACAGCACUGAAGCAGAAACAGAUCAAGCUCCAAACCCUGUUCAGACCUGCAAAAUUAACCAUAUGAUAAAGAGACAAUCCUGAAAAUAAAAGGGGAAAAAAGAGUGAAAAGAAAAUCAAUCAUUACAAGAGAUACAUUUUCCCCCUAAAAUGCAUGCCACAGAUAAAGCAUAAAUCACUUACCAGCGAACUGAACGAUACCACUCACAAGGUAACAGGGCGGCAUCCCCAUUUUUCCGCCACAUUCCAGCAUGAACCUCAGCACAAAAUACUCUGAUCCGAAGGGGAUGCUCCAUAACAAAAGCAGAAAAUCCAUAUGGGUGGCAGCCUCCCAGAAUAUUUCCAAAGAAGUCAGUGAAAAUAGCUGAUGAUGAAUUUGCAGAAGUAACGCUAGCCAGAUCUGGCACUUCACCGAAACAUCUUCUUAAUGCUUUCUGUAAAAGCAAGGAAAGUAAACGGUGUAAAGGAAUGUGAACAGAUAUAUCCUGCGAACUAACAUCAUAUGUUAUGUCUGGCCAAUCAGACAAAUUCAGAACGCGUUGAGCAUCCAAGUCCAUGGCACCAUCUACUUCCAUAGCACUAUCAUCAAAUCCUGCAGGAUUGCAGACAUUAACUGAAUCAAUUUCGUCAGUAACCAUCAAUUUACUCUCCUGCCCUGCACUUUUGCCAUUUUGGGUGUCAAUACUCAUAUUGCAAUCACUAUGUCCAUGUGAUGAAUGCUGCUUGCCAUGAUCUUCACUUGAACUGCCAAGUCUACCAAAAAUAUAUUUUCCUUUCCUGAUCUUGGAUAAUGUUCUCUUCAAUGCUGAAAAAUUGCUAACAGAGAAAUUGCUAGUACUUGGAGAAGAGGCAUCAAGAAGAGUCCUGGAGGUAUUAUCAACUCCCAGCCAAUUCUUAAUUGCCCUCAAGCACUCAUAUGUUAGCCACAUCACAGAAGGUGGAAUCAACAAAUCAGAAAGAGCAUCCGAUUUAUCUUCAGAAACCUUCGACUCGCACGCAAAUGAACUACUACUCCCUACUGCACUGCAUGCAGAACUUUCCUGGGACAGCCAUCCUACUUCUGAAUGCCUUAGGCUAUCCAUGUCAUCCAUAUCCUGCUUAUAUGUUCUGAAAAGAGAGUCUUCAUCCAUCUUGUCAAUAGCCACAGAAAAUGCCCCAUCCACCAAUAAAGAAUGAAUGUUGGCAAUUGAAUGACCUAGAACAAAUGGCAGAUGCAUAUUCUCAUUUUCUUCUUCAAUGUGUAAGCCUGUUUCUCUUUUCUGUGGGUUCAUCCCUUGAAUGAAAGCCAAGAGUCGUGUCCAAGUUCUUGAAAUAUCUUGCUGGUCACGUGUUACGUAUUUGGGCACUGUAGCAUGGCUCAUAACAAAUCGAAUAUCUUCAAUCACACGAAAUGUGAUCUCAUACAAAUUUGACAACGUGGUAACCUAUAAGGGUAACCAACAAUUUUACUACAUGAGACCAAAACAAAUGAAAAAGUAGGAACUUUUAUAAAGCAAAAGAAAACGCAUCAGGUACUCAAUCACAAUAAAAAAAAGGUCGUACCCAGUGCACAAGGCUCCCGCUUUAAGCAGGGUCUGGGAGAGGUGAAUGUCGGCUAGUCUUACCCCCAUUUAUGGAGAGGCUGCUCCCAAGUCUCGAACCCGAGACCUACCGCUCAUGGGCGAAGGCACUUGCCAUCGCACCAGGUACUCAAUCACAAUGAACUAGAAAAACAAAAAAACGAAAACAAACAGAAAAAAAAAAAAAAACAAACAGAAUGAACUCCACAACCGGAGCAUAAAAAGUACCAUAGUUAGAACACCAUAUAAGCACGACAUGACUUUAGAUUAAAACAUAACUACACAAUCUAUAAGUUGGGUUAUCAAUUCCAUAAUGAAGGUGGCAAGGACAAGGAAGCAAUGUGCAGAGGAGUAACGAUCAUUUCGCAACCUAUAGAGAUAUAUUAUAUUAUUAUAUAAAUAAAAGGAGAUCAGUGAAACAUUCAAAAUACCAACAAUUGUCCACCCCUAGUUAGAUUUUCAAAAGAAAACAAUUUAAUUGGUGGUAAAUUAGUUAUCACAUUUGGAAGUAAAUAAAAAAUUCAGUAAAAACCAAUAUUUUAAAAGGCUUGCCUCAGAGCUCGCCUAGGCGCCCUCUAAGGCUGGGCUUGAGGGUUGUCGCCUCUGUUUUGAGGGAGUGGGCGUAAGGCUUCGCCAGAGCCGCCUAGGCGGCGGAAGGCACGCCUCAGGGCUUUUUUUUUUUUAAACUCCCAUACACAAAUUUUGGGUAGGGUUUUAACUGCCUCAUACCUCUUCCUUGCACUAUUGUCUCUCUGCCUUUUUUCUGAUUUUUAUUUUUAAUAUAAUGGAUGUGU